RNAcentral lists this long non-coding RNA (92539 nucleotides) under Vitis vinifera (wine grape). RNAcentral's name for it is "long non-coding RNA (VVIN_LNC004159)". The stretch from base 13759 to 13865 matches the Rfam family "Plant small nucleolar RNA R71". The record is from RNAcentral. Lineage: Eukaryota; Viridiplantae; Streptophyta; Magnoliopsida; Vitales; Vitaceae.
CAAUACCAUGGAAAUUUAGUACUACUUGGUUUAGUUAAGGUAUGGUUUUGAUAUUGCUGGAGUCAAUUCCUCUACCAUCUGUGGCUGGUCAUAAAUGAUUCUAGUCUAGGUAAGUGAGUUGUACUUGGCUACAGUGAAUACUUCAUUUUCUUUUCAAGUUCAAGAAUUGAUCUUGUGGUUGUUUUUACUCACUCCAUUAGGUUAUCGUGGUUCUUUCGUUUUCUUUACCUUGCUCCUAUAGUAAUGAAAUACUUCCUAUCUACAAGUGUGUUGCCAAAUGCAUAUCUAAAUGGUGGUUUAUUCUUGCCAACAGUUGCCUUGUCCCCAGAAGUCUCCAAGUGAGUAAUGAAAGGAUAUAAAACUGAUUUCCAUAAAGGAUGAAAGUCUCUCUACUGCAUCAGCAAUCGAUGAACCAGUGCAUGCAAUCAUCGUGUUUUCUUCUAAAAAUCUGUGUGAAAAUUGCUAGUCCAAAAUUGAUUGGCCACGUAAGCAAAGUUAGUUGAUUAACUAACUGAAAGUGCGAGCUGGCACACCUGUUUGCUUAGCAAUUUUUUUUUUCAUGUACUCAUGUAUAAAAAUGUGAAGAAAAAAAAAAGAUUUUUUUGAAUUGUAGAAAGGAAGUGAGAGGAUUUUAGAGUGUGAGUCUUCUUCACUAUACUGUAGCGAGAGCUUGAUGAUUCUCAGAGAUUCUUGAGGGUGUAAAAUGGUUCAAUCUUAGUGGAUUUUUGGAGGUGAUCUUGAUCCGUGGAUGUAGGAUUCAAUCUUGGAUCCGAACCACGUAAAUCCUGCUUGUUUUGUUAUGUUUUGAUAUUAGAUAUUAUUUUCUUUUGAUUUAUGGUUUUGUUUUCUUUGUCUUCUUGGAUUGGUGUUCAAUCUCAAUUCAUUGAGGAACUUGGAUAAAAACUCAACACUAUGUUUUGUACUUUUCAUUCAACUUGGAUGAUUGGAUAUUUGCUACAAUGUUAGGCUAGAUGACCGAGUUAGCAUCUUCAAUUGAUGGAAUUGAAGAAGAACUUAUUUAACACAAUGAUUUUAACCAUCUCUAAGUAGUUGCUUCUAUUUGAAAUUAUAUAUCAAAAAGUGUAAUUUUGAUUUUGCUAAAGUUCACAUUUUUCAUUAAAAAAAUAUAUUUGUUCUCACCAUCAUAAAAUAUUUUACUAAAAAAGAAAUUUAUAGGCUUUUAAAGGAAAAGGUAAGCCCAACUUGAUGGAGAGUUGGGUUCAUUCUCUAGAUCAAUUGGCUCACUAGUACUUGGCCAAUGAAGGUUUUGGUAAGUGGAGCUAAGGACAUUCAUUUGGGCUUGAUUCUUUAGAUAUGUUUGUGUGGGCUCUUUCAUUUUCCUCUAACCCAUGAUGAUCUAGGUUAGGAUCUAUCCUUUGUGUAAUGCCUUUAUGUGGAAGGAUACAAAAAAAAUUUAUAUCGUAUCCAUAUGAUUGGUCUUUGAAGUAUAAACAUAUGAGGGGUAGGUGGAAUCCAUUGUUAACAAGCCAAAAUGAGAGAACUUUUUAGAGCCCUAGCAAACUAUCUCUAGCUCCAAAAUUAUGGCUGCAAAUAUAAGAAAAUAGAGAGUCUAAUUCUUACAUGAAAGGAAUCAAUGAGAGAACUUUUUGUAUUUUAAAUGUUAAAAUUGUUGAUAUAAAAAGUGAAUAAUUAUGGUGAAAUAGUGAAGUUAACUCAUUAGUGGCAAUGACCUUGUUAUGCACUUGACUUGGGUAUUCAAUAAUGAUAUCAAUUAACUUAUACUAAUGGCUUCCGUAAGAAAUAUAACACAUGAUGCAAAUGUUGUGUCAAAAGAUCUUUAUCUUGAAAGUCGCAUUAUUGAAGUGAUCAAAAGCAUUUUUAAAAGAUUACAUUCUUAAGCAUGAUAUAGUCACCUUCAUAGAUGACAAAGUCACCUCCAUCUCAACCUUACCCUUGUCAUUUAAAUGUAUUCACAAACAAAAAAAUUACAAAUAAAGCUAUGCAAGCAAAUGUCAUUCAAAAAAAUGAGUUGAAUUUAAAAAAUAUCGUCUUAUCCUAAAUUUGUAAUAUUAUUCAAUCAUAAAAAAAUUAUUGGUAAUAAUAUAUUAUUUAAAUAAAAAGAGAUGAAAGUUUUUUGAAGUAAUUAAUUAUCAUUUUCAUAUAAUCUCUAUAAAUAUUUAUGUUCAUAAAUUUAUUUAUGAUAUUAAUCUUUGAAUGAUUUAAAGUUUGACUAGCGGAAUAGUAUAUUAUUGAGUAUGAUAGGAAGAAAGGUUUACUUUUCCAUAUGAAUGCAAUAAAGAAUUUUUGUUCCACAUAUAAGUGUUGCAAAUCAAAUUGAACUUCUUCUUUCUAUGUUUUCAUAAUAUUGGAAAUUUACACAGAACUCAUACAUGCCAGUUUCCAAUAUUAUGGAAACAUAAAAAGUAUGAGUUAGUGUCAAUUUUCAAUAUUAUGGAAAUAUAGCAAGAAGAAUUUUAACUUGAUUUGCAACACUUAUAUGUGGAAUAAAAGUCAUGGAAUUCUUUGUUUAUUCUGGAAAAAAAAAAUUAUAUACAAAAUUAAUAUACUAAGAGUUUCUUAAUGAUUAUUUUGGGAAAAGAAUAAAAAAAAAGGGAAAAAUAUGAUUAUAUAGAAAUACAUUACAUUAUAUUUCAAUAAAUAAAUAAAUAAACAAAUAUGUGUGUGCAUGUGAAGACAUGUUUGUUACAUGUGCAUGGAUUUGUAUGUAUUUCUAUAUGUUAAUUUAACAAAAUAUAAUAAAAAUUAAUUAGUAUAAAGAAGGAGAGGAAUAAAUUAAUCCUAAUUAUAUAAAAUAAAUAAAUAAAUGAACAAAGGUAAGUUUGCAAAAAAAAAAAAAAAAGCGAAAACAAAAAUAAAGUUAAGUGCAUUAGAAAAAUUAUUGUAAAAAUAAUAAAAAUCUUUGUUGAAAAACAAAUUGCUAAUAUUAUUCAAAAAUCGUUUCUAAUGAAUUAUUUCUAUUUAAUUUUAACCUAAAAAAGUGUAGUCUUAUUUUAUAAAAAUUAUUUCAUUUUAUUAUAUUUAAUGAAAAUUAACUUACUUUAAUAUUGUUAAAAAAUCGAAUUUUUUGUCCAUACUUUCUCAAUUUUUGGUUUCACGUGGUUUGCAAUCCACACUCCACGCGUUUUGAGCGGGAUGUCAGAUUGUCUUUUUAUCCAAUAUCAAAGGAUGUGGGGACUAGGCUGUUGGCUUUGAUCUCAUAGGAAGCGGCCCCACCUCCACUCUCAUAUAGGUGAAUCCAUCAAGUAUGUUCUGCAUUUAAACAUACCAUCCAUAAGGAAUAUGGUAUUCAUUAAGAGUAAACACUCAACCUUAGUAAAUGCAAAAUACGCUCUAUCUACACCAUAGGGAUAAACUCUCAUACAAUUAAAGUUGAUAGAGCACCUCAAGUCAACAAGUGAUUUGUUAUUACCCUUAUGAACCUACUUCAUGGAAUUUCCAUUCUAAUAGGUUGGGCUACCACCACUGAUUCCGUGAAAGUCCAGUCGGGUCUUUUAAUAAAAAACAUUUAUAAAACCUAUGACCUCAUACUAGCGUAGCAAAGCUACUAUAGCAUAGUGGCUCUAGGGUCGAACUCUGGGAUGAGUUUUCAUUCUACCAGUGAUAUACUCAAGAUUAGAAAUUGAGUCUGAUAAGUUCCUUUGUCAAAAACUUAAAGUUUAAAAGAAAAUAAAAUUUGUUUUGAAAGUGGUGUUUGAAACUAAACUAACAUAAAACUAGGUAAAAAUAUGGAAGAAAGAAAGUCUCCCGGAGCUAAGGGUUGCUAGGAUCAAGUUCAGAAUGCAAAGUGGAAAUUCCGGAUUUCUCAUCUCGUAUUGGGGGCAACAACAUAAAGGAUGGUUGUUUCCCGAACCGAUAUAGGUUUAACAAUGAAGGUUUAAUCCAUAAAAAAUCAAUAGAAAUGGUAUAGUCAGGUUCCAUUAAUGUCUUUAGACACUAUGGGUCUUCACCUUGAGCCACUUUCCAAUGGCUCGUACAUGAUAGAUAACUAAUGGUCUGAUGUGGAUCUAGCAAUUAGCAUCCAUAGAGACCUGAAGCUUACCAUGUAUUGGUCAUUCAAAGUGAUUCUAAGGGAUUUAAAGCAAAACUUUAGAUUUAAAAGCCAUUUAUGAACUCCAGCUACCUGUAUUUAAUGCAUGAGAGUUUUCCACUUUAGCAUUUGGACUUUUCACCUAGCUUCCUUCACUCGAAGAAACCAAAGGUUUAGCCUCUCAUCCUCUGGGAAAACAUCCUCAGAGGUUGUUUGGCUUUCAAGAAAAAGAAAAUAGUAGAGAGAAAAGGAAAGCAAAGAGACCCCUGUAUUUUACUAAGUGUAAAAUAUACAAUGUGUUCGUCGUUUCUUACGAGAGAUGAUUUCCACCCCUUAUACAGUCUUUACAAAAGCAAAGCCUGUGAUUGGCUAAUUACAGGGAUAAGAAAGGAAUUUACAUCAAAAAAUACAAAAGAAAAGAUCUAAAGUGGAGUCGGCAGAACAGAGGAGAUUUCGCACCAUGCAUGGGCUGGUGCUAAUUUCGCACAAAGAGAAGGUGUUGUGCGAAUUUCGCACAACCUGAAGGUGUUGUGCGAAUUUCGCACAAGCUUGGAGCAGUUGUCUUCCGAAGGUCAUAUCUUCCUCAUUUCAGCUCCAAAUCAUACACGGUUUGAAGUGUUGGAUUCUUGACUUCCUGAGCUUUGAAAUGGUAUAUAGCAUGUAGAAAAUGGACUUCGGAAAGUGCUCCAAAAGUGCGAAGGAAGACUGCAGCUGCUGUCCUCUGUUUUCUUCACUUUGUUUGUUUUCCCUCUUUGCUUCUCUCCUUUACUUGGCUUGUCUUAAUGAUCCAAAAAGUUGUCAAAACACUAAAACUAGCCACAAAUAUGAUUAGAAGUCAUUGCUAGGUCCUUAACAUGCCAAUUGGAAUAAAGAUGGAGAACUACUACACAAAAGUGCUUAAAACAUAAUGAAUUAAAAAUGCAAAAUAACACUUUUUGGGUAGUAAUCACUCCCCCCAACUGACACACUGCUAGUCCCUGAGCAAUGAAGGAGAGAAAAAUAAAGAAAAAUAGAUAAUAUAAUAUUUUAUAAAAUCAUGCUAAUCACUCCAAAAAAUAAUCAAGUGGCAUGAUUGGAUCAAACUCUCACAUGGCAAGUCAAGGAUAUAAAACUCAAUCAUCAACAAGAGUCAUCAAAUAACUUACCUAUCACAACAUGCAAAGAGCGGGCAUUGUGCAAAUUUGAGUAUCAAAAUAAUUUCCACUCCCAAAGGACCAACUCUUAAUCUUCCACAAAAAUCUAAGUGUUAAGGUGCUUAGUUUCCAGUUAUAGUAUGUCAAAUUAUAUUCUCCCCCCCCAACUAAGGUUUUUCUCUAACUUUAGCAACACUAACUCACAUAUAAAAGGCUAAGAACGCACCUUUUUUUCUUUUUUUCUUUUAUAUAUAAAUACUCCACCCAUCCAUCCAUGUAACGAGUAGUGAGGUCGGUGACUCCCAACCAAUAAAGGCUUAGGGCACCAGGCUUUAAAGAUUUUCACCAUAUACCCCUCGGACCUUGCUCGGGUUUCAAAGCAAGUGAAGCAAAAUUUUUUUUCAUAAGACACAUUGGCCUUUUAUAAGGUGUCCUAACACUAAUAGAAUGAAGUCAAUGGCACCAAGUCGAAAAUUUCCUAAGUUUAGGGGGGUGAGAAAGUUUUCCAUCUUAUAACUGGAAUCUAAUGUGUUCAGUGUGUGAAAAGAUUAGAGUGGAAGACUUAAGAUUGAAAUCAAAAGGAGCUUCAACAAUUUAUCAACUUUAAUAAGCAUAAUACAAACUCUGAGACUAUAGGAAUAAGAUAAGAAUUUAAUUUCUCCCAUUUUCUUUUGAGAAUUUAUCUUUGAGAAAACAAAGAGAGUUUGUAAAAAAUUUGUUAGCAAAAUAACUUAACCAAAAAUUAAACAAAUUACUUCCUCAACUCUCCCCCCAACUAGGAUGAACAUUGUCCCCAAUGUUCCAAAAGCAAGUGAUAAUAAAAGGGAGGAAGUGAUACCUCCUGAUAGUAAGGGACUCUGAAUGAAUAGGAGAAACCACAUGUUGCAUAAGAAAAGAAAAAUCAUAAGAGUGAUGAUUAGAGGAAAUAAAAAGGAAUAACUAAAAUACACAAAAAGGAAGAUGUCUAUAUUAACUGAGAGAGUACAAUAUACAAGAGAAACAUGGAAUACAUCCAAUCCCAAUAUAAAAGUAGUCCAAAAUAUAUAACACAUCCAAAAACAUAGAGUAUAGAUACAAAUCAAAAAGGGAGAGAAGUGAUCGUAUGAUCAAGUAGUAGGCUCCUCUGGUGGAUAGGAGGGGUCCUCAGCUACAACUGUGGAAGGUACCGCUACAGGUGGAGCUGGUGGCAAAAGAUCGAGGUGUUGUUGAAUCUCACAGAGAAUGAGAGUCUGCUGGUCCUGCCGAAGCUGGAAGUGGUCCAUUCGCUCCAUAAUGGCUGUCUGAGUAGUGGUCAGAGUCUGGAAAGAAACGAGCAAGGCACAAUACUCUGCACCAGGGAUAGUAAUGGGCGGCUCUGAGGUAGGAGGAACAGCAGGUGGGGCGUCAGACGAUGUUGCCUCUGGUACGGGCUCUGAGGGAGCUGAAGAUGGAGCAGAUAUAGAUGGUAAAGACUGUGGAGGGACUUCCCUUGGCUCGGGAAGUUCUGGGGAAUGCUGAUGGAGCCAUACCUGAUUCCAUUGGUCAAGAGAGAAGCUCUCUCGACAAUGGCGGCGAGGCUCAGAAUGAGGGUCAGUAGGAAAACCCAUAUGCGCCAGAACAUGGCAUAGCAGCCGAGGGAAAAGUAAAAGAAUGGUGUCUGCCCUCGUAAGACGCCGCGUAUGCACCUUCUCCUCAAAAUGGAGGAGGGCGGCCAUAAUCAAAUGAUGGGGGCCAAAGUAGUAGCCCUCAGAGAUACAGAAUAAUGCCUCUAGAAUGGUCUCUCGCCUCUGCACUCUAUGCUAAAGAGGAAAAAGAUUGGCGCAAAGCACCACAUCAACUAGGAGCAUCCUAGGGGGAAGUUCCUUUCUCAUAAUGAUCCUCUGGGAAGAUGUCCCUCGAGAUAGGAUACGAACCAUGUCCCACUCAGAAAGUGGGGCCCAACGUCUAAAUGCAGCGGGAUCUGCUGGUGCAUAAGGGAUAUGGAAAGCCUUGGCAAUCUGUCUAGCCCCCAAAAUACCCUGGCGUCCAUCAAUGGUAAAAAUGAUCGAGGCUGGUACCGAGACGCCACGAGUAGUCAUAGACUGGUAAAAGUCUAAAGCUACUCGAGGAUAAAAGAACUGGGGCGAAGUCAUAAAGGGUACAAGAUGGUACCUCUCAAGUAGGCGGUAUGAAUCCUGCAACUCAGGCUGCUGUCGCAAAAUAGAGUGAUCAAAAUAUGCCUCGACAUGAAAUGCUCUCGAUCGGCAAUCGGAGUUGCCCUCAAUGGGUGAGCUGGCUAUAGGGCGCCUGGUGGGAGGAGGCUGAGACUGUGAAUCCCGAGGUGCUCUGGAGGACUCUCCUGGCUCUGAAGUCUUGGCCUUCUUUGUAGGAGGACUCCUAGGUGGAAUCUGAGUAGGGGCCACAGGCGUGGCAGCUGCUCUCCUCGUAUGGUAUCUACGCUGAGGGGUAGAAUCAGAUACAUGUGGGGGUGCAUCUAGUGGGGUCCGCAUAGGGGCAGCUCUCCAACUGCUCUAGGGAGCUGAGGCAUAGCCUCCUCGGGUCUUAGGCAUGAGGAAGCGACGAAAUGAGGCUAAGAGGCUUGGGAUUGGGGAGGGUAGGGAUGGAGAAGCUCAAAAAUUCGCACAAGGGAGGGUGUUGUGCGAAAAUUUCACACAAGGGGAUGUGUUGUGCGAAAAUUUCGCACAAGGCACUAUUCACCCGCCCAAAUGCAAAAUUGUGGUGCUUUCAAAUGGGAAAAAUUCUUGGUUUUUAAGGGUGGGAAAUGCUGGCUAAGGUAGGAAAGGAGUUUUUCAUGGCGGCUAAGCUUAGAAAUGGGAGCUUUACAAGAAGAGAAUGAGAGAUUUUGAAGCUCCCAUAGCCCGCGGCAAUGGGUUUAUUAUGAAGAAACCGUGGCUUUGAUGGUUAUGCUUGAGGUUUUGAUUUGGAAAAAUCAAGGUUGGGUUUGGUUUAGGGAUGAAUUUGGAGUGUUGAGUGAAGAAAUGAAGGGUUUUUUAUGGUGGAAGGAGGAGAAUGAGCUGAAAAUGGAAGGUGCGGACUGUUGUGAAUAGUGAUGGUCGCGGCUAUGGAAUGAAACUAUGGAGAUGGGCUGCCAUGGUGGGGUUCAUGAUGGGGGAUGAUGAAGGAGAGGACGUUGUGGAUGGAAAAGGGGGAUCGGAAGAGAGGUGUUGAGAAAAUUGAAGAAGAAGAAGCUUAGAAUUGAAGAGGAGAAAAUGGUUCUUAAAGAGAAAGUGCGAAUUUCGCACAAGGUGAUGGGUAGUGCGAAAAUUUCGCAUUCCUGUGGUUUUCCAAGACAGAGAGCAUGGUUUUGAAAAUUGGUCACAAAAGCGAAUUCGCACAAGGUUCGCACAAGGUUCGCAUUCCUGUGAUUUUCGCAUUGAGAUUUUAGGAAGGACCAAGAGCAUGCUUUUGAAAAUUUGUCACAAAAGAGAAUUCGCACAAGGGGAUGUGUUGUGCGAAAAUUUCGCACAAGGGGAAUGGGUGGUGCGAAUUUUGCUGUGUCUUGGCUUUUCUCCCCUGUUUUCCCUUGUUUUCAUUCUUCAAGCUUUCCUACCUACAUGUUAACACAAAAACCAAUUCAAACCACAUUAGAAUGAACUCAAGGGCAAAAAUAAAAAUCAAAACAUGCAUAUACACAAGAAAAGAAAAAGAAAAACUAGAUUAAACUAAAAAUUAAUGCAAAAGGGAACAAAAAGAGGAUGAACUUUUUAGUCUUUGAAGAGACUAAGUUCAACCAUGAACUGAGUGUUUUCAUGUUGGAGGUGGAUCAAGGAGGAUGAAUUCCUCCUUGUCUCGGGAAAAUGAUUCCAUAUAGGGCUUGAGAUGAUGCCCAUUCACUUUGAAAGUUCGAGUGCUUUUGAAGUUGAGUAGUUCCACUACUCCAUUUGAUUGCACAUCAUGAAUUAUGAAAGGACCCGUCCACCUUGAUUUCAAUUUUCCCGGAAAAAGAUGAAGCUUUGAGUCAUAAAGCAAGACUCUUUGUCCCUUGGUAAAAUUCUUCUGAUUUACCAACUGGUCAUGCCAUUUCUUCAACCUCUCUUUUGCAAUUUUUGAAUUGAGGUAAGCAUCAUUCCUCAUUUCCUCCAAUUCAUUCAAAUCCAAACAUCUCUUUAACUCGGCUCUUGUCAAAUCCAUGUUGAGCUUCUUGAUUGCCCACCAUGCUUUAUAUUCAACCUCUACUGGAAGAUGGCAUGCUUUGCCAUAAACAAGGCGAUAAGGGGACAUUCCAAGAAUGGUCUUAUAAGUAGUCCUAUAAGCCCAUAAUGAAUCCAGGAGCUUAAUAGACCAAUCCUUCCUAUUCACAUUCACCACCUUCAUCGGUAUGUUCUUGAUUUCUCGGUUGGCUAACUCAACUUGGCCACUUGUUUGAGGGUGAUAAGGUGUAGCUACCUUGUGCUUGACCCAUAUUUGGCUAGAAGAGUCUCAAAAGGUUUAUUGCAAAAGUGGGUUCCUCCAUCACUUAUAAUGGCUUUAGGCACUCCAAAUCUUGCAAAGAUGUUCUCCUUGAGGAAUUUAAGAACCACCUUAUGAUCAUUGCUCCUACAUGGGAUUGCUUCUACCCACUUAGAGACAUAAUCCACUCCCACCAAAAUGUAGGAGUGUCCAAACGACAUUGGAAAUGGUCCCAUGAAGUCUAUCCCCCAAACAUCAAAGACAUCCACUAUCAAGAUGGGGUUCAAGGGCAUCAUAUUUCGGCGUGUUAGCUUCCCAAGCCUUUGACACUGGUCACAUCCCUUGCACAUAGUGUGGGCGUCCUUGAAAAGAAAGGGCCACCAAAAACCUGAUUGGAUCACUUUCAUAGCUGUUUUCUGGGAAGCAAAAUGACCUCCACAUGCACUAUCAUGACAAUGGGAUAGAAUUCCUGAUUGCUCUUGUUCAGGAACACAUUUCCUUAUGAUUUGAUCCGCACAAUAUUUGAAGAGAAAAGGCUCCUCCCAAUAAUAGGCAUGGAUCUUAGCAAAGAAAUGCCUCUUGUCUUGGGCACUCCACUCACUUGGAACUUCUCCAGUAACCAAGUAAUUUGCAAUGUGAGAAUACCAUGGAGCUACCUCUAUUGACAUGAGAGACUCCUCAGGGAAGUCAUCAUUGAUAAGUAAACCAUGUGAGUCAUGUGCUAUCACAAGUCUUGACAAGUGGUCAGCUACCACAUUUUCUACUCCCUUUUUAUCUCGGAUUUGGAGAUUGAAUUCUUUGAGCAAAAGGAUCCAUCUUAUCAAUCUUGCCUUGGCAUCUGGCUUGGUUAGCAAGUACUUCAAAGCGGAAUGGUCAGUGAACACCACUAUAGAGGACCCUACCAAAUAGGCACGAAACUUAUCUAAGGCAAAAACUAUUGCCAGCAACUCCUUUUCAGUAGUUGUGUAGUUCCUUUGAGCCUCAUUCAAAGUUUUGCUUGCAUAAUAAAUCACAUAGGGCUUUCCAUCUUCUCUUUGCCCCAAAACAGCCCCCAUAGCAAGAUCACUUGCAUUACACAUUACCUCAAAAGGUAAUUUCCAAUUUGGGGCUCUCACUAUUGGUGCAGUUGUGAGGAAUUGCUUUAGUUCCUCAAAACUCUUCUGACAUUUCUCAUCCCACACAAACUUGGCAUCCUUUACCAAAAGUUCACAAAGAGAUUUUGAGAUUUUUGAGAAAUCCUUAAUGAACCUCCUAUAGAACCUGGCAUGUCCUAGGAAUUGCCUAAUUCCUUUAACAUUUGUGGGAGGUGGCAACUUAACAAUUAGCUCCACCUUUGCCUUAUCUACCUCAAUGCCAUUCUUGGAGAUUAUAUGUCCUAAGACAAUUCCUUGUUGUACCAUAAAAUGACACUUCUCCCAAUUUAGCACUAGGUCUUUCUCAAUACAUCUUUGGAGAACAACUUCUAAAUGCAACAAACACUCCUCAUAAGAACCUCCAUAUACAGUGAUGUCAUCCAUGAAAACUUCCAUGAUGCGCUCCACCAUAUCACUGAAGAUGCUUAGCAUACAUCUUUGGAAAGUUGCAGGAGCAUUACAUAGACCAAAGGGCAUUCUCCUAUACGCAAAAGUACCAAAGAGGCAAGUGAAGGUUGUAUUUUCUUGAUCUUCCAAAUCAAUUUCUAUUUGGAAGUACCCCGAGUAACCAUCCAGAAAACAGUAGAAAGGAUGUCCUGAGACUCUCUCAAGGACUUGGUCCAUGAAAGGCAAUGAGAAAUGGUCCUUCCUAGUCACUGAAUUGAACUUCCUGUAGUCUAUACACACCCUCCAUCCUGAGGUAGGACGUGUAGAGACUUCCUCCCUUUUCUCAUUCUAGAUCACAGUAAUUCCAGAUUUCUUUGGGACUACUUGGGUUGGGCUCACCCACAAGCUAUCUGAAAUGGGAUAUAUGAUCCCUGCUUGAAGUAGUUUCAGAACUUCACCCCUUACCACCUCUUGCAUGUGAGGAUUCAACCUCCUCUGGGGCUGCCUUACUGGUUUUGCAUCAUCCUCCAUGUAGAUAUGGUGGGUGCAUACCAAAGGGCUAAUCCCUUUUAGAUCAGAAAUUUGCCAUCCAAUGGCUUUCUUGCAUUUUCUGAGGACUCCCAAAAGACUAUCCUCUUGAUCACUUGUGAGAUCUGAAGAAACCACCAUUGGACAUUUCUCAUCUUCCUCCAAAUAUGCAUACUUCAAAUCAAGAGGAAGCGACUUCAAAACAAGCUUUGGAGGGUCCUCCAUAGCUGCUCCUUGUGAGUCCUCCUUAUUGAACAGUGGUAAGAUCUCUUCCCGUCUCCUCCAAGGAGACAUGAUGGCUAGCACAUCAGAGGGUUCAGGUAACCCGUCUUCAAGCACUUCAAGGCUUUCAUUCAAGCUCUCUUCUAAAUUCUUGUCACAAUGCUCUUCAACCAAGGUGUUGAUCAAGCACACCUCCUCCAAUCCUUCCUCCUCUUCUGGGUGAAGAUGCCUCUUGCAUAGGUGGAAUAUGUUUAAUUCCAAUGUCAUAUUUCCAAAUGUGAGCUGCAUCACCCCAUUCCUACAAUUGAUGAUGGCAUUGGAGGUAGCUAGGAAAGGUCUCCCAAGGAUGAUUGGCACAUAGUUUGCUUCUUUAACAGUGGGAUCAGUAUCAAGCACCACAAAAUCCACAGGAUAGUAGAAUUUGUCCACUUGAACUAGAACAUCCUCUAUCACCCCCCUUGGGAUUUUUACCGACCUAUCAGCUAAGGAGAGAGUGAUGGUUGUGGGCUUCAAUCCUCCAAGUCCCAGUUGCUUAUACACAGAGUAUGGGAGCAAAUUCACACUUGCCCCUAAGUCUAGUAAAGCCUUUUCCACAUGUGUCCCUCCAAUGUUGACUGAAAUGGUGGGACAUCCCGAAUCUUUAUACUUAACUGGAGACUUACUCUGAAUGAUAGCACUUACUUGCUCAGUGAGGAAUGCCUUCUUUGUCACAUGUAACCCUCUCUUGACCGUGCACAAGUCCUUUAAAAAUUUUGCAUAUGUGGGGACUUGCUUGAUCAUAUCAAGUAAGGGUAUAUUCACCUUCACUUGUCUCAAAACUUUAAGAAUUUCUGAUGAAUUCUUGAUUUCCUUCUUUCCAUGUAAUGCUUGAGGAAAAGGGGGAGGCAUAUGUUUCUUCAUCAUAUCCUCUUUAAUCACUAUCCUUGGCUCUUCUUCAAUGCUUGAUUUGGAUGCACAUUUCUUCCCACUCUCCUCUUCUUGGAUAUUGCUCUCUUUAACCAAGGUUCUCUUUGACAUGAGUUCUUCAUCUUGUCUCACCUUAGGCAAGGGUUGAUCAACCUUCUUCCCACUCCUCAAGGUGAUCACAGCUUUGACCUCCCUCAACUUUGAAGAAUCCCCAUCUUGGGUUUCAACUUCAUGAACACCCUUGGGAUUUUGACUUGGUUGAGAGGGAAACUUUCCUUUCUCAUUCACUGUGUUGAGGUUAGUAAGCCUAGAGAUGGAGUAUUGAAUAUUAUCUAUCUUCUGAGAUAGAUCAUUUUGCAUCCCCUCCAUUCUCUUAAUUUGAGAACUCUCAACAUUUUCAAUCUUUUGGUGCAAUUGGGAGUUGAUUGCCUUUUGUUCACCCACAAAGUCACCCAUGACUUUACUUAGGUUCACAAUGGCUUACUCCACUGAAGAGGUUUGUUGAGGUGCUUGGGUUUGGGCUUGUGGUUGGUAUGGAGGUGGCCUCGGUUUCCAAGAAAAAUUUGGAUGGUUUCUCCAGCUUGAAUUAUAGGUGUUUCCAUAAGGUGCACUGUUGUUGGGCCUAAAUUGCCCCACAACAUUGGCUUGAUCACCUAACAUCUCCCUCACAGCUGACAUGGUUGGGCACUCAUCCACCACAUGAUCACAUGAUUAGCAAAUGGUGCAUGGCAUGACAUGGGCUUGUGUCUCGGAAAUGGCUUAGACUUCAUGCAUCUUUUUCAACUCAAGUUCUUCCAACUUCCUUGCCAUUGUUGCCACCUUAGCUUUCAUGUCCAUGUCUUCACUUAACAUGUACAUUCCACUCUUUGGAUUUACAGGAGCUUUCAUCCUUCCCAUUUCUCUUGAGUUGGGCUCAUCCCAUCCUCUUGAUACCUCAGACACAUAACUUAAAAAGUCCAUGGCUUCUUCUGGAUUCUUACUCAUAAAAUCUCCCCCACACAUGGUUUCAAGAAUUUGCUUCAUGGAGGAAGACAUCCCAUCAUAAAAAUAGCUCACCAAGAGCCAUGUAUCAAAGCCAUGAUGAGGACAAGCAUUGAUGGCCUCCAUAUACCUUUCCCAACAUUCAUAGAACUUCUCAUUUUCUUUUGCAGAAAAGUUUGAGAUUUGUCUUUUCAACCCAUUGGUCCUAUGGGUGGGGAAAAUUUUCUUCAAAAAUUCGGCCUGAAGAUCAACCCAAUUCCUUAUGCUCCUUGGCCUUAAAGAAUUAAGCCAUAUUUUUGCCUUGUCCUUCAAAGUAAAAGGGAAUAGCUUGAGUCUUAUCAAGUCUAUUGAAGCUCCUCCCUCUCUAAAAGUAUUGCACACCUCCUCAAACUCCUUGAUAUGGGCAUAUGGGUUCUCACUCUCCAUUCCAUGGAAAUUUGGUAGGAGGGGCACAAUAUGGGGCCUUAAAAUCAACUACUCAAGAGGAGGUACGAUGCAUGAGGGUGCACUCAUCCUUGGUGGGUGCAUUCUAUCCCUCAUGGAUAGAUAUGCAUUUGGAUUACACCCUUGACCGUGUUGAGAAUUCUGAUCCUCUUGUGGAGGGUCCAUGAUGUUUACACAGAUAUCCAACUCUGUGUCUUGAGGAUUCUCAAUCCUUACUAGUCUUCCCUCUUGGUCCCGAAUCCAAUAGGGUAUGCACAAGUUACCACUUACCUGAAACAAAACAAAAACAACAAAAACAAAAGAAAGCUAGAAGAAAGUUAAGGUUAGAAAGAAAAUGAAAAUAAACUUAACAAAAGGAAUUCUACAAUUAGAAGAAAUGAAAUGAAGUUAGUGAAAAAGGAAAUCACCAAACUUGUGAUGGAAAUCACAAGUAGCCUCUAAAAAGUUGUAUCACUGUAUUGUGGCACCAUCCCCGGCAACGGCGCCAUUUUGAUUCCGUGAAAUUCCAGUCGGGUCUUUUAAUAAAAAACAUUUAUAAAACCUAUGACCUCAUACUAGCGUAGCAAAGCUACUAUAGCAUAGUGGCUCUAGGGUCGAACUCUGGGAUGAGUUUUCAUUCUACCAGUGAUAUACUCAAGAUUAGAAAUUGAGUCUGAUGAGUUCCUUUGUCAAACACUUAAAGUUUAAAAGAAAAUAAAAUUUGUUUUGAAAGUGGUGUUUGAAACUAAACUAACAUAAAACUAGGUAAAAAUAUGAAAGAAAGAAAGUCUCCCGGAGCUAAGGGUUGCUAGGAUCAAUUUUAGAAUGCAAAGUGGAAAUUCCGGAUUUCUCAUCUCGUAUUGAGGACAACAACAUAAAGGAUGGUUGUUUCCCGAACCGGUAUAGGUUUAACAAUGAAGGUUUAAUCCAUAAAAAAUCAAUAGAAAUGGUAGUCAGGUUCCAUUAAUGUCUUUAGACACUAUGGGUCUUCACCUUGAGCCACUUUCCAAUGGCUCGUACAUGAUAACUAAUGGUCUGAUGUGGAUCUAGCAAUAAGCAUCCACAGAGACCUAAAGCUUACCAUGUAUUGGCCAUUCAAAGUGAUUCUAAGGGAUUUAAAGCAAAACUUUAGAUUUAAAAGCCAUUUAUGAACUCCAGCUACCUGUAUUUAAUGCACGAGAGUUUUCCACUUUAGCAUUUGGACUUUUCACCUAGCUUCCUUCACUCCAAGAAACCAAAGGUUUAGCCUCUCAUUCUCUAGGAAAACAUCCUCAGAGGUUGUUUGGCUUUCAAGAAAAAGAAAAUAGUAGAGAGAAAAGGAAAGCAAAGUGAGCCCUGUAUUUUACUAAGUGUAAAAUAUACAAUGUGUUCGUCGUUUCUUACGAGAGAUGAUUUCCACCCCUUAUAUAGUCUUUACAAAAGCAAAGCCUGUGAUUGGCUAAUUACAGGGAUAAGAAAGGAAUUUACAUCAAAAAAUACAAAAGAAAAGAUCUAAAGUGGAGUCUUCAGAAUAGAGGAGAUUUCGCACCACGCAUGGGCUGGUGCGAAUUUCGCACAAGGAGAAGGUGUUGUGCGAAUUUCGCACAACCUGAAGGUGUUGUGCGAAUUUCGCACAAGCUUGGAGCAGUUGUCUUCGGAAGGCCAUAUCUUCCUCAUUUCAGCUCCAAAUCGUACAUGGUUUGAAGCGUUGGAUUCUUGACUUCCUGAGCUUUGAAAUGGUAUAUAGCAUGUAGAAAAUGGACUUCGGAAAGUGCUCCAAAAGUGCGAAGGAAGACUGCAGCUGCUGUCCUCUAUUUUCUUCACUUUGUUUGUUUUUCCUCUUUGCUUCUCUCCUUUACUUGGCUUGUCUUAAUGAUCCAAAAAGCUGUCAAAACACUAAAACUAGCCACAAAUAUGAUUAGAAGUCAUUGCUAGGUCCUUAACAUGCCAAUUGGAAUAAAGAUGGAGAAUUACUACACAAAAGUGCUUAAAACAUAAUGAAUUAAAAGUGCAAAAUAGCACUUUUUGGGUAGUAAUCAACCACUCUUGACUUUUGUAAUAGGCAUAAGCCUCAUUCCCCUCGAUGUUUCUUCCACUAGUUUCUUAUUUAGUGGUUUGAUCAAAAGAUCGACCAAGUUCAACUCCGAUCUCACAAAUUCUAAGGAUAUAACCCUUAUUUCAAGCAGUUGUCGCACAAUAUUGUGCCUUAGGCACAUAUACAUGUUCUUCCCAUUAAAUAUUUUACUCUUAGCCUUAGUAAUUGCAGCUUGGAUAUCACAAUGCAUAGACAUAAACGAGGUUGGUCUCGUCCAUAAAGGGAUAUUUUCUAAGAGGUUUCUAAGCAACUUAGCCUCAGAACUUGCCUUUUCUAAGGCAAUAAACUUAGCCUCCAUAGUAGACCGAGUAAUGCAAGUUUUCUUGGCAGACUUCCAAGAAACUGCGCUUUCACCAAGGGUGAAAACAUAUCCACUAGUGGAUUUAAUCUCAUCUGAAUCCGAGAUCAUUUGCAUCACUAAAUCCUUUAAGGACACUUGGAAAUUCACUAUAGCACAAACCAUAGUUAAUGGUGCCUCUCAAAUACUUAAGGACUCUAUGAACAACAGUCCAAUGGUCCUGAUUAGGACUUUGGGUGUACCGACUCAAUCUACCUACUGCAUAAGUAAUGUCAAGUCUAAUACAUUUCAUUAAGUACAUUAGGCUCCUUAUGAUUUGAGCAUACUCUAUUUAGGCAACACUGUGUUUUUUAUUUUUCUUCAGCUGUGAGUUGGGAUCAUAACGAGUUGACACUGGUUUACAAUCAAAGUGUUCAAGCUUUCUUAGGAUCUUCUCAACAUAGUGCUCUUGAGAAAGUUUAAGCUCAUUAGGUGUUCUAGUUAUUUUAAUUCCUAGAAUCGCCUCUGCCUCUCCUAGGUCUUUCAUAUCAAACUUAGAACCUAGGAAUUUCUUGAUCUCACACACAACAUCUAAGGUAGUUCCAAAGAUCAUCAUGUCAUCAACAUAAAGGCAGAUGAGGACACAUGUGUUAUCCUCAUACUUGCUGUAGAUACACUUAUCAACAUCAUUAAUGGAAUAUCAAUUAGUUACUAAUGCAUGAUCAAACUUAUUGUACCACCAUUUGGGAGCUUGUUUUAACCCAUAUAGUGAUUUAACUAGCUUACACACCUUUUUUUCCUUCUCUAGAACUACACAACCCUCAAGUUAUUCCAUAUAAAUUUCCUCUUCCAAAUCCCCAUUCAAGAAUGUAGUCUUGACAUCCAUUUGGUGUAUCACUAGAUUAUGAAUGGAAUCUAGAGCAAUCAAUACUCUAAUUGAUGCUAUUCUAGUCACAGGGGCAAAGGUGUCAAAGUAAUCUACAUCAUUCCUUUGUUUAAAGCCUUUAGCAACUAAACGAGCUUUAUACUUCUCUAUGGACCCAUCUUGUUUUAACUUUCUUUUAAAGAUCCACUUACAACUAAUAGUCUUUGCACUAGGAGGUAAAUCUAUUAACUCUCAUGUAUCGUUAUACAUGAUUGAUUCGAUUUCACUGUUAAUGGUCUCCUUCUAGAAUGGUUCAUCAAUAGAAGUUAUAGCUUCUUUCUAGGAUCUAGGGUCCUCAUCUAUUAGGAAGGUGUAGAAACCAUCUUCAAGGUUUGUUUCUUUCCUAUAUCUUUAACUCCUUCUAGGUUCAAAUUCAGAAGGUUCAAUAGACUCAUCUCUACUUGUUUUUUGAAUUUGUUGUUCACCAUUUAGUUUCAUAGGAAAGAUUGUUAGAAAAAUUAGGCUAAUCCAACCUAUAGUAAUCACCCUAAAGGGGGGGUGAAUAGGGUGAUGGUUUUUUUUUUUUCAAAUUUAAACUAUGUGAAUGUAAGAGACAAUUAUAUGCAAGUAUAUAAUAAGCAAUGUAAAGAUAGUUGCAUAUAAAUUAAAAGAGUAGGGAAGAGAGAAUGCAAACACAAGAUUUUAUAAUGGUUCAACACGACCCGACCUACAUCCACUCUCCUCUAACUUCAAUCCCAAGCUUUAGGUUCUACUAAUUCAAGGCUUCUAAACCAAGCCUUCAAGCAAUACAAUUGGAUUGUUGUUCCAAUUCACCCUCUUGGACUUUUGGCUCCAAGCACCCUUUACACUUCUCAAGAGAUAUCCCACUCUUAAACAACCCCUCAAGUGAUACCCCACACUUGAGAAACUUCUUCUCAAAGAUUUACAAAUAAAUGAUCUCACAAAAUCCUAGUACAAAAACUUUAAGCUCAAAUGAUACAAGAAAACUAGGAUUGAAUGGUGUACUAAAGAUAUGUAAGUUUUUGAACAAUGGUGCACUAAAAAACACUCUUUCAAAGCUCAAAUAUAUUCAAGAAAGGUUUGGGAAGGUUAAUCUUUUUGAAGUAAUGAAGAUUGGAGCAUUUUUAUAGAAGAAAAAAGUUAAACUAGUCGUUGGGGCUUCAACCGAUCGAGCUGGGGGACAACCGGUUAACUAGCCGUUAGCAUUUAAUGCUUGGCAGGUAACCGUUGGACCUCGACCAAACCUCAACCAGUUGAACAACCGUUCUGGAAGAAAGAGAAAGUUUUUUGCACCCUCGACUGAUUGAGUUGGGGGGUCGACCGGUACUGUUCAUACCCUUGACCGGUUGAGUUGGGGGUCGACCAAUUACUGUUCAUACCCUUGACCGAUUAAGCUGGGGGUUGACCCGGACCUCAUUCGAUUCAACCAAUUGAGCCGUUUUUGGCUCAAAAAACUAGUUUUUUUUUUUUUUUUUAACUUAAAGCCUUUUAAACAAGUUGGAAAGACAUUUGAUACAAGGUUUUAGUUGAAAACAUGAAAUCAUCCAAUUUUUAAAAUAUUUAAAACAAAAUAACUCUUGGAUGAUUUUGGUGCAUAAGUAAAGAAUGUAAUGCAUGAAAAUCCUAGUGCACCAACAACCUUACAAAGAGAUUUUUUGAAGCUUGGGUCUUCAAAAACACUUAUCUUUGAGGUGAUCUUCUUCUUCAUGAUUUCUCCUUGGCUUGAUUUUUCUUUAUGAUUGCCACUUUGGAAAUCGUCUUGCCUAAUCACACUUGAAAUAUAAUCAUUAGUUCUAAACCUUGUUUUGUUAUCAUCAAAACUGAGAUUAACCAAACCUUGGUUUCACAAAGAUGUUUUCAAAGAAAUCUACAUUCUUUGUUUCUAUUAUGGUAUUGACAUCUACAAGACUGUUUUCUGACUUAAUAAUAAGAACCCUAUAUGCCGCACUAUUCUCAACAUAGCCAAUGAACAUUGCAUCAAAGGUUUUAGGACCUAAUUUUCAUUUUUUAGGUUCAAGGAAAAGAACUUUGGCUAAACACCCCCACACUUUCAGGUAUGUUAUAUUAGGUGCAUAACCCUUCCACAACUCAUAAGGAGUUUUACUAAUUUUCUUGUAAGGUAUUCUUUUUUGAAUUUGACAAGCGGAGAGGAUAGCUUCCUCCCAUAAGUUCAAGGGUGCUCCUGAACUUACCAACAUUGCAUUCAUUAUUUCUUUUAAGGUCCUAUUUUUCCUUUCUGCUACUCCAUUAGACUCAAGAAAAUAAGGAGUAGUUUCAUAAUUGAUCUCAUGAUCUUCACUAAAAGAAUUAAAGGUGUUGGACUCAUACUCUUCUCCCUUAUCUAUUCUAAGCUUUUUAAUUUUCUUACUUAGUUGAUUUUCCACUUCAUUUUUGUACUUGAUGAAAGCAUCUCUUGCUUCAUCUUUGUUUCUCAAAAUAUAUACCCUUGUAUACCUUGAGUAGUCAUCUAUGAAAGUUAUGUAGAAUCGUUUACCACCUCUAAUCAUUGUAUUUUUUAGGUUUCCUAAGUCACUGUGUAUUAAACUUAGUAGAUUUGAUUCUCUUUCAACUAUUUUGCAAGAUUUCUUUGUGGUUUUAGAUUUUACACAAGAUUCACAUUUUCCAUGGUUUUCUAAGGACAAUUUAGGGAUUAAACUCAAUUCAACCAUUUUCUUCAUAUAUGAAAAGUUCACAUGUCUUAGUCUACCAUGUCAAAUAUCACAAGAAUCAACUAUGUAAGUAGAAGAAGAAGAUGCAUAAGUAUUGAUAAUAUCAUAAACAUUUAACAUAAAUAAACCUUGAUUACAAUAGCCCUUUCCCACAAAUGCAUCAUUCUUUGUUAAAACUAUUUGAUUAGAGUCAAACAAGAUCUUCACUCCUGCUUUCCCAAGUAGAGAUACUAACACCAAGUUCCAACAGAUAUCUGGCACAUGAAGAACAUCACUGAGGGCAAGCACUUUUUCAUAGGUUAGCUUGAUGAGAACUUUCCCUUUGCCAAUCAUUGGAGUAGAUCUAGAAUCACCCAAGAACACUUGUUCAUCUCUUUCCUUUAUAGUGGUAUAGGAAGUAGAUGCACUUCUAUUCCCACAGAUGUGUCUGGUAGCCCCAAAGUCUACCACCUAGUCCUUUAUAUUGGUGACCAUGCUCACCUCAGAGGAUAUUACUAUUGUGAUCACCUUUGUCUCUGCCAAAUUUGCCUUUGAAUUGGACUUCUCAUUUCUCUUCCUAUGAUGACAUUGAGCUACAUGGUGUCCAAACUUGCCAUAGACAAAGCAAUUACCCCAUUUUUUAAUAGUUGAGUUCUGGACCUUGUUUGAUGCAAUGGGCUUGGUCCCAGAGUUUUAUUUUCUAGACCUAUUAUUUUUUGGUUUAGGUUUUUCUUCUACUACAUUAGCCUUAGAAGACGAUUCCUUAGCUUUCUCAACAUUGUCCCUAUUUCGAUUUUGUUCCUCAAUCCUAAUAUAGAUUAUGAGAUCUUUUAGGGACAUUUGUUUCUUUUUAUAUUUCAUGUUAUUUUAGUAGUAUUUCCAAGACUUUGGAAGAGUCUCUACUAAAUAACCAGCCACAAAAGUUCGGGUAAUUUAAUGUCUUAAAUAGCUAAGUCAUUAAUCAUUAAGUGGUACUCAUGGAUUUGAGAUGAUACAUCUAUAUCCUCGGUCAUUUGGAAAUUUCUAAAAUUCCCUAUGGCAUAUUUUUUAGUUCCUACAUCUUCCAAGAUAUAUUUUUUAUUCAUUAUAUCCCAAAUUUCUUUUGCAACUCUAAAUUGACAAUAAAUAUAAAAAAGUUCAUUAGAAAUGGUACUCAGAAUAACAUGCCUAACUUGUUUAUUUCCCAUUUCCCAUGUAGGCAACAAAUCAGAAUUAUCUUCUGGUUUUGGGUCAGUCAAAAUGUAUCCCAAGUUCACUACAUCAAUUGCAGAGAAAAACCUUUCCUGCCAUCUUUUGAAGAAUGUCCCAUUAAAGGGAUCAAUCUUAAAGGUGUCAGGACGGGUGUGAACUAAGGAAGCUUCCAUCUGGGAUCUAUUUCAAGAUUGUUGUUUUUAAGGGUAUGGAAACAAAGGACUAGCCCAAAACAGACAAACAAAGAACAUAAUAAAUAACAAGGAAACUUAUCGGCUAAGGCAUGACAAACACUAUCCUUGAAAUAGAUCCACCUUCUUCAAAGACGAACUCGGUGCACUAAGGUACCAGUGGUCUACCUCCAAGAUUAAAAAGCCAGAGAAUCUCACCUUGGGUGCACUAUGUAAACAAGAUGUGUAUAGCUCAGGUUCUGAAAUAUUCCUCCAGAUAGAUGUAUGAAAGGGUCUCUGAAAAACUCUCUAAAAGAUUGGUAUAUAGAGAGUGAAAGGUGACCUGCUUUUAUAGGCCACUAACACAGUCCCAUUGGGACUCUACUUGUAAUCAGAACAGGAUUCUACUUGUAAGUGGAACGGGACUCUACUAGAACAAUCCCAAUGGGACUCUUCCCAAAGAUAAAAGACUAAGUCAAAGGAAAUAAAAAUUAAAAUUAAAAAAAAUAUAUUAUUUUCAAUUUUGUAAAAAAAUUGUUGUGUUCUCUAAAACACUUUUUCACAUUGACACUCUUCCUACAAAUAGAUGGUAUGCUCCCCUAUGAAUGCGUGCUGACCUUUCCAACUGAUCUUCCUUCCAAACUUUUGGUGCACGGUAUGCUUUUUAAGCAUACAGUCAUGGUUUCCUAAAAAAAAUUGAUGGAGCUUCCUUUUACGUGAAAGUGUGGCCCUUAAGGUAAGUCUUGGCAGUCCGGGUUUCCUUUUAAUAUGUGAGAAUUUGUGUUUUUCUCUUUUGCAAUGCCUUCGAUCCUUUCCAAAUUCUGGUGGUGCCUCUUCCCAAAAAAAUUCAGUUGUGGAUAUCUCCAUAUAUGCAUCCACACUUUCCAUGAAUUCUCCAUUACAUAGCCAAAGAUAAAAUUAAAAUUCAUGCAAUGCAAUUAUAUUUAAAAAAAAAAAAAUAGAAAUCAUGAAAUUUAAAAAGAAAAUAACAAGAUCAAUCACAUGCAUAUAUAAGAAAAUCAAAAUAUUAAUUCAUGCAAAUUAAAAAAAAUUAAAAUCAUCAAUCUCAUGCAAUUUUCUAAAAUAAAUAAAUAAAUAAAUAAAAUAUAAUAUAAAUAUAAAUAUAAAUAUAAACAUUACAUAUACAAAUAAAUAAACAAUUGCAAUAGGUAAUAAUCAAAAUAUUAAAUUCAUACAACCAAAAAUUGGUAUUCUCAUGCAAUCAAAAAUUGAAGUCAAAUGCUCACCUAAUACUAAAAGCAUGAAAUUUAAUUCAAGAUCAAACUAAGUAACCAUGCCCAAAAAAGCACCUAAGUGAAACUAUCCUAAAAAAAAAAUUUUUAAACAUCUAAGUAACUUAUGCUUAGAACUAAACUAAAGAGGUUGUCAAAUUCAUGGUAAAGGUUUAAAUAAAUUCCUCAACAAAGAAUCCCUAAAAGUGUCAAUGGGCCACCAAGGGAUGACUACAAAUCAAGAGAAAAGUACAUGAAACACCUAGAACUACAUCUGUUAAGAAGACAAAAAGGAGGGUUUACACUAGUCAUUAAGGCAUUAAAUGCAUAACAAUUGACCGUUGGCCUUUUUUAGGUUCCAUUAGGUCUCGACUGGACCUCAAUCGAGAAGGGUCAAGCCUUGACCAAGAAUGCAAACUCAUUGUUUGAUUUUGGACAAAAACGAGAGUAAUUUUGUAUCCUCGAAUGAGAAUGCAAACUCACUGCUUGAUUUUGAACAAAAACAAGAGUAAUUUUGUAUCCUCGAUUAAGAAGAGGUAACCGAUUUAGUCAAUUCUCAACUAGUUGAGCUGGUUCAAUUCGUCCUCAAUUGAUUGGACUAAAAACAGGCCUAAACCUCUUUUUUCUCUUUUUGAAACCAUUUAAUACUUAGACAACAUCUUUAAGUACCUUUGUGGGUUAAUUUAUGAUAGUUUUGCCUAAGUUUUGUGAAAAUAUACUCAAGUUUAGAUAAGAUGUGAUCUUUAAAGCUUAAUGCUUAAGAAAACCAAGAACACAAAAGAUGCAUAAUAAAGUAAAAAUCUUAGGUACACCCAAAUAUUCAUCUCACAAUGAGUUCCUAAGCUUGAAUGGACUUCAUACACCCUUAGCUUUGAUUUUCAUGGAUUCUUUUAUGCCUCAUUUGUCAUUUCUUUCAAUUUUCUCCAUUAAUACCUAAAACUUAACUCGAUGUUCAAUUAUUAGCAUACUAACCAUGAUUUGUUAUCUUCAAAACAUACUUAGGAGAAUCUUUGGGCUAACAAGAACAAAUAAUGGAACAAAUGUAUAAAAAAUAUAAUCAAGUACAAUCAAUGAGAUGAAGGUAUAAAUAAAUAUAAUUAAAGUAUAAAGCAACAACAUGUAAAUGGAUAGGUAACAUCAAGGAUGAAAAUUUCUGAAUAUUUUUCCAAAAUGUCACCAAAAUAUAGGAUAUUGGGAGUGGAUGAUGCCAAAAAUGAAGAAGAUAAGUCAAUAAGGAGAAAAAACGAAAAAAAAAAAAAAGUAUUGAAAUAAUUGAUAAAAUAGUAUAAAUUUGGUGGAAAAGUUAGGUGUGUAGGUUAAAAUUGCUGAUGUUUUGAUGAAAAAUCACCUUGAAAAGAAUUUUUUUACUUAUUUUUUCAUAUUUAUUUUUUAUUUUAAAUUUAUAUUACCCUUUUAUUUUAUACUAUCUUUUUAUUUUAAUUAUUUUCCAUAUUUACAACAUUAAUCUUUUUUUUUUUAAAUUAAUAUCACUUCGCUUUUAAUUUUUUUUGUAAUAUUUAUCCUUUUAAUUUUGUUUGAUUUUUAAUUUUUAAAUUUUAAAAUAUUUAAAAGAUAAAUUUAUUCAAAAGUUAAUAAAAUAUUAAAACAAUUAAUAAAGUUAUUAUAUUUUAUAAAAUAUAAUUUUAAAUUAAAAUUAAUUUGAUAAGAUAAAUUAGUAAUAUAAUUUUUAAUAAUUUCAAUUAUUUAAAUAAAUCAAUGUUAAUACAAGUAUUUUAACCAACAACAUAAAAUUGUCUGUAGACCCCCUCAGAUGGAAGGCAGGUCUUUUGUUUUUUUAUUAUUUAUUAUUAUUUUCUUCUUUUCUUCUUUCCCGCUUCUUCAUCAACCCGAGAAUGGGCUGCAUGGGGCGGCGAGAUGGGACUGGCCGCUUGAAAGGGGGACAACAGAGCAAAAGGUGGUUGGUUACAGGUUGUGGCAGAGAGAUUUUUUUUUUUUUCGUUGGCUUAAGGAGCAAGCCAGAGGGGGGUUACGAAAGAGAGUCUGGCUGGAGUAGCAAAGGAGAGAAGCAGAACAGAGGAACGAGAAGAAAAAAAGAGAAAGAAUGGGAGAAAAUGGAGAAAAAACUUGGAUUAGGUGAUCUGGGAGGGAGACACUUAGAGGGGGGAUACCCAGAAAAUGAGAAGAGAAAAGGGAGAACAUGCAGAAGCAUCAUCUUGAAGGAAGACAACUCAAGUAUUAUUUCUAGAGGCUGUUGAUCCUUUGGCAUUCAUGCCAUUUUUACUGUGCUAUUUGAGUAUUAAGAUAUUCUAUUUUGAUGUCAGAGUUUGCUCACACUCAUGAUGUGUUUGAUUUCUAACUUAUUUUCUAGGCUUGCUUCGAGUUUUUUUUUUUAUAUAUUUUUUUUAUAUUUUUUUAUGAGUUGCUAGCCAUCACGAUUUUUUUUUUUCCCUUUGCAACCUAUCUGAAAUCCAUUUUUAGUCACCUCUAUCUCACCAAACUCACCCCAUCUCACUACCUUCACACCCAUUUACAUACCUAUGCAUACCACCACCCAUAUCUCCAUCUCCCAAUACCCAGGUCACCCACUCCUCUCACCACCCUUCUAACUAUUUAUACCUAUUUCUCACUCUACCCCUCAUCAUUUAUUAUACCCAUCUUCAUGCACACAUCCCCUAUUUUCAUCCUACCGCCUAACCCACUCCUCUUAUUUUAUACCCCCAUGUGCACUUCUAGCUUCACACCCCACUUACCCAUGGCCACGUCCACCACCUUAGUCAUGUCUCCGAAUCUUCUAAGCCCAUUGUCAUCGUGCCCACUACCCGUACCCAAUACCCCUCCCGCUACCUCCUUCAUCUCUUAUAUACCCAUAAUACCCAUCUUACUACUUUCCAACACUCUUCGUCCACCAUUCAUUUCCCGUUCACCUAUCCCGUGUCCUCCCAUGUGCAUGCAAUUCAUGCUCACCAUCUCUCAUUACCCUCCCCAAGCCUUCUCAUGCAAUGUGCAGCCCGCGCAUGCUUGCUCCUUACCUUAGAGCCUUCCAUACUCGGCGGCCUCUGCAUGCCAUGGUGAGGAUAGAUGAUGCAAUCCCCACACAGUUUUCCCAUCGACCUUUCUAUCCCGAGCUCGCACGCACACGGGUUCAGCCGCUAUGGCCGCCAAGAGGCUAAAAGAGUUGCUAGAAACUCACAAGCCUUUAGCGCAUGAAAACUCAAGCAUUACCAACAGAAAUGAAACAAAUGGGCAGAACAAUGAGAGGUCUCUACAGCGCCGGCUGGGUUACAAGCUAGAAGUCAUGGGGAAUAUGCAAAAUAAAAAUGGGUUUGUGGUGAGAGUGUUAGAUAUAUAUGAAUAAAAAAAUGGGAUGGUGGUGUGGGUGUGAUAAUAUUGCAACAUACAUGAAAAUGGGUUCAUUACCACUACUAGAGACGUGUAACUUUCAUGGGGAUCACCAAUUUCUUUUAUUAUUUCUUCACGUUUUGGAUAUCAAAGUAAUUCUCUAAUAUUCCGGUUUUCGAAAUUUAAUUUUCCGACAUUCCAUCCUUAAAAUAAUUUUUUCGAGUUGGUAGUUUUCGAAAUCUAAUUUUCCGACAUUCCAUCAUUAAAAUAAUUUUUUGAGUUCCAGUUUUCGAAAUUUAAUUUUCCUACAUUCCAUCCUCAAAAUAAUUUUUCGGGUUUCCAAUUUUCGAAAUUUAAUUUUCUGAUGUUCCAUCCUUAAUAGGUUUUCGGGUUUCCAGUUUUUGAAAUUUAAUUUUCCGACAUUCCAUCCUUAAAAUAAUUUUUCGGGUUUCCAGUUUUUGAAAUUUCAUUUUCCAACAUUCCAUCCUUAAAAUUAAUUUUUCGGUUUUUCAGUUUUUGAAAUUUAAUUUUCCAACAUUCCAUCCUUAAAAUAAUUUUUCGGGUUUCCAGCUUUCGAAAUUUAAUUUUCCGACAUUCCAUCUCUAAAUAAUUCUUCAAUUUUCCAAUUCCUAAAUUCACUUCCCAAUUUUCACAAUUAUUUGCCUAAUCAUUAUUAUUUCGUUUAUUUAUUUAUUCAUCUAUUCAUUUAUUUAAAAUUUCAUCUCUAAAUAAUUUUUCAAAUUUCCAAUUUCUAAAUUCAAUUUCCAAUUUUCACGAUUAUUUAUCUAAUCAUUAUUAUUUUCGUUAUUACUAUUAUUCCGUUUAUUUAUUUAUUCACCUAUUCAUUUAUUUAAAAUGUCAUCUCUAAAUAAUUCUUCAAUUUUCCAAUUCCUAAAUUCACUUCCCAAUUUUCACAAUUAUUUACCUAAUCAUUAUUAGUUCGUUAUUGUUAUUAUUCCGUUUAUUUAUUUAUUCACUUAUUCAUUUAUUUAAAAUUUCAUCUCUAAAUAAUUUUUCAAAUUUCCAAUUUAUAAAUUUAAUUUCCAAUUUUCACAAUUAUUUAUCUAAUCAUUAUUAUUUUCGUUAUUACUAUUAUUCCGUUUAUUUAUUUAUUCACCUAUUCAUUUAUUUAAAAUUUCAUCUCUAAAUAAUUCUUCAAUUUCCCAAUUCCUAAAUUCACUUCCCAAUUUUCACAAUUAUUUACCUAAUCAUUAUUAUUUCGUUAUUGUUAUUAUUCCGUUUAUUUAUUUAUUCACUUAUUCAUUUAUUUAAAAUUUCAUCUCUAAAUAAUUUUUCAAAUUUCAAAUUUCUAUAUUCAAUUUCCAAUUUUCACAAUUAUUUAUCUAAUCAUUAUUAUUUUUCAUUUUUACUAUUAUUCCGUUUAUUUAUUUAUUCACCUAUUCAUUUAUUUAAAAUUCCAUCUCUAACUAAUUUUUCAAAUUUUCAAUUUCUAAAUUCAAUUUCCAAUUUUCGCAAUUAUUUAUCUAAUCAUUAUCAUUUUUGUUAUUACUAUUAUUCUGUUUAUUUAUUUAUUCAUCUAUUCAUUUAUUUAAAAUUUCAUCUCUAAAUAAUUCUUCAAUUUUCCAAUUCCUAAAUUUACUUCCCAAUUUUCACAAUGAUUUACCUAAUCAUUAUUAUUUUCGUUAUUAUUAUUAUUCCAUUCAUUUAUUUAUUCACCUAUUCAUUUAUUUAAAAUUCCAUCUCUAAAUAAUUUUUCAAAUUUCCAAUCUCUAAAUUCAAUUUCCAAUUUCCAAAAUUCUCAUCUUCGUAAUUAUUUAUCCAAUCAUUAUUAUUUUCGUUAUUCUAUUCAUUUAUUUAUUCACUUGUUCAUUUAUUUAAAAUUGCAUCCCUAAAUAAUUCUUUAAAUUUCCAAUCCCUAAGUUCAAUUUCCAAUUUCCGAAAUCCUAACUUCCGCAAUUAUUUAUCCAAAUCAUUAUUAUUUCCUCAUUAUUGUUAUUCCAUUCAUUUAUUUAUUCACUUAUUCAUUUAUUUAAAAAUUCCCUCUUUAAACAAUUCUUCAAAAUUCCGAUUUCCAAAUUUAGUUAUCUGAAAUUCCAAUUUUCCAAUUUCCGAACUUAAUUUUCAGUUUCCAAUAUUCCAAUUCUCGCAUUUAUUCCGUUACUUAUUUAUUAUUAUCAUUAUUAUUAUCAUUUUAUUCAUUUAUUUCUAAAAAAUUAUGCCUUCGAAUGAUUUCCAAGAUUUCCAAUUUCUAUAAUUCAAUUUUCAUAGUUUCUACUUCUCAAAUAAUUUUCAAUUAUGAUUUCUUUCAAAAUUUAAUUUCCAAAGUCCCAAUUUUCGUAAUUUAAUUUUUUUUAAAUCCCAACCUCUCAAAUAAUUUUCAAAAUUCCAAUUUCUUUCAAAUUUAAUUUCUAAAAUUCUCAUUCUUACAUUUAAUUUCUAAAAAUUCAAUUUUCAAAUAAUCUCUAAAACUCCAAUUUUCAAAUAAUCUCUAAGACUCCAAUUUUCAAAUAAAUUUCAAAAAUCCAAUUUUCCCUGAAACAGUUUUAAUUUCUGUUUGGUGAUGCAUGUGAUAUGUUUUGUGCUCUUUAUUGUACACGACCCCAUUUUUAUGAUAGCGCAUUGGUCGUUCGUGGCCCAGGUACGCAUCCACUCCCAUUAUGAUCAUUCUCUAUGCAUGUUUUGAUUCCCAUAUGUGCAUGAUAGAUUUGAGUAUCCAUUGAUUUUCCUAUUGAUUGCCACAUCAACUUCGUUUCAUUAGUAGAGACCUUACUUUAGGGACUUAGAGUGGUGCUACGAUCUUUACUGUACCUUCUUGAUAAGUAACCUGACCCCCGAGCCCGAUUUGGUUUUUCACAGACCACCUUUUCCAAAAUAAGGAGUCACGCUUAGGGUUUUCUUUCUUAUUUUGUUUACCCUUUUAAAAAUAAAACAAAUAUAAGUGGCGACUUCAAGUCAUUUUUUUAAUAAAUAAAAUCAUUUUCAAAUAAAAAUCGAGCUCACCAUCGAGUGGAAAACGCAUGAGCCGAAAUACGGGGUCCACAAAAUGGCGACUCCACUGGGGAUGUAUAAGAGAGUCAAGCUUGAACUUAAAAUGAAGCAAAUGUGGCAUUUGAUGAGUUGAUCAGUGGGUACUCGUCUCUUGAUUGCACAUCGGGAGUUCUUGAGUUUUCACUUGGGACAUUGACAUGUUGAUCGUGUUGGUUGAUCAUUUUGAUUGAGGAUUCUAAUAUGGUGAUUCUUUUUGUGCUUCAUUGAUAUAUUUGUUUCAGAUAUUUGACAUGUUGAUUGUGAUGAUUGAUUUGUUUUGAUUGCGGAUUCUGAGAUGUCUACUUCUUCUAUGCUUCAUUGCUAUAUUUGUUUGGGAUGUUGACAUGCUGAUUAUAUCGUUUGCUUAUCUUGUUUUGCUUGGCAUAGCAACUCUGACUUUGACAUGUUUAUUCUGAUCCCUUCCCAUGUAUAGACUCACCAUUGCAUAUUGUUUGACUUGUCAUAUUGUUUCUCUGUAUUGUAUAUUCUCUUGAUUGUCUUCGAGCAUGAUAUCUGUAUCAUUUCUCAUCUGAUUGUCAUAGUUUGUAUGUGGAUAUGAGUUAUAUAUUCUGUACUCUGCUUGACUGUAUGUCACAUGACUGCCCUCCUUCUACGUGAUUGUAUGUCAUUUGUCCGUGUAUGCCGCACAUCUAUCCCCUUAUCUCCAAUCCUCUAGUUUUCGGUCAUUUCUUUCAUUAUGGCUCUCACUUUAGCAAGUGUGAGGCCUUGUGUGUGCUUGUUUCUUCGACCGAGCUAGAGGAUAGGAGUAGGGUCUAGCGACGGGCUAUAUCAAUGUUCGGGAGCAUUAUGGAGGGGUUCGACACUCUGGUGCUGACUGGAGUCCGAUCAUUGAAGACCUGUAUAGCCCGGAGCUAGGUUUCAUGGAUACUUGUGCGACCAGUAUGUUUCCUAUUCUACUUUAGCUUCAUAGGGUUUUUGGAUGCACCCACACCACUCACUAUGCACUCUAGUUGACCGCUGAGUGUUGAGAGUUCUAAGAUAUUUCACCAUAGGAAACCCCCUGGGAUGUCGAGGUAGUGCAUGUGUGGAGAUAAUGACCACCUUACAUGGAAACGCCCCGUCUCUUCAGAGGCAUGCAGAGGGUUGCGUACCGUCGGAGGGUAUGAUCGCUUCUGCUAGGGAUCCUUUAAAGUCCACCCCUCUUCUUUUUAGAGCCACCUUGAACUCGUAGGUUAAGCCUUAUACAUUUCAAUCAGGAUUUCCUUUCCCAACACGUGGGUGCAUUUGUGGGCUUUCAAAGCCAGUUCAAUAGUGAUAGGUUUAGUUAUCUUCAUAGUGGUCUCUUAUAUACCUGCUCAGGAUUGGAUAUCAAUUUAAAUGCUUCCGGGUUACUUUUCGAUGCAUUUAAUAGACAUUCUAUGUGAAGUUUCCCUUACCUCGUAUCUUAUCUAGUAUUUCCACUGUUGUAGGAGUAUCGAUACAUUCGGUCUGGGUUCGACUUCUUGGAUCAGAGUUGGAGGUAGAUUGAUCAAGGUAUCAGAUCAGUCAAACCAGAGAUCAGAUCAAAGAGGUAUGGAUUCACAAAUAGUUACCGUUGAUCAGUUUGCUAAGGCCAUGGCUUCGAUUCAGGAGGCUAUAGCUAGCCUCGGUUGGAGGAUAGAUGGGCAACAAGCCCAACAGGUCCCGUCUCAAGAUAGUGCCCAGUAUGACCCUACAGUGCCACCACCCCCUCCACCCAGUCAGUCAGCACCACAAGCCAUACCUUUCACUCUGUAUAGUCAAACUGAGGUUGCCCCGCCUCUUAUCACUAUGCCCACCCCAACCUCAGAGGACCCACAUGCUCGCAUGGAUAUGCUUGAGCAGAGGUUGAGGCAGCUGAGGACUUCAGACAAAGCUGUUACUUGGGAGGAUUUUGAUGGAGCACCGGUGGCCAGUUUACCGGCUAAGUUCAGGAUGCUAGAGAUUGAGCGAUACACGGGGAUUGGCUGCCCCCGCAUCCAUUUGAGCCUUUACAGUACGAUCAUGAGGGCUCACAGGUUGGAUGAGACUCAAAUGAUUAUGUUUUUCCCUAUGUCAUUGAGUGGCGUGACACAACGUUGGUUUGCUUCAUUGGAUGUAUCACACUGUCAGACUUGGGAUGAUCUGGCCCAGGAGUUCUUGAGACAGUAUGCAUUUAAUAAUAUCAUUGACGUAUCGAGGAGGGAGUUAGAGGCGUUGAGACAGAGGCAAGAGGAGUCGGUCACCUUGUUCAUCUCCCGUAGGAGGGAGAAUAUUUUGUAGGUCAUUGAUAGACCAUCUGAGAGGGAUAAGAUCAGCAUGAUUAUGAGGAGUUUGUAGCUUUAAUUUGCUCGACACUUGAUGGGAUUUCCACAUACAGAUUUUAGAUCUUUGGUACAAGCCUUAUAUGGUAUAGAGGAGGGCAUAGCUAGAGGAUUAUGGUUUGAGUCUUCUCCUUCUGAUUCGAAAGGGAAGAAGCCCUUAGGAGGACAUAGAUCGAGAGAUGCUAGUGCUAUCAGUUCGGCAAGUUUGAGACUUCCUAGACGCUAUCAGACAGUUGGGCAGACUUCUGGACUCUACUACCCACCAUCACCUCGUGUGUAGUAUAGACCACGAGCACCUUCACGGUCGUAUGAUCAGACCUAUGUGCCUUCUACAUUGGCACUGCCUCACCACACCGCACAAGGCACAGAGAGGCCUUCUGUCUCAUAUUCUACCACAACGCAGCCAUGCUAUGUAGCAUAGUUUUUGUGAGACCUACGACAUCUUAUCCUAGGCCUCAAGCUCAGCAAACCUCUGCUCCUUUUGCUUUGAGGACACAGAGGUAGUUUUCACAGUUAGGCAUGUCGUUGAGCCAGGCUUUUCGGAAGCUUACAAAGGUCGGAUUGUUGAUGGCUUUCACUCCCAAACCACCACCCCAACCUAUUCCACCUCAGUUCAGGAUGGAUUUACAUUGUGUGUAUCAUUAGGGACCAGGACAUGAGACAGAUCACUGCACUGCUCUGAGACACGCCAUCCAGAAUCUGAUUGAUCAGGGUGUGGUCCACUUGGGUCAGUCGAGUAUGACGACGAACCCAUUACCGACUCACACUACACACGUGGUCCCCCCUCCGACCGAUAGCAUGCACUCCAUUGACUUCGUUGAGCUUGACGAUCACAUCCACAUGCUGAGUUGGGAUGAGUCAGAGUCAGAGCCCAUAUUAUCAUAUGAGAUUUAUGAGAUAGGCAGAGUGAUUUUGGGCCCGCGGAUGUCCACACCAUUCAGAUCGGUCCCUGAGGCGGCAUCAGUACAAACUGCCACUGUCGAGCCGUCGAUCUUCCCACACUACAGUGUUCGAACUCCGUUUGUUUUGAUUCCAGAUGUUGAUGAGGUUCAGACUCCGUAUGUUGAUAUUCAUCAAACUCCAUAUGUCGAUGAUGCUCACACUUUAGAUGUGCAGUAUGUCAUUUGCGGGGGUAAAGUGGUACGACAGCAGCCCCCCACAGCCGCUAGACCUUUGGAGGGGACGUCCUCCCAAGAGAAGGUCAAGAAGGAGGAUGAUGAGAUUUUGAGGUAGUUAUAGAGCACUCAGGCAUGCAUUUCUAUCUGGAGCUUGUUAGCAUUUUCCAGCACUUACCGAGAUGCCUUGAUUUGAGCCCUAAGCCAGAUAAGAGUCGAUACUGCCACCACUCCGGAGGGGUUGAUCCACAUGGUGACGACUGGCAGAGCCACAUGCAUAGUGUUCUCGGACGACGACUUGCCACCGGAGGGUUUAGACCACACACGUCCCCUUUAUAUAUCUGUCGGUUGUUUAGGUCGUCGAGUCCCAUCUAUCCUUCUAGACAAUGGCUCGACCCUGAACGUCUGCCUCUAGCCAUUGCCAUCGCUCUCGGCUAUGCACCUUCUGAUUUUGGUCCCUCCACUCAGACCAUUCGAGCAUACGACAGUACUCGAAGGGAGGUCAUGGGCACCUUGGAGAUUGAGCUACUGAUAGGUCCGGCUACAUUUGUCAUUGUAUUCCAGGUUUUGAGGAUUCCCGCAUCCUUUAACCUGCUUUUAGGCCGACCUUGGAUCCACAAAGUUGGGGCCAUUCCUUCUUUCCUUCAUCAGAAGGUAAAGUUCAUUCACGAUGGCCAGGUCAUCACAGUGCAGUCCGUGGGAGACAUGUUUAUUUCUGUUGAGCCUGUGCUUCAGAUUAGUCACAGUGAUGAUGACCUAUUUCUGACUGGAUUCACGUUUGAUGAGGUGCAGACCCUAGGGAUGGAGGAUUUUAGUCGAGACUUCGUGGCUAUGUCGUUUGAUCAGCAUGACAGCACAAUGGUGCUCGAUAUGAUGAGGAACAUGUCUUAUUUACCCGGUAUGGGGUUGGGGCAACAUCAGUACGAGCCCAGUGAUUUCAUGGCUAUCCCUGAUCAUGAUGUACCAUUCGGACUCGGGUUCAUCCCCACUAAGGCCGAUUAUAGAUAUAUGGCGUGAUUGCGUAAGGAGCGGGUGAGGGCUCGACUGACUCAUACGCCGUUUGAUUAUCCUGUUCGUCCAUACACCAUGACUUUGAUGGACUAUUUCUUGAAAGCAUCAAAGUCGCAGACUCAUUUGAAUCGGAUCAUUGGGGGACUCAGCACUACUCAAGAGCCCAAGCUACAGUGCCUCGUCCAUCAGCUACAGUUGAGUGAUGGAGCCCUCGACACUUCAACAUCUACGUUGGCAGCUCCUUCAUCUCCAGAUCACAUGAGCCUUAUGACGCUCUAUUUCCCAGAUGAGGUCGAUGAGCACGGGACGUUUGUUGAGAUCGGAGACAUAGUGGAUGGAGUUGUGCCACAUGAUGAGUUCAUCGAUGAGAUGCUCGCGAUCAGUUUGAGCCAGAUCGAGGAGAUAGUUCAGCCUGAGCUCGCUUCACCAUUUGAUCUUUUCGGGGUGUUCGUCAUCGAGAUAGUUGAGGAGAUCUUGACUGCCCCUGCUCCGAAGUCUAUAGAGGAUGUUUUAGCUACUGAUGAUUUGUUUGAUGGCCCUAUUAACCCAGUUGAGGGAGCGUCCGACUUUGUGGACCCACCUUUUUCAUUUGAUGUUUUAUCAAGAUUUGUCUCCCAUUCUGACGAUGUUCAUGACUCUUCAUUUAUGGAUUUGAGCAUUUUCGAGUAUCUGCCUGUCUCUUAUGAUAUCACUUUAUCUACACACUCUUCACCCACAUCAUAGAUAUUUGAUAUAGAUGAUGAGAUUAUACAGCACGAUUAGAUGAUGACUCAUCUUCUGUUUCUGAUUCGCACCCCAUUGAUCAGAGAGUUUCACCUCCCACAGAAGACGUUGAGGUUGUUGAUUUUGGUACAGCAGACCAGCCAAAGGAGCUGAGGAUUGGAUUGGAUUUGUUUACAUAUGAGAGGGAUGACCUCGUCCGGUUGCUUAGAUCAUAUUUGGAUGUUUUUGCAUGGUCUUAUGAGGACAUGCCGGACCUUGAUCCAUCCAUAGUCCAGCAUCACUUGCCACUUCUGCCUCAAGCCAGACCGAUUAAGUAGAAGUUGAGACGAUUGCACUAUCAUUGGAGCUUGCAAGUGAAAGAGGAGAUCCAAAAAUAGCUCAGUGUCAGAUUUUUGUCAGUGGUCGAGUACCCGAAGUGGCUGGCCAAUGUCGUCCCUGUUCCCAAAAAGGAUGGCAAGUUGAGAGUCUAUGUUGAUUUCUAAGAUCUCAACAAGGCCAGCCCUAAGGACAAUUUUCCUCUCCCACAUAUCGACAUGCUAGUUGAUAGUACAACAGGUCAUUCGAUGUUGUCCUUUAUGGACGGAUUUUUCGGGUACAAUCAGAUCUUGAUGGCUCUAGAGGACAUGGAGAAGAUGUCCUUCAUUAUCGAGUGGGGUACUUAUUACUAUAGAGUAAUGUCAUUCGGAUUGAAGAAUGCAGGAGCCACCUAUCAGAGAGUAGCGACCACCCUCUUACAUGACAUGAUGCAUCGAGAUGUUGACGUUUAUGUAGACGACAUGAUAGUGAAAUCCUGAGGUAGAUCAGAUCACCUAUUAGCUUUGGAGAGGUUCUUUGAGAUGAUCAGGCAGUUCAGAUUGAUAUUGAAUCCCAAGAAGUGCACUUUUGGAGUUAUUUCUAGGAAGCUCCUUGGAUAUAUGGUCAAUGAGAGAGGCACAGAGGUAGAUCCGGACAAGAUCAAAGCCAUCUUUGACAUGCCUGCACCGAGGACAGAGAGAGAGGUCAGAGGCUUCUUGGGUAAACUUCAGUACAUCAGUAGAUUCAUUGCCAGAUUGAUAGACAUCUAUGAACCCAUUUUCCGACUCUUGAGGAAGAGUCAACCUAUUGUUUGGGAUGAUCAGUGUCAGCGUGCAUUUGAGAUGAUCAGAGAGUAUUUGUUGUCACCACUAGUUUUGGUACCUCCUACGCCAAACCAUCCUUUACUCCUAUAUCUGUCAGUUUCAGACGUAGCAUUGGAGUGCAUGUUGGCUCAGCUCGAUGAUUCGGGCAAAGAGCGAGUCAUUUAUUAUCUGAGUAAGAGGAUGCUGGAUUAUGAGAUGAGAUAUGUCAUGAUUGAGCGCUACUGUUUGGCAUUGGUUUGGGUCACUCACCGAUUGAGACAUUACAUGCCGAGUAUUCAGUGCACUUGAUAUCCCAUCUAGAUCAUUUGAGAUAUUUAUUUGAUAGGCUCGCUUUGGUCGGUCGUCUCAUGAGAUGGUUGAUACUUCUGACCGAGUUUGACAUCCAUUAUGUCACUCAAAAGUCCAUUAGAGGGAGCAUUAUUGCGGAUCAUCUAGCCUCAUUGUCAGUUUCUGAUGAUAGAGCUAUUGAUGAUGAUUUCCUGGAUGAGGAUGUUGCUGUUGUGACUAGUCUGUUGGGUUGGAGUAUGUACUUUGAUGGUGCAGCCAACCAUUCUGGAUAUGGGAAAAGUAUCUUGUUGAUAUCCCCUCAUGGUGAUCACAUUCUUAGAUCUAUUCAUUUGGCAUUCACGGAUCGACAUCCUGCCACAAAAAAUAUUAUUGAGUAUGAGGCUUGUAUCCUGGGAUUAAAGACUGGUCUCGAGCUCGGGAUUAGAUAGAUGGAGGUGUUUGGUGACUCCAAUCUGGUAUUGAGACAGAUUCAGGGUGAGUGAAAGACUAGAGAUGUGAAGCUUAGGCCUUACCAUGCAUACUUGGAGCUACUGGUUGGAAGAUUUGAUGAUUUGAGAUAUACACAUCUGCCUAGAGCGCAGAACCAGUUUGUCGAUGCCUUAACUACUUUAGCUUCUAUGAUCAAUAUUCCUGCUGAUGCCACUCUUCGCCCUUUACUGAUCAAGUCGAGAUUCAUUCCUACUUAUUGUUGUCGGAUCGACGAUACAGAGCCAGAUGAUGGUUUGCCCUAUUAUCACGACAUAUAUCACUUUUUGAGGCUUGGCAUAUAUCCUGAGGCCGCCAUGACUAAGGAUAAGAGAGCAUUGAGACAGCUAAUCGCUCCAUUCAUGAUUUGUGGCGAGACAUUGUACAGACAAUCAGCUGAUGGGAUGUUGUUAUUGUGCUUGGACCGCACCUCUGCUGAUCGAGUUAUGAGAGAGGUUCAUGCAGGAGUAUGUGGACCACAUAUGGGAGGUCAUUUGUUGGCCCAUAAGAUUAUGAGGACUGGCUAUUUCUGGUUGACCAUGGAGACGGAUUGUUGCCAGUUUGUUUAGAGAUGUCCAAAGUGUUAGAUACACGGGGACCUCAUCCACGUGCCGCCCUCGGAGUUACAUUUGUUGACUUCACCAUGGCCAUUUUCAGUAUGGGCUAUCGACAUCAUCGGGAAGAUCUCGCUGAAAUCUUCCAGUGGUCAUGAGUUCAUCUUGGUUGCCAUCGACUACUUCACCAAGUGGCUGGAGGUCGCUUCAUAUGCGAGAUUGACAUCAACUGGAGUUUCUAGUUUCAUCAUAUCACACAUUAUCUGUCGCUAUGGAGUCCCUCAUGAGUUGAUCUCGGAUAGAGAGGUACAUUUCAGAGUAGAGAUUGACGCCUUAGUACAGCAAUAUGGCAUCCAGCAUCAUAGGUCAUCUGCAUACAGGCCGCAGACGAACAGGGCAGUGGAGGCUGCGAAUAAGAAUAUUAAGAGGAUCUUGCGGAGGAUGGUUGAGACUUCUCGGGAUUGGUCAGAGAAGCUCCCUUUUGCAUUGUGGGCUUAUCGGACUUCUUUUCGCACCUCUAUAGAAGCCACACCCUACUCUUUGGUGUAUGGUAUGGAGACAGUGUUACCAGUUGAGAUUGAGAUGGGCUCAUUAAGGGUAGCAUCGGAGCAGCAGAUUCCCGAGGCAAAUUAGGCUCAAACUCGAUUUGAUCAGCUCAAUCUCCUAGAUGAGAGGAGAUUGAGGGUAGCAGACCAUGUUCGUGCCUACCAGAGAAAGAUGGCCCAUGCUUUUAAGAAGCGGGUCAAGCCUUGACCACUACAUAUAGGUGACUUGGUUUUGAAGGUCAUCAGGGGAUUGAUCAGAUAUCCCAAAGGGAAGUUCAAACCUAAUUGGAGCGAACCUUAUUUCGUCAGGGAGUUGACCCUAGAAGACACUGCAUGGUUGAUGGAUUUAGAUGAAACCAAUUCUCGGAGCCGACCAAUGAGGAUCAGCUAGCCCAUUGAGCCUCGCGUGCGCAUUAUAGCAUUUCUUUCUUAUCGCCUUGCUCACAUUUUCACACCUGGAUAGGGGCCCUUUAGUGUAUGCAUGCAUUGCUUGGGAAUUUCAUGAGCCUUGGACCUAGGGGCACAUUCUUCUCAUUAUCUUUUCCUAUCACUGCACCACUGCAUUUUCAUCACAUCUCAUUGGUCAUGUUCUUCAUUCCUUCUUUAUUCUAUCUACUGCUUGUUUUGCUUCAUAUCCUUUUCACCCCAAGUGGUGAUCUUCCUUAGUUCAUUACAUGGGGGAUAGUUACAUCAUAUCCAUUAUCUAUCCCACGAACAUUGGUUUAGAGAUCCUUAGUUUGAGAAUGUCACCUUGUCAGAGAGAGUUUUUGUUGCCUUAACACUUGAGAGUGUGUCUAUCCAUCAUUGAUAUCAUCUUUUGGGCUUAUUUUGUUCAUGUUCAGGGUAUGUGCAUUUGUAUAUCUAUAAAAAAAAAAUAAUAAAUAAAAUAAAAAAAUAAAAAAAAAUGAUGAAAAAAAAAAGAAUGAAAGGAAAAGAAAAAUAAGUACAUGUGUGUAUGUGCACAACAUUCUCCAUCAUUGAGCGUGUAUAAUGAUAUUUGAGGUUCAUUUUAUCGAGUAUGUUUGUCAAUGAGAGUUCGUAUGUGAGCUUUCCGAGGCCCUCCAUUUUUUGUAUUCAUUUUGUCGUGUAUUUUGAAAGUGAGACGAGUGACUUUCUCUUAGGAGCUCUAUGUCAUGGUCUUUUCCAUCAUUUCAUUCAUUGACAAUGUGACUUAACUUCAUGUUGGAUUUAAGCAGAUCACCACUCCUCUUCGUGUUCUUUUUUUCACCAACAUUCUUGUUUUUGCUUUUGAUUCAUCCAUUUCUUUUCACCCCUUGUCAUUUUCUUACAGUGGCCCAUUUCUAGGUUUGUUACCUUCUUUGCAUCAUCAUUACACAUCUCAUUAUCAAUUUGUUUUUCUUCAUUGCCUCGUUAUUGUUAUCAUAUUCACAUUGGGCACCUGUAAGUCCAUGGCUCACGAGAUUUACUAUACAUGCUGCAUUUCAUAUAUGAGGGCAUGGGUUUCUGAUCAUUGGGUAUUUGAGCCUAGUUUCCCUUCAUUUCUAUCGCCCCAUCACCUUAGCCUACGUUACGUCCCGUGUCUUAAGACCACCCUGAGGCCAUGGAAUCAGAUGUCGUCUUCGACAGCCCCUACUUGGACGGGUGUUUGAGAUUUUGUUGAUAUUUAGAUAUCGUCAUGCUUCUUAUUUUGGGAGUCGCCUCUUUGAUGUUUAGAUCUGAUUCAGUUGUGUUUAGAUUGUCGGGAUCAUGCGUUUGAUGAUGGAUGAUUUGAUGUCACCUGAUUUUUCUGAUUUAUCACAUAUUCGAUGUCACACUGGGGGCAUAUUCCGUUUCGGGCAAGAUUUACAGAUCUUCACGAAGUUGCAUGCUUAUUCCCACUUGCGAGAUGUACACCGAGAUGAUUAUCUAUCCGCUAUUUUUAUGAUGAUCCCUCAGUGGAGCCUCUAUGGAACCAUUCAGCCAAGCCCACAUUUCUCAGCAUUUGGUUGUUGUCAUGCUUCUUAUUCCGGGAGACGUUCCCUAGAUGUUUGGAUUUGAUUUGGAUCACGGAGAUCACACGUUUGAUGAUGGAUGAUUUGAUGUCACCUGAUUUAUGACCUGUUGUACACUCGAUGCCAUACUGGGACAUAUUUUCGUCCUGGAUGAGAUUUACAGAUCUUGAUGGAGUUGCAUGUUUAUCCCCACUUGUGAGAUGUACGCCGAGACGAUGACUUGUUCGCCAUUUUUACAAUGAUUCCUCAGUGGAGCCUCCCGGGAGCCAUCUAGCUAGGCCCGCACUUCUUGGCACUUAGAUGCCAUCAUGCUUUUCCAUCCGAGAGGUACAUCUUGGAUCUGUGGGUAUGAUUCAGUUAUGGAUUUGGAUGACUAGGAUUACAUAUUUGUUGAUGGAUGAUUUGAUGUCAUUUGAUAUUCCCAACCUAUCACACAUUCGAUGGUAUACUGGGGCAUAUUUCCAUUUUCGGUCGAGAUUUGUAGAUCCCCACUGAUUCGCAUGAUCAUCCUUGGUUACAAGAUAUGCGCCAGGUUGAUGAUUCAACUUCAUUUUGUCCUGAUUCCCCAUUGGAGCCUUUCUUGAGUCAUUUCGUCAGGCUCAUACUUUUUGAUAUAGUUGUGAUUUUUGGAUUGAGUUAUUUCGGGUGCAUUGAUUCCCACAUCAUCAUUUCAAUGGAGUGCACGCCAGAUCUUUUAUACAUCCCCGUGGAGUUAUUCUCGAGUUAUCAGAAGAGAUCGGAUAUAUCUAACGCCAUACUGGGGCAUAUUUCCCUUAUCCAAUCAUAGGGGUGAUGGUUUUUCUCAUAGAUCUGCUACAGUCUUCAUCGCUCGGCCGAGAAAUAUUUUAUUUGCUUUACAAGUCACUGUUCUUGUGAUUUUCGAGGAGAUGAGCCUUCAGCAAGGCAUGACCUUCGAGUUUUGACUGUCUCAUUAUCCAUGACCCUGUUGUAGAUUGUUUUGAUGAGAUCAUGGUAGUUACCCUAGCGGAUUAUUCUCUUGAGACUCCCUAGUGGAUCACCCAUUUGAGAUGACGAUGGAUUCUUCCAGCAGAGCAUUUUGAGCUAGAGACGUAUGACUCAUUGUGACAUCUCGUUAGGCCUCAUGAUUCAGAGGGAUGGGUUGCGAGACUAUGUUUAUAGUCGAUUUGAUCGUUCCGACUUGCUAGCGGAGCAUAUUUUGAGGCUCAUGGAAUCUCUUUUAGGCCUUCUUAGAGGAUGAAGAGUUGUGGCGGCACGCUACAUUGGGGCAUAUUCCCCCCCCCCUCUCUCAACAUUUCCUUGCAGUUAGGAGUUCAGAGCCGCCAUCCAUUCUCGGUUAUGACGUUCAGAGUCGUCCAUUUUCAGCCUAGCGUUCAGAGCCACCAUCUCUUCAUAAUUUAGCAUUCAGAGCCACCACCUCUUUUCAGUUUGGCGUUCAGAACCGUAUUUUCAUUUUGGCAUUUGAUGACACCAUCUUUCUUUAGUUUGGCGUUCAAAGCCACUAUUUUCAUUUUAGCAUUCAUGGCUAUUACUUUUAGUUUGGCGUUCAGAGCCGCAUCUUCAUCUUGGCGUUCAAAGUCAUUUGUUCAUUUUGGUGUAUGCCUUUAGUUAGAUAUCGUCACGUUUUUCGUUUGGGGUUUAGAGCCAUUGUUCAUUUUUCAAUUUGGUGCUCAGAGCCAUAGUUCCCUUUAGUUCGAUAUUCAAGUCACAUUUUCUCGUUUGGCGUUCAAAGUCGUCGUUCAUUUUAUUUUGGCGUUCAGAGCCGCAUUUCCCAUUUAGCGUUCAGAGUCGUUGUUCAUCUUUAUUUUGGCGUUCAGAGCCACAUCUUUAGUUCGGCGCUCAGAGCCAUCAUCGUUUCAUAGUUUCGGUGUUCAGGGUCAUAUCUCGGUUUCGGUGUUUAGAGCCACCAUCAUUCUCAGUUUCGGCGCUCGGAGCCAUCAUCGUUUCACGAUUUCGGCGUUCAGAGCCACAUCUCAGUUUUGGCGUUCAAAGCCACCAUCAUUCUCAGUUUCGACGCUCGGAGCCGUCAUCGUUUCACGGUUUCAGUGUUCAGAGCCACCAUCGUUCUUAGUUUCAGCGCUCGGAGCCAUCAUCGUUUCACGGUUUCGGCGUUCAGAGCCGCAUCUCAGUUUCGGCAUUCAGAGCCACCAUCAUUCUCAGUUUCGACGCUCAAAGCCAUCAUCAUUUCACGGUUUCGGCGUUCAGAGCCGCAUCUCAAUUUCGGCAUUCAAAGCCACCAUCAUUCUCAGUUUCGGCGCUCAGAACCGUCAUCAUUUCACGAUUUUGGCGUUCAGAGUCGCAUCUUGGUUUCGGUGCUCAGAGCCACCAUCAUUCUCAGUUUCGACGCUCAGAGCCGUCAUCGUUUUACGGUUUCGGCAUUCAGAGCCACAUCUCAGUUUCGGCGUUAGAGCCGCAUCUCAAUUUUGGCAUUUAGAGCCACCAUCAUUCUCAAUUUCGGCGCUCAAAGCCAUUAUCGUUUCACAGUUUCGGAGUUCAAAGCUGCAUCUCAGCUUCAGCAUUCAGAGCCACCAUUAUUCUCAAUUUCGGGGCUCGGAGCCAUUAUCGUUUCACAGUUUCGGUGUUCAAAGCCGCAUCUCAGUUUUAGCGUUUAGAACCACCAUCAUUCUCAGUUUCGGCACUCGGAGCCGUCAUUGUUUCACAAUUUCGGUGCUCAGAGCCACCAUCAUUCUCAGUUUCGGCGCUCGAAGCCGUCAUCGUUUCACAGUUUCGGCAUUCAGAUCCGCAUCUUAGUUUCGGCGUUCAGAGCCACCAUCAUUCUCAGUUUUGGCACUUGGAGCCAUCAUCAUUUCAUGGUUUCGGCAUUCAAAGCCGCAUCUCAGUUUUGUCUUUUAGAGCCACCAUCAUUCUCAGUUUUAGCGUUCAUAGUCAUCAUCGUUUCACAGUUUCGGAGUUCAGAGCCGCAUCUCCAGUUUCAGCGAUCAAAACCACCAUCCCUUCGUAUUUUGGCAUUCAAGGCUGCAUCUCCAGUUCGGCGUUCAAAGCCGCUAUCCCUGUACAAUUUGGCGUUCAGAGUCACUGUCCGUUUCACAGUUUGGCAUUAUGAUCGAGCAUUCAUUAACAUAUUUUCGGCGUUUAGAGCUACAUUUUUAGAGUUCAAAGCUUUCAUCUUCUUCAGUUUGGCAUUCAGAGCCACAUUCCUCGCAUUUAGGGUUGUCGUUUUCUUUCAGUUUCGCAUUCAGAGUCAUUCUUUCUAUUUAGAGCUACUUUCAUCAGUUUUAGGCGUUCAGAGUUGUGUCUUCAGUUUGGCAUUUAGAGCCAUCAUCUCCUUCAGUUUGGCAUGUAGAGUCGUGUUUUCGUUUUAGCAUUUAGAGCCAUUAUCCAACUUAGCAUUCGGUGCCACCAUCUUCCUUUAGUUUUGGCAUUCAGAGCUAUCGUGCGUACUCAUUCAGGCAUUUAAAGUCAUCAUCUUUCAUCAAUUUGGCUUUCAGAGUCAUUUCUUCUCAAGCUUGUCAUUCAGAGUCACGGUUCCGGACAUUCAUAUUCACUGGCGUUCACAUCUUACCUUUGUGGUUUUGCGUUCGUCCUUGGUCUUUUCCCACCUCGUUACCUUGUGCUUAUCGCUUAUUCAUCAUGCUCUUCUGGACUUUCCCUUUCCCCUGCACAUGACAUGGUCCAUUGAGUUCACGACACAUACUUCGAUCACGUUGUUGGGCACCCUACAUUUAGCAUUCUCACAUAGUUCACAUGGGGGAAUCCCCUCUGGAUGCAUUUCUUUCCUGUACUCGGAGGAGGUUCGAUCAUUACUCAUCUUUGACAUUGAUUCUUCGAGUCACUUUGGGAGACAUCUUAGAGGGAGUCUAGAUCUCUCGUGUAGCUUUAGAGGCGCUUUGAGAGAUGUUUUUCCCUUAAGAUUAGAACCCUUUUGUUUGGAGCCUUGAGCGAGCUUGUGUUUUACUUAUGUACCUUUUCGAGGGUCUUUCUUUGUUCUUCAGUAGAGUUUACUUCGUUCCACUCACUAUUCACACUUUCUUUUCACUUCAGUAUUCAUGUUCCUUACACUCGUGAGCUCCACCGAAGAGGGGCAUAUUUUGAUUACUACCCAAAAAGUGCUAUUUUACACCUUUAAUGCAUUAUGUUUUAAGCACUUUUGUGUAGUAGUUCUCCAUCUUUAGUCCAAUUGGCAUGUUAAGGACCUAGCAAUGUCUUCUAAUCAUAUUUGUGGCUAGUUUUAAUGUUUUGACAGCUUUUUGGAUCAUUAAGACAAGUCAAGCAAAGGAGAGAAGCAAAGAGAAGCAAAGUGAAGCAAAGUGAAAAAAUCAGAGGACAGCAGCUGCAGUCUUCUUUCGCACUUUUCGAGCACUUUCCGAAGUCCAUUUUUUACAUGCUAUAUACCAUUUCAAAGCUCUGGAAGUCAAGAAUCCAACGCUUCAAACCGUGCACAAUUUGGAGCUGAAAUGAGGAAGAUAUGGCCUUCGGAAGAAAACUGCUCUAGGUUAUGCGAAAAUUUCGCAUUCUACAAGGUGUUAUGCGAAAUUCGCAUAACAUUCGCAUAACCCAUGCGUGUUGCGAAUUUUGCUCUGUUUUAGCCGACUCCACUUUAGAUAUUUUCCUUUGUAUUUUGUGAUGUAAUUUCCUUUCUUAUCCUUGUAACUAACCAAUCACAAACUUUUGCUUUUGUAAAGACUUUAUAAGGGGUGGAAAUCACCUCUUGGAUGAUAUAGAAUAUAGAAUACGUAUUACGUUUUUACACUUAGAAUUUUACAGAGCUCUCUCGUUUCUCUUUUCUCUUUAUUAUUUUCUUUUUCUUGGAAGCCAAACAACCUCUAAGGAUGUUUUCCCGGAGGAUGAGAGGCUAAACUUUCGGUUUCUUGGAGUAAAGGAAGCUAGGUGAAAAGUCCAGAUGAAAAGGUGGAAAGCUUCCAUGCAUUAAAUUCAGGUAGUUGGAAUUCAUAAAUGGCUUCUAAAUCCAAAGUUUUUCUUUAAAUCCCUUAGAAUCACUUUGAAUGACCAAUACAUGGUAAGCUUCAGGUCUUUAUGGAUGCUUAUUGCUAGAUCCAUAUUAGUCCAUUAGUUAUCAUGUACGAGUCAUUGGAAAGUGAUUCAAGGUGAAGACCCAUAGUGUCUUAAGCCAUUAAUGGACCUUGACUACCAUUUCUAUUGACCUUUUAUGGAUUAAAUCUUCAUUGUCAAACCUAUACCGGUUCGGGAAAUAACUAUAGGUUAAAUCCCCAAUGCGAGGAGAAAAAUCCGGAAUUUUCCACUUUCUAUUCUGAACUUGAUCCUAGCAACCCUUAGCUCCGGGAGACUUUCUUUCUUCCAUUUUUAAUUAGUUUAUGUUAGUUUAGUUUCAAACACUUUCAAAACAAAUUUUAUUUUCUUUUAAACUUUAAGUUUUUGAUUAAGGAAAUCAUUAAAUACAAUUUCUAAUUUUGAGUAUAUCACUGGUAGAAUGAAAACCCAUCCCAGAGUUCGACCCUAGAACCACUAUACUAUAGUAGCUUUGCUACGUUAGUAUGAGGUCAUAGGUUUUAUAAAUGUUUUUGAUUAAAUGACCCAUUUGGAGUUACACGCGAAUCAAAAUGGCGCCGUUGCCGGGGAUGGUGCCACAAUACAGUGAUGCAACCUUUUAGAGGCUACUUGUGAUUUCCAUCACAAGUUUGGUGAAUUCCUUUUUCACUAACUUCAUUUCCUUUCAUUUUAUUUUUGUUAGGUUUAUUUUCAUUUUCUUUCUAACCUUAACUUUUUUCUAGGUUUCUUUUGUUUUUGUUGUUUUUGUUUUAUUUCAGGUAAGUAGUAACUUGUGCAUGCCCUAUUGGAUUCGGGACCAAGAGGGAAGAUUAGUAAGGAUUGAGAAUCCUCAAGACACAGAGUUGGAUAUUUGUGUUAACAUCAUGGACCCUCCACCAGAGGAUCAGAAUUCUCAACAAGGUCAAGGGGGUAAUCCUAAUGCAUAUCUAUCCAUGAGGGAUAGAAUGCAUCCACCAAGGAUGAGUGCACCCUCAUGCAUCCUGCCUCCUCUUGAGCAGUUGGUUAUAAGACCCCAUAUUGUGCCCCUUCUACCAAAUUUCCAUGGAAUGGAGAGUGAGAAUCCAUAUGCCCACAUCAAGGAGUUUGAGGAGGUUUGCAAUACCUUUAGAGAGGGAGGAGUUUCAAUAGACUUGAUGAGACUCAAGCUAUUCCCUUUUACUUUGAAGGACAAGGCAAAAAUUUGGCUUAAUUCUUUAAGGCCAAGGAGCAUAAGGAGUUGGGUUGAUCUUCAGGUCGAAUUUUUGAAGAAAUUUUUCCCCACCCAUAGGACCAAUGGGUUGAAGAGACAAAUCUCAAAUUUUUCUGCUAAAGAAAAUGAGAAGUUCCAUGAAUGUUGGGAAAGGUAUAUGGAGGCCAUCAAUGCUUGUCCUCAUCAUGGCUUUGAUACAUGGCUCUUGGUGAGCUAUUUUUAUGAUGGGAUGUCUUCCUCCAUGAAGCAAAUUCUUGAAACCAUGUGUGGGGGAGAUUUUAUGAGCAAGAAUCCGGAAGAAGCCAUGGACUUUUUAAGUUAUGUGUCUGAAGUGUCAAGAGGAUGGGAUGAGCCCAACUCAAGGGAGAAAGGGAAGUUUCCCUCUCAACCAACCCAAAAUCCAAAAGGUGGAAUGUAUGUAUUAAGUGAAGACAUGGACAUGAAAGCUAAAGUGGCAACAAUAGCAAGGAGGUUGGAAGAACUUGAGUUGAAAAAGAUGCAUGAAGUCCAAGCCAUUUCCGAGACCCAAGCUCAUGCCAUGCCAUGCACCAUUUGCCAAUCAUGUGAUCAUGUGGUAGAUGAGUGCCCAACCAUGCCAGCUGUGAGGGAGAUGUUAGGUGAUCAAGCCAAUGUUGUGGGGCAAUUUAGGCCUAACAACAAUGCACCUUAUGGAAACACCUAUAAUUCAAGCUGGAGAAACCAUCCAAAUUUUUCUUGGAAACCAAGACCACCUCCAUACCAACCACAAGCCCAAACCCAAGCACCUCAACAAACCUCUUCAAUGGAGCAAGCCAUUGUGAACCUAAGUAAAGUCAUGGGUGACUUUGUGGGUGAACAAAAGGCAAUCAACUCCCAAUUGCAUCAAAAGAUUGAAAAUGUUGAGAGUUCUCAAAUUAAGAGAAUGGAGGGGAUGCAAAAUGAUCUAUCUCAGAAGAUAGAUAAUAUUCAAUACUCCAUCUCUAGGCUUACCAACCUCAACACUGUGAAUGAGAAGGGAAAGUUUCCCUCUCAACCAAGCCAAAAUCCCAAGGGUGUUCAUGAAGUUGAAACCCAAGAGGGGGAGUCUUCAAAGUUGAGGGAGGUUAAAGCUGUGAUCACUUUAAGGAGUGGAAAAGAGGUUGAUCAACCCCUGCCUAAGGUGAAGCAAGAUGAAGAACUCAUGUCAAAGAAAACCUUGGUCAAAGAGAGCAAUAACCAAGAAGAGAAGAGUGGGAAGAAAAGUGCAUCCAAAUCAAGCAUUGAAGAAGAGCCAAGGAUAGUGAUUAAAGAGGAUAUGAUGAAGAAACAUAUGCUUCCCCCUUUUCCUCAAGCUUUACAUGGAAAGAAGGAAAUCAAGAAUUCAUCAGAAAUUCUUAAAGUCUUGAGACAAGUGAAGGUGAAUAUACCCUUACUUGAUAUGAUCAAGCAAGUCCCCACAUAUGCAAAGUUUCUAAAGGACUUGUGUACGGUCAAGAGAGGGUUACAUGUGACAAAGAAUACAUUCCUCACUGAGCAAGUAAGUGCUAUCAUUCAGAGUAAGUCUCCAGUUAAGUAGAAAGAUCCGGGAUGCCCCACCAUUUCAGUCAACAUUGGAGGGACACAUGUGGAGAAAGCUUUACUAGACUUGGGGGCAAGUGUGAAUUUGCUCCCAUACUCUAUGUACAAGCAACUAGGACUUGGAGGAUUGAAGCCCACAGCCAUCACUCUCUCCUUAGCUGACAGGUCAGUCAAAAUCCCAAGGAGGGUGAUAGAGGAUGUUCUAGUUCAAGUGGACAAAUUCUACUAUCCUGUGGAUUUUGUUGUGCUUGAUACUGACCCCACUGUGAAGGAAGCAAACUAUGUACCAAUCAUCCUUGGGAGACCUUUCCUAGCUACCUCCAAUGCCAUCAUCAAUUGUAGAAAUGGGGUGAUGCAGCUCACAUUUGGGAAUAUGACCUUGGAAUUAAACAUAUUCCACCUAUGCAAGAGGCAUCUUCACCCAGAAGAAGAGGAAGGAUUGGAGGAGGUGUGCUUGAUCAACACCUUGGUUGAAGAGCAUUGUGACAAGAAUUUAGAAGAGAGCUUGAAUGAAAGCCUUGAAGUGCUUGAAGAAGGGUUACCUGAACCCUCUGAUGUGCUAGCCAUCAUGUCUCCUUGGAGGAGAAAGGAAGAGAUUUUACCCUUGUUCAAUGAGGAGGACUUAAAAGGAGUAGCUAGGGAGGACCCUCCAAAGCUAGUUUUGAAGUCAUUUCCUAUUGAUUUAAAUGCAAACUUCAUAUGGGAUCCGGGCAAGCUAAAUCCGGAUCCAAUUUUUUUAUGGACUUAGUUUUUCUAAAGACUAGUUAGUCCAUAUCUUUUUGUUUUAUUUUUAAACUUGUUUUAAUUUUGAUUUCUUGCUUUAAUUUUAUUUUGGUUUGAUUUAACUUAGUUUUUUUGAUGAUCUUGCUAUGGGGGCUGUUUUGGGACAAAGAGUCUUGCUUUAUGACUCUAAGCUUCAUCUUUUUCCGGGAAAAUUGAAAUCAAGGUGGAUGGGUCCUUUCAUAAUUCAUGAUGUGCAAUCAAAUGGAGUAGUGGAACUACUCAACUUCAAUAGCACUCGAACUUUCAAAGUGAAUGGGCAUCGUCUCAAGCCCUAUAUAGAAUCAUUUUCUCGAGACAAGGAGGAAUUCAUCCUCCUUGAUCCACCUCCAACAUGAAAAUACUUGGUUUAUGGUUGAACUUAGUCUCUUCAAAGACUAAAGAGUUCAUCCUCUUUUUGUUUUCUUUUAAGUUGAUUUUAAUUUAAUCUAUUUUUUUUGUGUUUUUCCAUGUUUUGAUUUUUAUUUUUGACUUUAAUACCGUUCUAAUGUGUUUUUAAUUGGUUUUUUGGGUUAACAUUCAGGUGGGAAAGCUUGAGGAAUCAAGUCAUGGUGAAAGUAAGGCAAAACAGGGGAGAAAAAAACCAAGUUUCAGCCAUUUUCGCACAACAUUUCCUGUUAUGCGAAAUUUUCGCAUAACACACCCCUUAUGCGAAAAUGCUUUUGUGGCAAUUUCCAAAAAAACAUGCUCUCGGUCCCUUCCCAAAAUCCCUUAUGCGAAUUUCACAGGAAUGCGAGCCAUAUGCGAACCAUAUGCGAAUUCGUUUUUGAGACAAAUUUGCAAAACCAUGCUCUCUGUCUGGGUACUCACAGGAAUGCGAAAUUUUCGCAUAACAUAAGGGGUAAUGCGAAAUUUGCAUUUCCUCUUUAAAGACCGUGUUCUCCUCUUCCCAUGCUCAAUUUCUUCUUCAUUUCUCAUAGCACCUCUCUUCCAAUCACCAAAUCCCUUCCUUAAGUUUCUUUUCUUCAUCAUUCCCCACUCUCAACACCACCAUGGCAGCCCAUCUCCAUAACUCCACCUCAUAGCCGCGGCAGUCACUAUUCAUCACCGUCCACCCCUUCAAUUUUCAGCUCUUUCCACCAUCAAAAACCUCACAAUUCCUCACUCAACACUCUAAAUCCAUCCCUCAACCAAUUUCAGCCUUGUAUUUACCAAUCCAAAACCUCAAGCUAAGUAUUCAAGCCACGUUUUCUUCAAAGAGAACCCAUGGCCGCCAGGUAGAGGAGCUCCAAUUUUCAAAAUUUCUUCGUGAAAAAGCUCCAAUUUCCAAGCCUAUUCACCAUGAAAAAUCAUUUUCUUACCUUAGCCAGCAUUUCCCACCCUCAAAAGCCAAAAAUUUCCACCAUUUGAAUGAGCUUCAAAACUUCAAGUGGGCGUGUGAAUAGUGCAUAUGCGAAAUUUUCGCAUAACAUUCCCCCUUAUGCGAAAUUUUCGCAUAACCCCUACCUUGUGCGAAUUUUUCACUUUUUCCAUCUCUGCCCUCCCCAAUCCAAAGCCUGUGAGCCUCAUUUCAUUACUUCAUUAUGCCUAAAACCCGAGGAGGACAUACCUCAGCUCCCCAGAGCAGUGAGAGAGCCACCCCUGUGCGGAUCCCACUAGAUGCGCCGCCACAUUUAGCUGAUUCUGCCUCUCAGAGCAGAUACCAUACGAGGAGAGCAUCUGCCACACCUGUGGCCCCUACUCAGAUUCCACCUCGGGGUCCUCCUACAAAGAAAGCCAAGACUUCAGAGCCAGGAGAGUCUUCUAAAGCACCUCGGGAUUCACAGUCCCAGCUCACCCAUUGAGGGCAACUCAGAUUGCCGAUCCAAAGCAUUUCAUGUCGAGGCAUAUUUUGAGCACACUAUUUUGCGCCAGCAGACUGACUUGCGGGAUUCAUACAGCCUACUUGAGAGGUACCAUCUUGUACCCUUUAUGACUCCACCCCAGUUCUUUUAUCCUCGAGUAGUUUUAGACUUUUACCAGUCUAUGACUACUCAUGGCGUCCCGGUACCAGCCUCGAUACUUUUUACCAUUGAUGGACGCCAGGGUAUUUUGGGGACUCGACAAAUUGCCGAGGCUUUCCAUAUCCCUUAUGCACCAGCUGAUCCCACUGCAUUUAGACGCUGGGCCCCACUUUCUGAGUGGGACAUGGUUCGUAGCCUAUCUCGAGGGACAUCUUCCCAGAGGACCAUUUUCAGGAGGGAGCUUCCCCCAGGGAUGCUCCUAGUUGAUGUGGUGCUUCGCACCAACCUUUUUCCUCUUCAGCAUACAGUACAGAGGCGAGGGGCCAUUUUAGAGGCAUUAUUUCGUAUCUUUGAGGGCUACUACUUUGGUCCUCAUCAUUUGAUUAUGGCCGCUCUCCUCCAUUUUGAGGAGAAGGUACAUAAGCGGCGUCUUACGAGGGCGGCCUCCAUUCAGUUACUUUUCCCUCGGCUGCUAUGCCAUGUUUUGGCACAUAUGGGUUUUCCUGCAGACCCUCAGGCUGAGCCCCGCCGCCAUUGUCGAGAGAGCUUCUCUCUUGAACAAUGGACUCAGCUAUUGCUCCAUCAGCAUUCCCCAAAACUUCCCGAGCCAAGGGAAGUCCCUCCUGCUCCAUCCACUUCAGCUCCCUCGGAGCCUGUACCAGAGACAGCAUCAUCUGAUGCCCCACCUACUGUUCCUCCUACCGUAGAGCCGCCCAUCACUAUUCCUGGUUCAGAGUACCGUGCCUUGCUCACUUCUUUUCAGACUCUGACCACUACUCAGACGGCCAUUAUGGAGCGCAUGGACCACUUCCAGAUUCAGCAGGACCAGCAGACUCUCAUUCUCCGUGAGAUUCAGCAGCACCUCGGUCUUGUGCCACCAGCUCCACCUGUAGCGGUGCCUUCCUCAGUUCCAGCAGAGGACCCCUCCUAUCCACCAGAGGAGCCUACUACUUGAUCAUACGAUCACUCAUUUCCCCUUUUUGUAUCUAUAUUCUAUGUUUUUUGGAUGUCUUAUGUAUUUUGGACCACUUUUAUACUGGGAUUGGACAUAUUCCAUGUUUGUCUUGUAUAUUGUACUCUCUCAGUUUAUAUAGACAUCUUCCUUUUUGUGUAUUUUAGCUAUUCCUUUUUAUUUCCUCUAAUCAUUAUUCUUAUGAUUUUUCUUUUCUUAUGCAACAUGUGGUUUCUCCUCUCUAUUCAGAGUACCUUACUAUCAGGAGGUAUCACUUCCUCCCUUUUAUUACCAUUUUCUUUUAGAACAUUGGGGACAAUGUUCAUCCUAGUUGGGGGGAGAGUUGAGGAAGUAAUUUGUUGAAUUUUUUUUUUUUUGGUUAAGUUAUUUUGCUAACAAAUUUUUUGCAAACUCUCCUUGUUUUCUUAAAGAUAAAUUCUCAAAAAUAAAUAGGAGAAAUUAAAUUCUUAUCUUAUUGCCAUAGUCUUAGAGUUUGUAUUAUGCUUAUUAAAGUUGAUAAAUUGUUGAAGCUCCUUUUGAUUUCAAUCUUAAGUCUUCCACUCUAAUCUUUUCACACAUUGAACACAUUAGAUUCCAGUUAUAAGAUGGAAAACUUUUUCAUCCCCUAAACUUAGGAAAUUUUUGACUUAGUGCCAUUGACCUCAUUCUAUUAGUGUUGGGACACCUUAUAAAAGGCCAAUGUGUCUUAUGAAAAAAAUUUUGCUUCACUUGCUUUGAAACCCAAGCAAGGUCCGAGGGGUAUAUGGUGAAAAUCUUUAAAACCUGGUGCCCUAAGCCUUCAAUGGUUGGGAGCCACCGACCUCACUGCUCGUUACAUGGGUGGAUGGGUGGAGUAUAUAUAUGAGUGUAAAAAAAAAAAAAAAAAAAAAAAAGAGGUGCGUUCUUAGCCUUCUAUAUAUGAGUUAGUGUUGCUAAAGUUAGAGAAAAACCUUAGUUGGGGGGAGAAUAUAGUUUGAUACACUAUAAUUGGAAACUAAGCAUCUUAACACUUAGAUUUUUGUGGAAGAUUAAGAGUUGGUCCUUUGGGAGUGGAAAUUAUUUUGAUACUCAAAUUUGCAUAAUGCCCACUCUUUGAAUGUUGUGAUAGGUAAGUUAUUUGAUGACUCUUGUUGAUGAUUGAGUUUUAUAUCCUUGACUUGCCACGAGAGAGUUUGAUCCAAUCAUGCCACUUGGUUAUUUUUUGGAGUGAUCAGCAUGAUUUUGUAAAUUAUUAUAUUAUCUAUUUUUUUAUUUUUCUUUCCUUCAUUGCUCAGGGACUAGCAAUGUGUCAGUUGGGGGGAGUGAUUACUACCCAAAAAGUGCUAUUUUACACCUUUAAUGCAUUAUGUUUUAAGCACUUUUGUGUAGUAGUUCUCCAUCUUUAGUCCAAUUGGCAUGUUAAGGACCUAGCAAUGUCUUCUAAUCAUAUUUGUAGCUAUUUUUAAUGUUUUGACAGCUUUUUGGAUCAUUAAGACAAGUCAAGCAAAGGAGAGAAGCAAAGAGAAGCAAAGUGAAGCAAAGUGAAAAAAUCAGAGGACAGCAGCUGCAGUCUUCUUUCGCACUUUUCGAGCACUUUCCGAAGUCCAUUUUUUACAUGCUAUAUACCAUUUCAAAGCUCUGGAAGUCAAGAAUCCAACGCUUCAAACCAUGCACGAUUUGGAGCUGAAAUGAGGAAGAUAUGGCCUUCGGAAGAAAACUGCUCCAGGUUAUGCGAAAAUUUCGCACUCCACAAGGUGUUAUGCGAAAUUCGCAUAACAUUCGCAUAACCCAUGCGUGUUGCGAAUUUUGCUCUGUUUUAGCCGACUCCACUUUAGAUAUUUUCCUUUGUAUUUUGUGAUGUAAUUUCCUUUCUUAUCCUUGUAACUAACCAAUCACAAGCUUUUGCUUUUGUAAAGACUUUAUAAGGGGUGGAAAUCACCUCUUGGAUGAUAUAGAAUAUAGAAUACGUAUUACGUUUUUACACUUAGAAUUUUACAGAGCUCUCUCGUUUCUCUUUUCUCUUUAUUAUUUUCUUUUUCUUGGAAGCCAAACAACCUCUAAGGAUGUUUGCCCGGAGGAUGAGAGGCUAAACUUUCGGUUUCUUGGAGUAAAGGAAGCUAGGUGAAAAGUCCAGAUGAAAAGGUGGAAAGCUUCCAUGCAUUAAAUUCAGGUAGUUGGAAUUCAUAAAUGGCUUCUAAAUCCAAAGUUUUGCUUUAAAUCCCUUAGAAUCACUUUGAAUGACCAAUACAUGGUAAGCUUCAGGUCUUUAUGAAUGCUUAUUGCUAGAUCCAUAUUAGUCCAUUAGUUAUCAUAUACGAGUCAUUGGAAAGUGAUUCAAGGUGAAGACCCAUAGUGUCUUAAGCCAUUAAUGGACCUUGACUACCAUUUCUAUUGACCUUUUAUGGAUUAAAUCUUCAUUGUCAAACCUAUACCGGUUCGGGAAAUAACUAUAGGUUAAAUCCCCAAUGCGAGGAGAAAAAUCCGGAAUUUUCCACUUUCUAUUCUGAACUUGAUCCUAGCAACCCUUAGCUCCGGGAGACUUUCUUUCUUCCAUUUUUAAUUAGUUUAUGUUAGUUUAGUUUCAAACACUUUCAAAACAAAUUUUAUUUUCUUUUAAACUUUAAGUUUUUGAUUAAGGAAAUCAUUAAAUACAAUUUCUAAUUUUGAGUAUAUCACUGGUAGAAUGAAAACCCAUCCCAGAGUUCGACCCUAGAACCACUAUACUAUAGUAGCUUUGCUACGUUAGUAUGAGGUCAUAGGUUUUAUAAAUGUUUUUGAUUAAAUGACCCAUUUGGAGUUACACGCGAAUCAUAUUUGUAGACCCCCUCAGAUGGAAGGCAUGUCUUUUGUUUUUUUAUUAUUUAUUAUUAUUUUCUUUUUUUUCUUCUUUCCCGCUUCUUCAUCAACCCGAGAAUAGGCUGCAUGAGGCGGUGAAAUGGGACUGGCCGCUUGAAAGGGGGAUAGUAGAGCAAAAGGUGGUUGGUUAUAGGCUGUGGCAGGGAGUUUUUUUUUUUUCAUUGGCUUGGGGAGCAAGCUAAAGGGGGGUUACAGAAGAGAGUCUAGCUGGAGUAGCAAAGAAGGGAAGCAGAAUAGAAGAACGGGAAGAAAAAAAAAUGAUGAAGGGAAGAAAAGAGAGAAAAAAACUUGGAGCAGGUGAUCUGGGGGGGAGACACUUAGAGAGGGGAUACCCAGAAAAUGAGAAGAGAAAUGGGAAAACACACAGAAGCAUCAUCUUGAAGGAAGACGACUCAGGUAAUAUUUCCACAGGCUAUUGACCCUUUCGCAUUCAUGCCAUUUUUAUUGUGCUAUCUGAGUAUUAGGAUAUUCUAUUUUGAUGUCAGAGUUUGCUCACACUCAUGAUGUGUUUGAUUUCUAACUUAUUUUCUAGGCUUGCUUCGAGUUUUUUUUUUUUUUUUUAAUGAGUUGCUAGCCAUCACGAUUUUUUUUCCCUUUGCAACCUAUCUGAAAUCCAUUUUUGGUCACCUCCAUCUCACCAAGCCCACCCCAUCUCACUACCUUCACACCCAUUUACAUACCCAUGCCUACCACCACCCGUAUCUCCAUCUCCCAAUACCCAAGUCACCCACUCCUCUCACCACCCUUCUAAUUGUUUAUACCUAUUUCUCACUCUACCCAUCUUCAUGCGCACGUCCCGUAUUUUCAUCCUACCACGUAACCCACUCCUCUUAUUUCAUACCCCCAUGCGCACUUCCAGCUUCACACCCCACUUACCCAUGGCCACGUUCACCACCUUAGUCAUGUCUCCGAAUCUUCUAAGCUCACUAUCAUCGUGCCCACUGCUCGUACCCAAUACCCCUCCCGCUACCUCCUUCAUAUCUCAUAUACCCAUAAUACCCAUCUCACUACUUUCCAACACUCUUCAUCCACCAUUCAUUUCCCAUUCACCUAUCCCAUGUCCUCCCAUGUGCAUGCAAUUCAUGCACACGAUCCCUCAUUACCCUCCCCAAGCCUUCUCAUGCAAUGUGCAGCCCGCGCAUGCUUAUUCUACCUCGGAGCCUUCCAUACUCGGCGGCCUUUGCAUGCCAUGGUGAGGAUAGAUUAUGCAAUCCCCACACAAUUUUCCCAUCAGCCUUUCUGUCCCGAGCUUGCACGCACACAAGUUUAGCCGCUAUGGCCGCCAAGAGGCUAAAAGAGUUGCUAGAAACUCGCAAGCCUUCAGCGCAUGAAAACUCAAGCAUUACCAACGAAAAUGAAACAAACGGACAGAGCAAUGAGAGGUCUCUACAGCACCGGCUGGGUUACAAGCUAGAAGUCAUGGUGAAUAUGCAAAAUAAAAAUGGGUUUGUGGUGAGAGUGUUAGAUAUAUAUGCAUAAAAAAUGGGAUGGUGGUGUGGAUGUGAUAAUAUUGCAACAUACAUGAAAAUGGGUUCAUUACCACUACUGGAGACGUGUAACUUGCAUGGGGGAUCACCACUUUCUUUUAUUAUUUCUUCACAUUUUGGAUAUCAAAGUAAUUCUCUAAUAUUCCGGUUUUUGAAAUUUAAUUUUUCAACAUUCCAUCCUUAAAAUAAUUUUUCAGGUUUCCAAUUUUCGAAAUUUUAAUUUUCCAACAUUCCAUUUCUAAAUAAUUCUUCAAUUUUCCAAUUCCUAAAUUCACUUCCCAAUUUUCACAAUUAUUUACCUAAUCAUUAUUAUUUCAUUAUUGUUAUUAUUCCGUUUAUUUAUUUGUUCAUCUAUUCAUUUAUUUAAAAUUCCAUCUCUAAAUAAUUUUUCAAAUUUCCAAUUUCUAAUUUCAAUUUUCAAUUUUCACAAUUAUUUAUCUAAUCAUUAUUAUUUUCAUUAUUACUAUUAUUCCGUUUAUUUAUUUAUUCACCUAUUCAUUUAUUUAAAAUGUCAUCUCUAAAUAAUUCUUCAAUUUUCCAAUUCCUAAAUUCACUUCCCAAAUUUCACAAUUAUUUACCUAAUCAUUAUUAUUUCAUUAUUGUUAUUAUUCCGUUUAUUUGUUUAUUCACUUAUUCAUUUAUUUAAAAUUUCAUCUUUAAAUAAUUUUUCAAAUUUCCAAUUUCUAAAUUCAAUUUCCAAUUUUCACAAUUAUUUAUCUAAUCAUUAUUAUUUUUGUUAUUACUAUUAUUCCGUUUAUUUAUUUAUUCACCUAUUCAUUUAUUUAAAAUUCCAUCUCUAAAUAAUUUUUCAAAUUUCCAAUUUCUAAAUUCAAUUUCCAAUUUUCGCAAUUAUUUAUCUAAUCAUUAUCAUUUUCGUUAUUACUAUUAUUCUGUUUAUUUAUUUAUUGAUCUAUUCAUUUAUUUAAAAUUUCAUUUCUAAAUAAUUCUUCGAUUUUCCAAUUCCUAAAUUCACUUCCCAAUUUUCACAAUUAUUUACCUAAUCAUUAUUAUUUUCGUUAUUAUUAUUAUUCCAUUCAUUUACUUAUUCACUUAUUCAUUUAUUUAAAAUCCCCCCUCUAAAUAAUUCUUCAAAUUUCCAAUCUCUAAAUUCAAAUUCCAAUUUCCGAAAUUCCCAUCUUCAUAAUUAUUUAUCAAUCAUUAUUAUUUUCGUUAUUCUAUUCAUUUACUUAUUCACUUGUUCAUUUAUUUAAAAUUUCAUCCCUAAAUAAUUCUUUAAAUUUCCAAUCCCUAAGUUUAAUUUCCAAUUUCCGAAAUCCUAACUUCCACAAUUAUUUAUCUAAAUCAUUAUUAUUUCGUCAUUAUUGUUAUUCCAUUCAUUUAUUUAUUCACUUAUUCAUUUAUUUAAAAAUUUCGUCUUUAAAUAAUUCUUCAAAAUUCCGAUUUCCAAAUUUAGUUCUCUGAAAUUCCAAUUUCCAAACUUAAUUUUCAGUUUCCAAUAUUCCAAUUCUCGCAUUUAUUCCAUUACUUAUUUAUUAUUAUCAUUAUUAUUAUCAUUUUAUUCAUUUAUUUCUAAAAAAUUCUGCCUUCAAAUGAUUUCCAAGAUUUCCAAUUUUUAUAAUUCAAUUUUCAUAGUUUCUACUUCUCAAAUAAUUUUCAAUUCUGAUUUCUUUCAAAAUUUAAUUUCCAGAGUCCCAAUUUUCGUAAUUUAAUUUUUUUUAAAUCCCAAACUCUCAAAUAAUUUUCAAAAUUCCAAUUUCUUUCAAAUUUAAUUUCUAAAAUUCUCAUUCUUACAUUUAAUUUCUAAAAAAAAAAAAUCAAAUAAUCUCUAAAACUCCAAUUUUCAAAUAAUCUCUAAGUCUCCAAUUUUCAAAUAAAUUUCAAAAAUCCAGUUUUCCCUCGAAUAGUUUUAAUUUCUAUUUGGUGAUGCAUGUGAUAUGUUUUGUGCUCUUUAUUGUACACUAACCCCAUUUUUAUGAUAGCGCAUUGCUCGUUCGUGGCCUAGGUACGCAUCCACUCUCAUUCUAAUCAUUCUCUAUGCAUGUUUUGAUUCCCAUAUGUGCAUAAUAGAUUUGAGUAUCCAUUGAUUUUCCUAUUGAUUGCCACGUCAGCUUCGUUUGAUGAGUAGAGACCCAACUUUAGGGACUUAGAGUGGUACUACGGUCUUUACCGUACCUUCCCGAUAAGUAACCUGACCCCUAAGCCCGAUUCGGUUUUUCACAAACCACAUUUUCUAAAAUAAGGAGUCACACUUAGAGUUUUUUUUUCUUAUUUUGUUUACCCUUUUAAAAAUAAAACAAAUAUAAGUGGCGACUCUAAGUCAUUUUUUUUUAAUAAAUAAAAUCAUUUUCAAAUAAAAAUCGAGUUCGUCAUCGAGUGGAAAACGCAUGAGCCAAAAUGCGGGGUCCACAUUGUCAUCACAUAUUUUUUAAAUAAACUUUUAGAAUUUAAAUUUCAAAAAUAAUAUAUUUUAUAUAAACUCUUAUGCUUUCAAAAUGAAAUUUCAAAAUGAUUUAAUUUUUUUAUGAGCCAAUAAAUACUGUUGGAUGCACUAGAGGAAUAUGACAUGGAACUCCUAGGAGCCAUAUCAGAGGAAGGUGGCAUAAGUAGGAAUCGAAUAGCAGGCGCCGAAAAGCGCUUUGCAGCGAUCUACUCUGGGAGGCAAAAUCGUCCAAUAGGAAAUCGAAAUCUGUCUUGUCCAGACAGUGACUGCCCAGAGCUCAACAGCAGAGGGCUUCAGCACUUGUCUUGAAACUGGGUUUGCCUGUCAUGCUGCCGUGUUCAAUCCCUAGAAACUCCCAGUUUCUACUUCACGUUUUCCUUUCAUUCAAUCUCAGUUUUAGUAUUGCUUGUUUGAUUUCUCAGUGGAAGAUCCCUAUGGAUUAGGAGACUGUGAAUCCGGAAGACGGUUUCUAUGUCAGGUAAUCUUUUGAGAUUCAAGCUUCAUUUUUUAGCUCUCUUUUCGUUUCUUAUGUAAGGUAACAACAAAUAUGAUGGAAAAUGAAGUUGAACGUUUGAGGUUUUUCAGGCGAGGGAAAAGAGAAAAAGGGAGAAGGGGAUUCUUUUUCUCGGAGACAAAAUUUCGUAGAUUCUUUUACUAAAACAGGAAUCCUAUGUUUCAGGUUUUUGAAGUGUUUGGGAAGUGCUUCUUCAAGCAAAAAAAUUGCAAACUUUAUGAUGAAAUCAGAAACUGAGUCUUUUGAGUUUUUUCAAUUUGUUGGGGAACUGAUGAAUGAAAGAGAUGAAGAGAAGGGAAAGGGGAACAAUGCAUGGUUUCCAUGUUGGUUGAAUCUUGGGCUUUCCCUACUUGUGAGGGCUUAGGUUACUCUUGGCAUGCGUUCGAAUUGAAUCUGGGUUAUUUGGAUUGUUGAAAGAGAUCAUCGAUUUCAUUUGUAGGUCUUGUUUGUUGAAUGAAACCCAUUUUACUUCUUCUAAUCUUGAUGUGAUUAAUUGUAUUCUGGCUACUGAUACGACAUCAUUGUCUUGUCCAAUUGCAGGAAUUUGGAGGAUGAAGUCUCGCUUAGCUCCUUCAGCCCAAUUGAUGGGUAGAAAAACCAUGUUCACAGUGAUUUAGUGAUGUGUUUUAUGUCUCUAAACAUUCCAGUGAGAUGCAUCUAGUGCAAGAAAAGAAGGGAAAUUUUACCAAACUAUAAUAAAGGGAAGCACAAUGUUAGGCACCCAAUCAUCAGCAACUUUGUGACCAUGGCUUCAGACUCUUUGCUUAGAGGCUUUCUUGUGAGGGACAUGGUUGAGAAGGAUUUUAUCUGUUCUAUCACAUAAAAAUUGAUAAAUGGCAUUCAGGUUGCUUUAAGACAGAUCCAUCAACAGUGAAGUUCUUAUGGAGCAGAAGAAAAUCCAAUUUCAUACAAAUUGGCUAUGUGGGAAGUUGGGAAAUUUGAGGAUAUACGAAUUAGCCAUGUCUGUCAGUCCAAGAAAAGUCAUGCUGACCCUUUGCUUAAGCAUCUUAGGAAAUUUGAGGAUAAACAUACACAUGCAUUAGUGUGACACGCAUGUCAAUCAUUGCAACCCAACAAUUGUUCUAUUGAUAAACUUUAUUUGGGCUACAAAUCGAAUGUUAAUUCUUAAAACCCUGACAUGAGGUUUUAGCACUUAGAAUUGGAUUUGUAUUGCUUAUGAAUAAUUAGAUGAAUGGGUAUUGUUAGAAAAGUUCUUUGAUUUCUCCAAGCAGACACAGCUGGAUCCCAUGGUUAUAUGGGGAAAGAAUAUCAUUGUCUGGGGAGCAAUAAAAUAUUUAGCAAAGAAGCAUAUGAAGAUGGGGAUCCUUAAAUUCUACGUGUAACCUUCACUUUGCUAAAAUCUAAUUUUUAGAAAAGUUCUUUGAUUUCUCAAUUUGGUAGAAUCUGUGACUUCUUAGAUGUUCUUGUAAUAUACUACUAAAAUCUAAUUUUUAAAGUAAUCUUAUAUUUGAAAUGGUAUUGGACUUUUUCACCACUUUAAUUAUUUAUGACAAAGAAAAUUACUUUUGUGAAAGGCAUUAUGUUGUUGAAUACCAAGGGAUUAAAACUUAGAGAGGAAUAUUGCAAUAACUUAGGAAGGAAGGUUUACUUGAAUCCAACAUUUCAAUGUGAAAGGUUAUAGGUGUUGUUAACUUUUGGGUUAGUUUGGGUUCAUGCACAUUUCCUAUAAAGAUCUACAUUUCUUGAAUAGGUAGAGGAAAUUUCUUAUCCAACUCCCAAGGAAUAACAACGUCAAUGACCUAAAUAUUAAUAAGGGAUUUCUCAUAUUCAUAAUUGUGAUAUCUUGUUAUAUAAAUAUUAUGAAAAAACAAUUAAAAGAAUUACAUGGAUUGUAGUGGUCUUAGCUAAAAGUUAAAUGGUUCAAAAAUUCUAUCGAAACUAAUAAAAUAAGGGUUUCUUAAUGAUGCUUUUGGGAAAAAAUUGAAAGAGGAGGGAAAACGUAAUCAUAUAGAAAUACAUGAUGGCUCUGUUUGGUUCCCGGAAAAUGCUAAGGAAAGGAAAAAAAAUGUAAAGGAAAAUAGUUUUCUUUAGUUUGGAUGACAUGGAAAAUAAGAUUGAAAAAAAAUAUAAAGGAAAGUAUGAAAGAAAAUAUUGUAAUAUUUUCCCCAUUAUUUUCCUUAAAAAAUAAUAAGGAAAAUAAGGAGAAAAGAGAAGGGCAAAGGGGGGGGGAAAUUUUAUCGGGGGAUCUAUUGUGCCCAUUAUUUUUAUCAAUUCUGCUCAGCCUCCUCUCCUUUAGGACUUCAAAGCACCUUGUUACUGUUAAAGGCCAGAAAGAAUUUUAUACAAUCCAGCAAUUUUUUUUAUUUAUUAUUUUUAAGAAAAAACCAAGGCAAUUUUUGGAAAUUAUUUUUGAAAACAAUUUUUGAAACUUGAAUUAUUCUUAACCAGUUUUUUUAAAAUCUUUUUUACUAUACUUUAAAUAUAAUUUUUAUAUGUAAUAUUUUACCUUUUUCUAUUAUUUAUCAUUAUUUUUAAGGUAAUUUUUUUAAAAAUAAGUGAAAGUAAUUCAAAUAUAUUAUUUAAAAAUAUCAUAUUUUGUGAUUUUAAGAAAAUUAUUUCAUGUUUUUAAAAAUAUAAAAUUAUUUUCUAUUUUCUAAUUAUUAACUUAUUUUUUUGAUCUUUUAUUUUAAAAAACAAGAAACUGUUUUAAAAAAUAAUUUAUAAACAUAAUUCAAAACUAUAUCUAUCAUUAUUUCAUAAUAUUGAAUAAAAAUAAAAAUAAAUAACACUUAGCUAAAAAAUGAUGAAAUUUAGAUAUAAAGUAAUAAAAUACAAAAUUAUGAAAACCGACUACACACAUUAGACUUAAUAAUUGGUGGGGUAUUAUGUGUUCUUGGAACUCACCGAAAAAGUAUCAUUUUGGUGCUCUACUAGGACCCUUCUUUUCAACAAAGGUGCAUCAAAUUAACCCUUGUUUUUUCUUUUCUUUUUUUAAUAUAUAUAUAUAUAUAUAUUGUGCAUGUAGCAUGCAGCAUAUAAUAAUCCUUUCUCCAUGUAAAAAUAUAUGAACAUAUUUUAUUUUUAAAUUUUGAUUUCUAAAAUCCUUUUGAAUUUUUUAAGAGCUUUUUAUUAGCUAUAAAUGUUCCCUUGAAAAUAAAAAAUAGUUAUUUACUCAUAUAUUUUAUUUGUAUUACAUGAGGAAAAUUUUAUACAUAAAUCUUAUAAUUAUUAAUAAAAAAAAAAUAGCAAAGACAUUUUAUGAGCAAUGUUUUAUGUCGAAAAAUUCAUAUUUUUCAACAGUUUUUUUAUUGGAUUAAUUUAUUUUAUUAUUCAACAAAUUGAUAACCAUUUAAGACAAAUUGUUAAUUUUAUUUUCCUUCCAUUUUUCCUUAUAUUUUUUUUUUUGUGGUUAACCAAACAAAAGAAAAUGAAUUCUUUUUUUUUUUCCCUUAAAUUUUCCAUGGAUAAUCAAACAAGUGAAAAAAAUUAUAUUCAUUUCCUUUCCUUUUUCUUUCCUUCAAUUUUUCCUCCCAAUUUUCUUUCUCUAGCAUUUUCCGGGAACCAAACAGAGCCGAUAUUUUUUAUAUCUAGAUAAAUAAAUAUGUGCAUGCAUGUAGAUACAUAUAUAUUUUUACCUAUUAAAUUAACGAAGUAUAAUAAAAAUUAAUCAGUAUGACAAAGAACAGGAACAAAUGAAUCCUAAUCAUAUAAGAAAAAAUCAAAAAAAUAAAUAAACGAACAAAACAAGUUUUAUUAAGGAGCAUGAUAUAUAUAUAUAUAUAUUAAAUCAAAUCUUCCAAGUUUAAGCUUUUACGAAAAUUGAUUGUUCAAUAAGUUUAUAUUAAAAGUAAAAGGUAAAAACAAAAACAAAGAUAAUAACAUUAGGAAAAUAAUUGUAAAAUAAUAAAAGUCUUUGUUGAAAAAAAUUGCUAAACAUUAAGAUAUAGAAAAUGUGACAUAGGUACAAAGAAUGUGACCUAGUUACUAAGAUACAAAAAAGGUGACCUAGGUAUUGAGUUACGAAUAAUGUGAUUUAAAUACAAAAAAUUAAAAAGAAUUUUUUUAAAAAAUGACCUAGGUACUAGGGUACAAAAUGUUACUUAUGUAUUGAGGUACGAAAAAUAUGACCUAAAUAUUAAGGUACAAAAUUUAGGAAAAUCUUAUGAAAAUUUUGUGAAAAUCUCUUUUUCCUAUAGCUAUGAUCUUAUCUUUUUUUUUUUUAUUAGUAGGAAUUUUUAUUUAACUAAUUAUUUUUUAAUAAAAAAUAAUUUUAAUUGAGGGACUUAAUUAGAUAUAAAUAGUAAGAAGUAUAGUCCUAUAGACUUACACUUCAAAGGACUAGGAUUUAAAAAAUGUUGAUUUAAAAACUGACAACAACUUUUCUCUUUGUUCUUGUUUGUUANNNNNNNNNNNNNNNNNNNNNNNNNNNNNNNNNNNNNNNNNNNNNNNNNNNNNNNNNNNNNNNNNNNNNNNNNNNNNNNNNNNNNNNNNNNNNNNNNNNNGUUUACAUUUUUUUUGUUUGUUUUAAAUCAAAAAAAUGUAAACUAUUACAAAUUUUAUUCUCCUUUGGAAAAAAUCAAAUCGUAACAAACAAGAACAAAGAGAAAAGUUGUUGUUGCUACUUGCUACUGACAAAAAAAAAAAAAAAAUUGCAUUUGCAUGUUGUAGACUCCUCGGUGCGAUAGAGGGGUUCUUUUUUAUUUUUAUUAUUAUUUUUCUGACCACCCCGGAUUAAGCUGCAUGGGGCGGCUAGAUGGGACGGGGUGAGCUGGUUGUGGCGGCCAGAGGGGACGGAAAGACAACGGGAGUAGAUGCGAUUUAGAGAGGGAGAUAUUUUUUUUUGGGCAGGAGACGAGGAUAAGCUAGCAGGAUGAGGAGAGUUGUGGGUAGGAGAGAGAGGAAAUUAGUAGAGAGUAGAAGCGAGGAGCCUGAGGAGAUUUUACCAGAGGGGAGAGCUUUUACAGAGAAAACGAGGAACAGAGGAGAGCUUGCUGGAAGCCAAGCCACUUUUGCUCGAGGGGAAUCACUCAGGCAACAACCAGUAUCACCAAUCUAAAAUCACUUUUGUUUUCUAAUUGAAGGGAAUGUGCUCCAGGAGGUGAUGGAGCUAUCAGAAACAUGGAGAACUAGUUGAGUUAUAUCUUGAGGCUUUUAGCGGAAGCUAGCUACCUCAUAGCUUAAGAUUUUGGAUUAAAAUGGUAGUUUAAUUUUGGGAUUAAAGCGUUCAUGUGUGAUAGGAUGCUACAUGUGAAAAAAUGUUAGGAUAUUAGCCUAAUUGUUGGUUGGCUUGAUAUAUACAUUGUUUGUUGAUUAUAGGCUUUUAGGUUAGAAUGGUAGUUUUAACAUUAAAAUUUAAUUUUCAAUCAUGAUACAUUUUCACUGUAUAGUUGUUUAUGCUUCCUAGCUAACUGUGCUUAUAUUAGAAGUGAUUUCAAGGCUUUUGGUGUUUGGUAUUUGUUGUUUGUCAAAGACAUGGUUGUGAUUAGUUGGGUUGUAGGUAAGUUACAUGUUAAGGAGGUGUCUGCACCUCAAUAUUAAAAGGUUUCAGAAAUGCACUACAAUGAAAAAGACCAAGCAGAACAGAGAGCAAGGUUGAGAAAGAGCAUGGUUUCCUAUUAUUUCUUACUUAGUAGAUAUAUGAUUUUGGAUAAAGCAAAAUGGGUUUGGAUACUUUUAUUUUGAGUUGAGGGGGCUUGAGCCCUUAUUUAUGAUUUUAACCUUUUUGGAUAUCUCAUGGUACUUAAUUAAACAUUUUGUUUCACAUGUGGAGCCUUGAGAGCUGGAACUGAAAAAUGUUGUGUGAACUCCCUAUUUUCAUGGUCUGGAAGUUUAUAAUGAUUGACAGGCUCCUCUCUUUCUUAAAUUUUACCGACACUUUCUAUAAGGAGUGUAGGGUCCUAUUUUUUUUCCACUUUGGCUCUUCUAAUAUGCAUCCUUGUGUACAAUGUUGCACCGCUUUUGUUUGGCGCAUGUGAAUAUAAAUAUGUAUUUGUUUGUAUGUAUAAUCAAAGUGCACAUUAUAUUGUCCUUUAAAAAAACUUUGUGGUGCCCUUUUUUUUUCAUUUGUUUAUUCCUUAAAAGGACAUGCUGUACACGUUUGGCCAUGCUAAGACCAUUUCUUCUUUUUAUUAUUUUCUUAGUUCUCUCCAACUUUUAAUGUCAAAGACUUCAUUUUCAAAAUUUUAAUUGUAAACUCCAGUUUUAAUUUGAUUUCUCAAAGCUCCAAAUUUAAUUUAAUUUUUCAAAAACUCCCAUUUUUAAAAAUUCAGUUUUCAAAACGUUGACUUCAUAAAAUUUAAUUAUUUUCAAAUUUUAUUUUUAAAAAUUCCAUCUUUAAAUAAUUCUUCAAAAUUCUGAUUUUUAAAUUUAAUUUCCAAAAUUCUAAUUUUCAUAUUUAUUUAUUUAAUUAUUAUUAUUUUCGUUAUUAUUAUUAUUAUUAUUAUUAUUAUUAUUAUUUUAUUUGUUUAUUUAUUUUUAAAAUUUUCAUCUUUAAAUAAUUCUUCAAGAUUUCGAUUUCUAAUUUUCAAAAUUCUAAUCAUCCUUAAGGAUUCAGAGUAUUUAAUAUUAGAUUGACACUUUUUAUAAUAAUAAUCCAACGGCUCAUCAUUAUCAUUUCAUGUCUUUUCAUAUUAAAGUUUAACAAAGAGUUCAUUGACUACUAUCAAUAAUAUUGAAGAUUUUUAUUAAUAAAAAUAAAAAUAAAUUAAAUUAAAAUUAAAAAAUAGUUAUUGCUAAAAAAUUUAUUUUUUAAUAAUAAAAUAUAAAAAUAAAGUAGAAUUGAAAAAAAAUACUAAAGUAUUAAUAUGCCCAAAUACACUUUAAUAAUUAAAAAAAAUAGAAAAAUUACCUAAAAUUAUUUUAUUAUAUCUUUUUUUAUUACAAAUGAAAUGAGAAAAUAUUGGAUUAUUUUUUCUUUUUUAUAAUUUUUGAAAUUGAAAUAACAUACAUUAUAUUACAUUAAUUAUUUCUUUGAAAAUUAUGAAAAGUUCAAAUAAAGUUGUUUUAGUCUUUAUAAAAAAUAAUAGUAAUUAAUCUUUUUCUAUAAAACGAAAUAUAUUUUAAUCUUUCCAAAUAAAAAAAGUGAAAAAAUAAUUAUAAUUUUUUCAAAUAAUUUAUCUCAUUAUACCUUAUCCCAAUUUUUCUCAAGGAAUAUUUACUUUUGAAUUGCUACUCUCUUUCUUCUAUUACAUCAUAUAUAUAUAUAUAUAUAUAUAUAUAUAUAUAUAUAUAUAUAUAUAUAUGUGGAGAUAAAUAAUUGAAAAACAAAAUCAUUAGAACCAUCAUAACAACUUCCACAAAAAAUUUGAAGUGUUAUUCCAUGCGUGUUAAGCUCAUGAAAUUCAUGCUCACUUUAAUUGAAAAUUCUAUUCAAUUCAGCAUUUCCUCAUACUGAUAAUGUUUUUUUUCCCCUCUUCUUUGUAAUCUUAAUUUUAUUUUGUGAUCUUAAAAAUUAUCUAUUACUCGAAAAGAAAGUCACAAUUAGUUUCUCCUAUUGAUCUCCUUCUUCUGAUAAGCAUAAUACUUUCAUAUUCCUAUUGUGUUAGCAUGGAAUUAAUAUAUUGGUUUUCUAGCUACCCAUUUGUUAGAUAUCAUACUAUUUUUUUUCCUUUUUUUUUUCUUUACAAAAAAAAAAAUUGUCAUAAUGAAUGAAAUUAUUAACAAAUUUUCAUAAAAACCCGAGAAGCCUAACUUUUUACUAUGGCUAAGAGAAAAAAAAAAUGUUAAAAAAAAUUAUUUCCUUAUAUUUGAAUAACAUAGAAAAUAGUAUAGAAAGAAAAUUACGCCCCUUCCUCUUCCUCAAGUGGGGAAAGUUUUGUUUCCCUUUUUGCUUUUUUUUUUUUCAAUUAGCAUUAUACUUCACAAACUGAAAAAGUACUUAAAUUAGUAAAUUGAGUGAUUUUUUUUCCUUUUUUUUUAGUGGGGGGUAGGGGUUCACAUUUGAUUAGCCACUAGUUCAAUCAUAGUGGAGAAUCUAAGUAUUGCUAAUUUACUUCACAUUUUUAUUUUUAUUUUUUACAACUUAUUUUAACUUAGCAUAUACACUUUGUAAUUGACAGAUAUGAGACAAGACUUAUCAAGGAAAUUAUUGAUGUCAUCCUCAAAGAAUUGAACUCCAAGCUCUUACUACAUGUUAGCAAGAACAUAGUUGGAAUGAAUUUUCAUUUGGAAGAAUUGAAAUCAUUGAUAAAAAUUGAGUCAAAUGAUGUUCGCAUGAUUGGGAUUUAUGGGCUUGGUGGAAUUGGUAAGACCACAAUUGCCAAAGUUGUAUAUAAUAAUAUCUCACAUCAAUUUGAGAGUAGAAUCUUUCUUGAAAAUGUUAGAGAAAGAUCCAAAGACUACUCAAGUCGACUUAAAUUACAACAAGAACUUCUUAAUGGUGUCAUGAAGAGAAAAAAUAAAAAAAUAAGUAAUGUUCAUGAAGGGAUUAAUGUGAUAAGAAACAGGUCUCACUCUAAAAAGGUUCUUCUUAUUCUUGAUGAUGUAGACAAUUUGGAGCAAUUAGAAUUCUUAGCUGGAGGGCAUAGUUGGUUUGGUCCUGGAAGUAGAAUCAUCAUAACCUCUAGAGAUCAACAUUGUCUAAAUGUGCAUGGAGUCGAUGCAUCAUAUAAAGUUGAGGCACUAAAUUACAAGGCGUCUAUUCAACUUUUAUGUCAACAUGCUUUUAAACAAAACAUUCCUCAAAGUGACUAUGUAGACCUCUCAAAUCAUGUAGUAAAUUAUGUGAAAGGCCUACCAUUAGCUCUUGAAGUUUUGGGUUCUUUUCUUUUUGGUAAAAGUGUGCCUGAGUGGGAAAAUGCAUUACAAAAACUAAAGGAAAAUCCCAACAUAAAAGUCCAAAAUGUACUUAAGAUAAGCUUUGAUGGAUUGGACAAGAAAGAGCAAGAAAUAUUCCUUGACAUUGUGUGUUGCUUCAAGGGAUGGAACAAAAAUGAUGUAACAAGACUAGUAAAGCAUGCAGAGAUUGGAAUAAGAGUUCUUAGUGACAAGUGCCUCAUAACUCUUUGUGGUAAUACCAUAACGAUGCAUGAUUUGGUAGAAGAAAUGGGUAGAGAAAUUGUUCGACAUAAACAUCCUGAAGAGCCUGGGAAAUGGAGCAGAUUGUGGGAUCCUAAGGAUAUUUCCCUUGUAUUGAGAAAAAAAAUGGUAUGGAUCAAAUGCAUUAACUUACUUGAUAUAUAGUGUCAUUAUUUUUGUUUAAGAAAUUAUAUAUCUUUAUAGUUUUUCUAAGGUUUUAUAUGUUUCAUUCUUUAUUUAUUUUCAUGUACUUUUAAUUUUUAGGGAACGAAAGCAGUUGAAGCGAUAUUUCUAGACAUGUGUACAUCAAGAGAGAUCUCAUUUACUACUGAAGCUUUCAAAAGGAUGGGGAGACUUAGAUUAUUCAAAAUUUAUUGGAGUUGUGGUUUUCUUAAUUAUAUGGGAAAACGGUGUCAAAAGCUCCUCCUUUCUGAAGACUUUGAAUUUCCUUCAGAUUAUUUAAGAUAUCUUCAUUGGGAAGGAUACUCUUUGAAAUCCUUGCCUUCAAAUUUUGAUGGAGAGAACCUCAUUGAACUCAACUUGCAGCAUAGCAAUAUAGAACACCUUUGGCAAGGGAAAAAGGUAGUAUUAAACUCAGUUAUAUUGUGUCUUCCCUUAGAUUAAUUUUGAAGUUCAUGAGAAUUUAUUUGCUAAAAUGAAAUAAUUAAUUUCUUUUGUUGCAGUAUCUAGAAGAGUUAAAGAUCUUGAAUUUAUCAGGAUCUCAGCAGCUCAAUGAAAUCCCACACUUGUCAAAUAUGCCAAAUUUGGAGCAACUAGAUGUUGAAGGUUGUAGAAGUUUGGAUAAUGUUGACUCAUCUAUUGGUUUCUUGAAGAAGCUUACUUUGUUGAAUUUGGGAAGGUGCCAAAAGAUUAGGAGCUUGCCAAGUACAAUUCAAAACUUGGUCUCUCUUAAAAGUCUUUAUAUAGAUGAAACUGUUAUUGAAAAAUUACCAUCCUCAAUAUAUCAUCUCACCUCACUUCAGUUGCUAUCUAUUAAUGAAUGCAAAAACUUGAGGAGUCUUUCGAGCAGCAUUUGUAGGUUGAAAUACCUUGAAAAACUUUAUCUCUCUGAUAUUUCAAACUUUAAGACUUUUCCGGAAAUCAUGGAGGUUAUGGAAUGCUUAAAGGCACUUGAUUUAAGUGGAACGUGUAUAAAAGAGCUUCCAUCAUCAAUUGAGUUUUUAAAACAACUCGUUGAUUUGCGGUUAGUGAACUGUGAAAACUUGAGGAGUCUUCCGAGCAGCAUUUGUAGGUUGAAAUACCUUCAAGAACUUGAUCUCUCUUAUUGUUCAAACUUUGAGACUUUUCCGGAAAUCAUGGAGGUUAUGGAAUGCUUAGAGUCGCUUCAUUUAAAUGGAACGUGUAUAAAAGAGCUUCCAUCAUCAAUUGAGUUUCUAAAACAUCUCGCUUAUUUGUGGUUAGUGAAGUGUGAAAACUUGAGGAGUCUUCCAAGCAGCAUUUGUAGAUUGAAAUACCUUGAACAACUUGAUCUCUCUGAUUGUUCAAACUUUGAGACUUUUCCGGAAAUCAUGGAGGAUAUGGAAUGCUUAAAGUGGCUUGAUUUAAGUGGAACGUGUAUAAAAGAGCUUCCAUCAUCAAUUGAGUUUCUAAAACAUCUCGCUGAUUUGCAGUUAGUGAAGUGUGAAAACUUGAGGAGUCUUCCGAGCAGCAUUUAUAGGUUGAAAUACCUUGAAAAACUUAAUCUCUCUGGUUGUUCAAACUUGGAGACUUUUCCGGAAAUCAUGGAGGAUAUGGAAUGCUUAAAGUGGCUUGAUUUAAGUGGAACGUGUAUAAAAGAGCUUCCAUCAUCAAUUGAGUUUCUAAAACAUCUCGCUUCUUUGCGGUAGUGAAGUGUGAAAACUUGAGGAGUCUUCCGAGCAGCAUUUGUAGGUUGAAAUACCUUGAAGAACUUAAUCUCUCUGGUUGUUCAAACUUGGAGACUUUUCCGGAAAUCAUGGAGGUUAUGGAAUGCUUGAAGUCCCUUAAUUUAAGUGGAACGUGUAUAAAAGAGCUUCCGUCAUCAAUUGGAUAUUUAAAUCAUCUUAUUUAUUUGCAUUUGAGCCACUGCAAAAACUUGAGGAGUCUUCCAGGUAGCAUUUGUUGGUUGAAAUUGCUUAGAAAACUCAAUCUCAAUGACUGUCCAAACCUAGUCACAGGGGACAUGGAAAAUUUAAUAAAUCUUGGUUUAUUAGAAACUCAGAAUAUGAUGGAUGGAGUAGCCCCAAGUGAUUUAUGGUGCCUAUCCUUGCUGGAAGAUUUAGAUCUAAGUCAAAACAGUAUGUGUCACAUACCUAUUGCUAUUACUCAACUAUGUAAUCUGAGACGCCUUAAUAUCAGUCAUUGCAAGAUGCUUGAAGAAAUUCCAGAGCUUCCAUCAAGUCUAAGAAAAAUAGAUGCACAUGAUUGCCCGAUCUUUGGAACUCUAUCAAAUCCAUCUACUCUUCUUUGGUCUUUUCUCCUCAAAUGGUUCAAGACAGUUGAGGUACAAUUUUUGUUUAAACUUUUUUUUUUCUCUCUUUUAAUUACAGGUACUUGUGAAUUAAUUGAUAUUUAUUUUAAUUUCCUAUUUUCUCUGCAAUUAAUAGUUCUAAUUUACUUUGUUUGUUAAGCUGACCCACCUCUGGAAAUGUUACUUUUAACUGUGCAGCCUCCUUUGAAAUGGAGAAGUAUUAAUCUAGGAGGUAAUGGAAUUCCAAGGUGGGUACUGCAUCAGGAAAUGGGAAGCCAAAUAAGAAUAGAGCUUCCUAUGAAUUGGUAUGAAGAUAACCACUUCCUUGGAUUUGGAUUUUUCUGUCUUCAUCAUCAAUCAAAAAAUAUUUCUUUAUCUUUGAAAUUUGAUGAAGGAGAAUGUGCUUACAAUAUAGUACAAAUUCCCUGUAGUAAAUGCCACAAGAUUAAUGAUAGUGAAUCAGAUCAAGUGUUGCUAGUGUACUAUCCUAAGAUUUCUUUUAGGGACGCGUUCCACUCCAAUCAAUAUAUGCACCUUCAGGCUUCAUUUUGGUCAGAUUAUUUUUUUAGGGAAUCAAAAUUCAAAAGUUGUGGGGUCCAUCUUAUAUACUGUCAAGACGAUCAACAGAACCAUAUCUCGUCGGUAGAUUUUCUUGGCACCCAAGAUGAUGAAGACAAUCAUGAGAAUUUUGGUGACAACAGAUCAACAACAAAAGCUAUGAAGAGAAGCCGUGAUGACGCAGAACAUAAUCAAGCGGAGGAACCACACCAUAAAAGAUCGAGAGAACCCAAUACCCAUCUCAAGCUUUAAACUCAAACACCAACCAGCAGGUACAUCAACAAAACUUUCUUAAUUUAUAUUUAACCAUCAUAAAAAUAAAAAUAUAUUUUAUGAUCAUUUUUAUGAAUCAUUUCAAAAUGUUAUUUAUUUAUUUAUUUUUAACUUUUUCAAGGACUCCCUGAGCCCAAACUUUAGAAUUUAAUUGAUUGUUAAAAUUUUACAUCUCUCAUUAAAAUUUAAAUUGAUGGUGUAUCCAUUUUUCCAUAAUUAGAUAAAUUACUUAAGUUUUUAAGAUUUUCAUGAUUUUAUUUGAAAAAAAGUUCCUGGAUUGUUUUUUAAUAUCUUAAUUAUUUAGAAUAAACUCAAAUAAAUUGUAUAACAUAGAGUUAUAAAUAAUUUGCUUGUUUAGAUGCAUAUUCAAUUAUAAUGCAAUUCUUUUGUUAAUAUAUAUAUUUUUUAAAAUAACUUAUUUAAAAUUACAGCUUUAUCCUUGUCAUAUUAAUGUAAUGGCAGUUUUACCCUUCUCAUUCGUCUAACUUUGUUUACUCUCCACAUUGAUUCAAGGACUCUCCUGAGACGGAUUCUGUCAUUUCUCUAUCUAGAAUUUUCCUUCAAGUCCUGGAUUUGAAGAAGAAUUUGAGCCACAUUUGCCAUGGAAGAAAAGUGGUUGCUACCGUAUAAGAUCCCCUGUUGCCGCGGGACAUAGGUAGCUGCUGCCAUAUAUGCACCAGUGGCGGGCCUUCACCGCUACAAUAACAUCACUAUAUAUAGACCAGUGCCUCCCGCUCACCCUCACUGCAAAACCCAUUCACGGUGUUGAUGCCAUUCCCAUUCCCUUCCUCUUAACAAUGAGCAGUAUUCAGACGAAAAGAAAUUUUGCAGGUAAACGUGCCUUUCCCUUUCCUUUCUUCUAACAAUGAGCAGUACCACCUUCUUUUCACUGACUGAAAGUCACCAAAACUUUUUUGGUUUUAUUUCUCAGUGGUCAAUAAUGAAGAUUAUUGGAGUGUGGAUGAAGAGUCUUGGUAUUUUUUUGAUUCACUCAUUAUUCUUUCAACCAAAUGACUUUAUUUUUCUGAUUCACCAUAUGGUUUCAAUUUUUAGGGUUUUUUUUUUCUAGGGUAUUCUUCUCCAUCUUUUGGUUUUAUUUCUCCACGUUCUAUGAUUAUGUUGGGAUCCCAUAUCUUUUUUGGUUUGAUUCCUUUGGGUUUUCUUUUGAUGGAUUUCUCAUCAUUCCUUCUUUCUAAGACAAGACAAAUAUAAUUCGUACCUGGUAAGAUAAUGUUUAUUAGAUCUUCAGAAUGAGAAAUUUUUUAUGGAGAGAAAUUAAAUGAUGCCAUCCAUCAUCACUUGUCCCUAGUAGAACUACAGGUGAUUUGUAUGUUGUUUGGGUAAUUGGUGAAGUUUCAGAUUGCCUUGGGCUACUUGAGUUGCAUGCCAAUUGGGGGAAAUCUUUGAUGGAGAGAUUUUUUAUUGCAGUAUGCUUCCUUGAGACCAAAACUAUGGGGAGAUUUUAGUAUUUGGGGUUAGAUGCGGGGUGAUUUAUUUGAGUCUAUGUCCAUGAAUAAAAAAUUGUAUAGAAUUUAAAACAAUUAAAUUAGAAGAAAAUAAAGUAGUUUUAAAAAAAAAAUAUCUAAUAUCAUUUACAAAAAAGAAUAAAAUGUUCUUUUAUUCACUCAAAUCCAAUAAUCAACAUCAAGUAGCUUUAGUUGGUGUAAGGUUCCAGUAUAAAUCAGUGAACAAAAAGAGUAUUUUUCAUGUCUAGUAAUAGCAUAUCUCUAUCAUGUUACAAGAUCUGCAGUGGUGAGAUCUUUUAUUAAUGUCCACUUCCUAAUCACAUCACCUAAAAUGGUAAGGAUAUUUUUCUGGAAGAACAUGGACAUUUGGGUGUGAAAAAAAAAUAAAAAAUGUUGUAAUCACUUAGUGACAUCAGGCUUUGCUCCAUGCCUCAAUAUGAAGUGGCUUAAUUUGGUGAGUGGUGAUUGGAUAUCAUUGGUAGGAAAGGUCAGUGGUAAUUCAAAGCCCAAUUCUGAUCAGUUUACUCUCUAUUGUUCACAAUUUUCCCCCAUUUCAUAGGUUAGACUUGAGCCACUCUCACCCAAAAGGGAAAACAGGGGGCUCUUCCUGAUGGUAAGACCAUUGGUGCGAAGUGGGUUUGAAUAUUAUACAUCGUAAUCUUUAGGUACAAAACCAAAUUGGUGGGUAAAUACUAAAUAGACACUAAAAAGGGUAAUUGAAAUUUUCUUUGGUGUUCAAAAAUUGUGUUUCAUUUACUAAUGGUCACACAGGCCAAAAUUGUGGGGAGAUUUUAGAGAAAAACACCAGUGAUAUUAGUAUAUGUUUCUCCCUUCCAAUAACCAGCUAGCACACGUUUCUCUGGGUGAUUUUUCUUUGCCCUCUUCCUUCCUGAAAUUUUCAUAACUUUUUUAGGGACUGUUUGUUGUCCAUUUCUCCCAUCAUGAAUGUAAAAUUGGCUUUCUCCUAUCUUGAAACACUAGUGAUAUUUGGCUUUCUUCAUUCCAUUUUUCUGUUCUCAUCCAACCUAUUCUCAAGAGAUUUUCCCAACAUUUUUCAAUCUUAGAAUAUAAAAUUAUAUGAAAUACGUUUAUAUUGUAAUGUCAAUGCUAGUGUGUAUGCUACACUUUGGCCUUGAAAAGGGGGCAAAAGAAAAAGUUUGGCAAAUUUUAUAAGGUUGAUGCAUCUCAGUUUCAUAUUCCAAGCCUUUUAGUUUUCAGACUAUGGAUGCUUUCAUCACUAAUCAUGUUUCAGUUUGUUCAACAGCUUGAGAUCCCUUCUGGACAUAUAUACAGAAGAUCUUUCACCUGGACAUAUAUACAAAGGACUACUAGUUCUUAUUAGUCUCAAGUCAUUGAUUGAUCUGUAAGUCUUUCAAUCUUUAACUUCUCAUAGUUCUACAUUUUGGACACCAGAUAGAAGUGAAGUUAUUCCACUUUGAUUCUUCUGCAGUAGCAUUUGAAAAUAUGUCAUGUUAUGUAAUUGCUUUUGUUGUUCACAAUAUAUAUAAAGAUGAGAUUAGUGCUUCUAAAAGCUAUUCACUACAAGGCUCUGUUCUGCAAUGAGUAUGACUAGUCUACAUGAUGAUCUAACAUCAUGUAUUAAAAUAGGUUUUGAUGACCAGUUUUUAACAUUUGCCAGUUUGGAUCUAUUUUGACAAGUUAUAAAACUUGUCUACAUGACAUAUCUUAUAAAAUAGGUUCAACAAGAUAUGAUUAUGAAAAUAGUAUUACCAAAAUAGAGAUAAAAUUUAAGGAUGUUUUUAAUGUUUACUUAUUUUUAUGUUUAUGAAGUUUAUUUGUAAAAACGUUUGUAAUUAGAUUUUAAAUUGAUAGGGAUUAAUAAAAAAUUUGCUUGUGCUGUUAUUGUUGGAAAUUUUGGAAGAUUUUGGAUCAAAUCUGGUCAGAUCUUGCUUUAUGGGGUGUGGAUUUUAGUAGGUCAUGUUUGUAUACAAAGCUCCUCUUCUUUGCAUCUUGUAGAAUAGAACAGAGUCCUAGUUUCUAUAAUGAAAAGACAUGUCCUUUCUUUAUUUUUUUUGUAGAUAAAUACAUUGUGGCAGCAACAUAAGUUAGUAUACUUUGUUCUUCUGGCUGGGUAGUUCUCCUUUAAGUUUGAAAAAGAUAAUCAAAUAUUUUGUUUAGUUCUUUGUUUUGAUUUGUCUGUCGUCAGUCUAUUUAUGCAUCCUCCUUGUGCAGAUUUUUUUGGAGGUACAACUUGAUGGAUAUUGGCCUGCAGAAUUUGGCAUGGAUUCAACUGGAAAUGAAUUGGCUUUGGUAUCAAUGGAACAUCCAAGAUCCUCUGUAUCAAUUACAGGAGGCCCAACCCUGAUAAAUGGUCAUUCAACAGUUCAUAAAUUUUUGUGUUGUGACACAGUGGCUUAUUAAUCACCCCAAGUUUCAGAAAAAUCCACUUUACAUCAGUGGUGACUCGUAGUCAGGCAUAAUCAUCCCCAUGGUGGUUCAGGAAAUAUAUAUCCAAUGGUAUGUUUAUCAUGAAUUCUCUACAUGGCUGAGAAAAGAAGAAUAUUUUCAUUAGUUAUAUAAAAACACUAUUUAACCUAAGAUUUUGCAUUUCUUAAGUUCAGUUUUCUUUUUGUUUUGAACACCCAUACAGAGUUUUAAGAUUGACUAAUCAAUUCAACUCUUGGAGGAACUAAUAAUACAUGUAAAUGGAGAUGAAAAGAAAGUCAUGAUGGUUCAGGAUUGGGCUCCAUCUGAGCCCAUGCUUUCAUUUUUCCUUUAGGAUUCCAAAAAGACUAUAUAUAUGUGUCUAAUAAUGUGCCUAAUCGUCCAAUUGAAAUUUCAUUUCUCCUUAUUUUUUGGUUGCAGGUAAUGAUACAGGGAAAGAGCCAAAAAUGAAUAUUUAAGUAUGUAAUCUAAUUAUAUGAUUCCAGUGACUUGCACCUUAUGGUUUUAACUUUUGUACAUCACAUUUGAAUCCAUUUGAUCUUCUUUUAAUUGGACUCAGGGAUACACCAUUGGAAACCCAAUAACAGAUCACUUUAGUGACUUCAAUUCAAGAAUUGCGUACAUUCAUCAAGUAGGAAUUCUAUCAGAUGAGCUCUAUGAGGUGAUUAUUCGCCCCACCCACUCGGGUUUAAUACUUAAUCGGAUAUGAUUCCAAAAUUUGCAUUGAUUUGUUAUGCAUUUCUAGGCAACCAAAGCAGUAUCCUCCUGUGAAUACUACUAAACUAUACAAGGAUGGUUCAGGGGUUGCCACCUAAAAAGUAUUCAGAGAAUGUCAUUCAGAUUUUAGACUCAUAUGCUUGUACCAUUCUACAUAUUGAGUUGAAUUUUUGGUUUUGACUGAAUUGAAAAAUGGAGGUUUUUUUUUUUUUUUUUUUUUUUUUUUUUUUACUUGUUUUGCAAAAAUUGCAAGAAAUAAUCCUAAAAACACAAAUAUGCAAAGAUUCAGGUGGUUGAAGAUACCCCAAGUGGCAAUUGACUGAAUAAGAUAAAAUAAAGACCAAUUCAAUUAUGUGUUUAUAGAAUGUUUUAAGAGUGGGUUUUAUGUUUUCUUUGAAUCUAAAUGGCAUCAUGUUUCUUUAUUUUGACUAGUCUUUUCCUUUCCUUACUUUUACCAGAUACCAAAUGAAGUUUGAGCAUGUAGUCUUACUCAACUUGUGCUACUAAUUAGAGUAUCUGUUGGUGAUAUUUUCUUUUUCAGGCCAAUAUCUAAAAGCUAAGGUUGAUGGAGGUUUUGGCAGGGACGUGCUGGAGUUUUUGCUGAAAGGAGAUGUGGUUGCUUAUAGAACCAUGGCUACCAGAGUUUCUUGAAAUAGCCUGAAGAUUAACUGAUUGAUAGAGUUGUCGACUUGUGUUGCAGCUGCAGCAGUGUCAUUUAUACAAUUUUUCCCUAAAAUGAAGGCGCAAUACGAUUAUGGUUUGUUGAUGUUUAUAUUGACAUUCAGUUUGGUAUCUGUAAUGGGCUAUCCUCAACCAUCCUCAUUGGUAGUGCCACAGCUGUGUUUGUAUCCAUAGGCAUCUACCCAAUGUGGGCUGGUGACGAUCUUUACAAUCUGGUUGCUGGCAAUGUUGAAAAGCUUGGGAACUUCUUAGAAGGUAUGCCUAAAAUAGAAAGGUGGCAUUACACCCCAAAUGAAUGUGUAGAUUGCUCAAGAUAAACCCAAAGAGAACCAUACCUUUUACAUUUUUUUAAUCUAAUUUUGAUAACUUACAAGUAAGUGAGUUUGCAGGAUUUUCAGGGAAAUAUUUUAGAGUCUCAGGAGAUGGAGAAUCCAAGGAUAGCAAAACAAUUCUUCAAGGAUACAAAAGUAUUUUGACUUCAAAAAUCACUGAAGAUUCCUUGGUGAGUUGACAGAUUGGUCUAUUUCACUGUCAAAAUUAUCUAAAUUCAUAGACUACAUCAAGUUACAACUUGUUUAAAUUUCUCAACUUGCAGACGAAUUUUGCAAAAUGGGAGCCUGGUCAUGGUCGUUUCAGGUUUCGUCGUCCUUAGAAACAAUACCAAAAGAUUGGAUCCCUAGCUGGCCAAUGCGCCUAUCGUAUUGAAGCUCUUAGCAGUAGCUACCCUCACUCUCAUAUCCCGGUAGUAAACUCAACUCACAAACUAAAAUUCAUUGCCUUCAGAUUACUUGAUUUAACUUGGGUAACAAAAAACCAUAGCAUAAGCUGUUUUCUCAACAAACUUCAUUCUGCUAUGAUAUUCUCAUAGGCCCCCACAGAGAUCCAAAACAAAAUUCAAGAGGCUUGCACAAAGAUGAGUACGAAAUCCAGAAAAGCUUUGAAGGAAUUAGCAUCUGCAAUCAAAAGUAUGAUUAAACCAUGCUCUAUUGAUCCCCAUAUUUUAAACUCAAAAACUACUGUUGAAACCCUCAAAUCGUUGCUCGAAACUCAUUCUUGUGAAGACGUUGACCUUCUUGAGCUAAUGUCAACUGCUGUAGUAGGUUUAUGUUUGAUGGCAUUAUCCAUCAAAGUUAAUUUGAAAAUGUUUAUGUUUGAUUUUGUUUGGAAUGCAACAAAUUCCUCUAUAUUUUGAAUGCUAAGUGAGUAUUAUUAUCGUGCAAGGAGUUCAUAGAAUUUUAAUUUUUUUUUUUAAAACAUUCUUCUUUGUUAUUUGAUAAUCCAAAAAAAAAAAAAAAAAAUCAAAUGAAAACCUAUAUGUAGAAUAAGGACACAUUUAUAUUCCAAUAUACAAGGGUGAUUUAUAUUUCUUUCUUCAUUGAGCAAAACAGUGUAAUGAAAAUUUGGAUUGGCUAAUCGUGUUAAUUUUAGCGAACUGAUAAUUAUGUGGUCCAAAUUUCAGUUUUAUCUUUCUCAUUCAUAUUCAUACCGACUCUCUCAUUUCUCUCUCUAGAAUUUUCCUUCAAGUCCUGGAUUUGAAGAAGAAUUUGAGCCACAUGUUUCUUGUUUUCUUCAAAAUUUCUCAAGGAAAUUGAGAAGUGUGGAAGACGGAAAAGUAUUUGCAAUCUCAAAUUAAUGGCACAUUUCUCUUUGUUUAGCUUCUAUCUCUCUAAAAUAAUUCAUUUGGUGAGCGAUUCAAAUAUUUUUGUGAAUUUUUUUAUUUUUAUUUAUUUUUGUUUGAAUGGCAUAGGUGUUGAGGAUGAAGCAGUGAAAGUCUCAGUCAAAGAACAGAUGCACAUUACUGCAAUUCACACACUUAAACAUGAUUUCAUAUCAGGUUCUCUAUCUUUAUCUGUAGAUUAAGGCUGUAAAUUUGAUUUGCAAAAUAGUGAUGGUAGACUUUUGAAUUAUUUGGCCAUCUUUAUCAAUUUUAUGUAUUAUGCAAUUUUGAUUUUGGAAAAUAGUAAGCUUUUUUUCUUUCCUUUUUUUUUUCUUCUUGAAUUGGAAAGAAUUGUUAGAAUAUAUUGUUCUUGACUUACUGAUAGACAAAACAUACUUUAAUGGCCUAUUAGUGAUGCACAUCCUCAAUAUCAACAUAGAGUUUGGCAACAUUGUAAAGGAAAUAUCAAUGUGAGAGUACAAGUGUCUAUAUAUAAUGUCACACAGUGUCUUGAUAGUAGAAUUAGAUUGUAAAUAAAGGGUAUCAUGUGGAUAAUGUUAGUUUGAUAGAAAAAAAUGUGUUAAGUUGAUAAAAUUGCUAACUUAGAUGUGUUAGCAUAUAGAUUGAAGCAAAUUCAAUAAAAAAGACUUGAUUUAUCUGCUAAACUCAUUGAGAAUGGAUGAUUCAAAUGCAAAUAAAAUGAUGGAAAUGGACCGGUAUUAUAUUUAAUACAAUAUCAUUUACUAUAAUGAGGUUGCAUAGACUAUAGAUGGAACCUCACAAGAAUAAGAGGUUUGAUUACCAUCUUUGCUUAAAAAAUUUUGAUUUUUCUAUUUUCAUUAUUUAUAAUGUUAAAAUAGGGGUCUCCUUGCUAGUUUAAGUAGAGAUUGGAUCAUCAUACUAACAAACUUAGCUUAGAUGCUAGUGAUAGUGCCUUGGUGUCUUCUUAUUCGACUUUCUUUCUUUUUAAUGAAAAAUGAGAAUUGAUCAUUUGUGUAAUGGACUCUAUAACUAGCCAAGAUGUUAAAAGCCAAGAGAAGUAAAAUAUUGUUUAUUGAACAUUUCCUUAUUAUAUUUCACUUGUGUGGAUUCUCUUGCACAUAUUGUCUUAUGUUGUCUUUAAAUGAUUAAGUUAAAAGAGUGCGGUUGAAGAGUGAUAUUUCACCCUUUAUAAAAGACUAACCAACAUAAUAUUUUAAAAGUGAUAAGCCAAUUGGAUCUCUCAUUAUUUUAAUGUCAAAUUCAAUUCAAAAUUUCCUGUGGAUCUUUUUCUUCUGCUGAAAUUAAAAGGUUAAUACAAAAUGACUUUGAAUAUUAUAUUGUUUAGACUGUUCCAAUGUUUAGAUUUUGGUUAACUACAAUUUUAGAAUUUGAAUUUUAGUGCUUUGAAGAUUGAUAGGUAUACUAACCCAUUUAGUAUAUCCUUUUAUAGAACCAUUAUUAAUUUAUACUUUCCUUGUAAUUUGAACUGGGUUUUGUAUCUGUAGGGAACUGCACAACUAGCUCUUGAAGAUUGAUAAGCAUUGUGCUUUGUAAUGAUUGAAAAAUCAUUACCAUGAAUCAAUGAAAAUUGAAAUAGUAAGCUAUAUCAAGUUUAAAUUCAUUGAUUUCUCCAAUUUUAAUGUGUUAAUAUUAAAAAUGACAAUGGUGCACACUUAAUGUUAAUUUGUAUUUCCCUAUGGAUCAAUAUGUCCCAUUGAUCAAUGUUUGAAUGUUCUUGUAGUGCUAAACACAAGGUAGAAUUGGAGCUUUGUGCAUAAAAAAAAAUGUCAAACAGUUCCAUGAUCUUAACCUUCUUCAAAGGCUGGGAAAAAAAGCAAGCUUUGGAAUGCAUUUUGUGAGCAUAUGAAGACAUUGAACAGGUGAAUUUUUUCAUGAUGGUCAACACUAUGAUAGAUGCUCAACAAACAACUUGAGAGACAAUUUGAGUAACCUGCAUAGUGUUUUUGUGAAAACCAUGUUAGGUUUGAUUGUGCCAUUAUCUAAUGUUAUACAUAUGUUGAUUGAAGUAGUAUAUACAAGAGAGUUACCUUUCUAUCAUUAUUUGGUUCUUAACUCUGAUAACUGAGUCUAAAAUAUAUUUGAUGUGGUAAAUUUUGUGAUUCAUCACUAUGAAAAGUAUCAUAUAUGAGAAGCAUUGAUCUAACAUUACAAACUUUAAAAGUAGUACCUAGAACCACACACAUUGCAAACUAGAUAAUGUCAUCAUCAGCCCCACUUUCUUCUGGAGCCUUAUCACCAUUGAUCCAACAUCCUCACUAGGCCAUCGAUACUCUACAUGGGCUUCAUAGUCCAAAUCAGCCACAAAAUCCCUCCAUGGCUAGUAAAUUUCGCACCCACUAUUACAAACCAAUAUAUCAAAUACUUUUUAGUUUAAUUGCCAACUUCUUAACUUUUCUAUUACUUCCUGUAAAUCACAUUUUAAGGUGUAUGUUCUAGCCACGAAAACUGGUGUUCUUUAGCUCAUUUUUUGCCACUAAGGCCAUUUGUUAUUGUCAAUAAGGUGCUUUAGAAGGACACUUGCUAUGCCUUUUUGGUCAUGUGGAUCAACGAGAAUAUCACUGUUAAGUGUCUGGUAUAAUUGAGAAUUCCUUGUUAGAUAAAACAAGCAGGUUUACAGAAAAAAGAAACCAUUGAAAGUCCAAUAUAUAAAUUCUUAUGAUCAUGGGCUAGGAUUUGAACAUGCAUUAUUCCUUGGGCCUGCUAGCCCAACACCUAACCAUACUUGUAUAAAAUUUCCCUUGAUAACAUCUACAAGCCACCAUAUUUUGUAGCAUCAAUACCUUAACCAUAGUAUAAACCCAAACAUAAGCACUUACGAAGCUGUUGUUAAACGUUUCUUCAAUGUCGUCCUUAUUUCCUAAAAUAGGUGUCUGUCAAAACAAGACCAAAUCAAAAAGAAAUUUAGCUCGAACUCAAUGUUAUAGUUGUAUUCGUUUUCUGUUUGGAUCAAGAGAAAGUGCUUUGAAAUGCAAUUUUUAACCAGGUUGGUUAUUUCUUGGAGGUAUUGACACUCUCCAAAAGCCUUGAGCAGAGUGAUGACAUUAUUCCUAGGAUGAGGACAAGACAAUGCAAAUAUUUGCAUCAUGUGCAUUCCCAUUCCCUUCCUCUAACAAUGAGCAGUACUUAGAUGAAAAGAGAUUUUGCAGGUAAACAUGCCUUUCCCUUUCCCUUCUUCUAAUAAUGAGCAGUACAACCUUCUUUUUUAUUUUUUUUGAUUGGAAACGACACAGAGAUAUAUUGAUAGAAAAAAAGAAGUACAAUAAGAAGGAUGAGAAAUCCUCCCGCCAAAGAAAACUAAAUUACAGGAAAUUACACAGAAAACAAACGAACUCUCUAUAAAGGACCAUUCCUUAUGGAGUACACUCCGCUAACCAAUCAAGUUGUAACACAUUAAGGGGAGUCCCCUUAAACGCCUUGGAACAGAAAGCCCAAAGAGAAGCAAGGAAAACAAUAGAGUCCCAAAGAAACUCUGAAUUCCUUGCUUUAUCCUAAAAAAUCCUCGCGUUUCUUUCCCACCACACAACCCGAAUUAGAGCGAUGCUCGUAGCUUGCCACAAAACUAUCCCCCUCUUAGAAGUACCAAAACCAUUAAAUUUGAUGGACAUCAUGUCAAAGAUGCUCCUCGGGGGGACCCAAUCCAUCUUAACUAACCGAAAUAACCUGUGCCACAACCCAAUCGUCAAGGAACAAUGAAGAAAAAGAUGAUAUGCUGAUUCCCCAUGCUUCAUGCACAGAGUACAAAUAUCAGGACUAAGGGCUUUGUAGGGUCUUUUCACUUGUAGCAUGUCAUUAGUAUUCACCUUCUUGUGUGCCACUAACCAGACAAAGCACUUCACUUUGAAAGGAACUUGAGAAUUCCAAACGAACUUAGAAGGGAAAACCUGAGGAGAUCCAGCAAUACAAUCUUCUUUUCACUGACUGAAAGUCACCAAAAUGCUUUUGGUUUUAUUUCUCAGUGGUCAAUAAUGGAGAUAAUCGGAGUGUGGAUGAAGAGGCUUGGUAUUUUUUUGAUUCACUCAUUAUUCUUUCAACCAAAUGACUUGUAGUUUUCUGAUUCACCAAAACAUGUCAUUUUAUUUUAUUUUAUUUUUCUGAUUCACCAUAUGUUUUCAAUUGUUAGGGUUUUUUUUCUUUUUGCUAGGGUAUUUUUCUUCAUCUUUUGGUUUUAUUUCUCCACAUUCUAUGAUUAUGUUGGGAUCCCAUAUCUUUUUUGGUUUGAUUUCCUUUGGGUUUUCUUUUGAUGGAUUUCUCAUCAUUCCAUCUUUCUAAGACAAGACAAAUGUAAUUUUUACCCAGUAAAAUGAUCAGAUUUUUAGAAUGAGAAAUUUUUUUAUGGAGGGAAAUUAAAUGAUGCCAUGCAUCAUCACUUGUCCCUAGUAGAACUCAUAGUUCAAAGUCGCGGUAUCGGUCAUUGACUUGGGAGGUCUUGAGGCACAUCUGUCUCGGUAUCUCGGAUCGGUAUCGGGUGAUACGCAAAAAAUUAUAAUUUAAGAGCUUAAAAUAAUUUUAAAAAAUUAUGAAAAUUAUUUAAAAAAUUAAAUACAAAUAAGUAGAGUGAAAAAUUAAUAAAAUAAACUUCUAUUAUAUUAAAAUUAUUUAAAUUAUAAUAAAAGCAUACUUUUGGGAUGAUUUAAAAUAAUAAUAAAAAUCUCUAAAAAUAUUUUAAUUUAAUCACUUGAUAAUAAAUGUUUCUUGUUGAAGAUGAAAAUAAUAAAAAGUAAUUUUUUUUUAUAAAAAAUUGUUUAAAUUAAAUAUUUUGAAUUUAAAAAAAAUAUUUUUAACUAUUAAAAAAAUAAAACCAUGAUUUAUCUUUAAAAAAAUAAAUAUAAUUUUUCUUAUAAAAUAUAUUCAUUAAUUUUAAUUUUUAUAUAAAUAUUCAUUUCCUAUUUAUUUGAUAUAAGUCUAAUAUUCAUUAUUAAUUUUUUAUCAUUAUAAUUUUCAUCAAAUUAUUUAAAACUCAAAUUCCCACCAAAUACUCAUUAUCUACAUAAAAAACAAAUACAUAUUAUUUAAAACCUAAAUCCUCACCUAUUUAUCAAAAAAAAAAAAACCCAAAUCCACAUCUGUUAAAUACUCAUAACCACCAUUGACCGGUCAAACACCCAUUUCUCCCCACAACCAGCUCCUCCGCAGGCCCCUUUCUCUCUUCUCCCACUUCCAUCGGCCACCUCACCAUCGUUCUCCGUCGAUAACAGCGGUGCUGGAGUCCGGCGACUCUGCCUCCUCCUCAUGUCGCUCAGUUCCAUCUCCGGCAAGAACCUAGGGGAUCCGACCGGCGACUACAAGAUGCAGUCCAUCUCUGUAAUCUGUAUUUUUCAUUUUCGUGGGUUUUGAUCCUCUCAUCUUCUCCACCAUUUCUACUCCAAUAUUACCUUUUUUUCCAUUACCAAUAACCCAAAUAGCUUAGUCUCAACAUGAUCUUGGAGUAGUCUCAACGUUUCCAUGGGAUUCACUCUUUCAAUUCAACCGAGUUUGUUUGACAAAAUAUCCAACUCGGGUAUCAGUCCGGUACCGGCCAUGGUCGAGGCGGAUACGACUCGGCUGAUUCGUACCGGUAUCAACCGAGAUUUUGAACCCUGGUAGAACUACAGGUGAUUUGUAUGUUGUUUGGGUAAUUGAUGAAGUUUCAGAUUGAUGAAGUUGCAUGCCAGUUGGGGGAAAUUUUUGAUGGAGAGAUUUUUUAUUGCAGUAUGCUUCCUUGAGACCAAAACUGUGGGGAGAUUUUAGUAUUUGGGGUUGGAUGCAGGGUGAUUUAUUUGAGUCUAUGUCCAUGAAUAAAAAAUUGUAUAGAAUUUAAAACAAUUAAAUUAGAAGAAAAUAAAGUAGAGUAAAAAAUAAAUAAAAAAUAUCUAAUGUCAUUUCCAAAAAAAAAAAAAAAUGUUCUUUUAUUCACUCUAAUCCAAUAAUCAACCUCAACUAGCUUUAGUUAGUGUCAGGUUCUAGUAUAAAUCAGUGAACAAAAAGAGUAUUUUUCAUGUCUAGUAAUAGCAUAUAUCUAUCAUGUUACAAUGUCUGCAGUGGUGAGAUCUUCUAUUAAUGUCCACUCCCUAAUCACAUCACCUGAAAUGGUAAGGAUACUUUUCUAGAAGAAUAGGGGCAUUUGGGUGUGAAAAAAAUAUAUAUAUGUUGUAAUCACUUAGUGUCAUCAGGCUUUGCACCAUGCCUCAAUAUGAAGUGGCUUAAUAUGGUGAGUAGUGAUUGGAUAUCAGUGGUAAGAAAGGUUAGUGGUAAUUCAAAGCCCAAUUCUGAUCAGUUUACUCUACUGUUCACAAUUUCCCCCCAUUUCAUAGGUCAAACUUGAGCCACUCCCACCCAAAAGGGAAAACAGGGGGCUAUUCCUAAUGAUAAGACCAUUGGUGCAAAGCGGGUUUGAAUGGAGGAUAUUAUACAUGGUAAACUUUAGGUACAGAACCAAAUAGGUGGGUAGAUUGACACUAAAAAGGGUAAUUAAAAUUUUCUUCGGUGUUCAAAAAUUGUGUUUCAUUUACUAAUGGUCACACAGGCCAAAAUUGUGGGGAGAUUUUGGAGAAAAACACUAGUGAUAUUAGUUUAUGUUUCUCUCUUCCAAUAACCAGCUAGCACAUGUUUCUCUAGGUGAUUUUUCUUAGCUCUCUUCCUUACUUCCUGAAAUUUUCAUAAAUUUUUUAGAGACUGUUUGUUGUCCAUUUCUCCCAUCAUGAAUGUAAAAUUGGCUUUCUCCCAUCCUGAAACACUAGUGAUAUUUGGCUUUCUCCAUUCCAUUUUUCUGUUCUCAUCCAACCUAUUCUCAAGAGAUUUUCCCAACAUUUUUCAAUUAUAGAAUAAUAAGUUUAUAUUGUAAUGUGGAUGCUAGUGUGUAUGCUGCACUUUGGCCUUGAAAAGGAGGGAAAAAAAGAAGAAGUUUGGCAGAUAUUAUAAGGUUGAUGCAUCUCAGUUUCAUAUUCCAAGCCUUAUUGUUUUCAGACUAUGGAUGCUUUCAUCACUAAUCAUGUUUCAGUUUUCUUCAACAGCUUGAGAUCCCUUCUGGACAUAUAUACAACAGAUCUUUCACUUGGACAUAUAUACAAAGGACUCCUAGUUUCUGUUAGUCUCAAGUCAUAGAUUGAUCUGUAAGUCUUUCAAUCUUCAACUUCUCAUAGUUCUGCAUUUUGGACACCAGAUAGAAGUGAAGUUAUUCCACUUUGAUUCUUCUGCAGUAGCAUUUGAAAAUAUGUCAUGUUGUUAUGUAAUUGCUUUUGUUGUUCAAGGUAUAUAUAAAGAUGAGAUUAGUGCUUCUAAAAGCUAUUCACUACAAGGCUCUAUUCUGCAAUGAGUAUGACUAGUCUACAUGAUGAUCUAAAACCUCUUCCAAUUUUUAACAUUUGCCAGUUUGGAUCUAUUUUAACAAGUUAUAAAACUUGUCUACAUGACAUCUCUUAUAAAAUAGGUUCAACAAGAUAUAAUUAUUAAAAUAGUAUUACCAAAAUAGAGACAAAAUUUAAGGAUGAUUUUAAUGUUUUUUUAUUUUUGUCUAUGAAGUUUAUUUGUAAAAACAUUUGUAAUUAGAUUUUAAAUUGAUAGGGAUUAAUAAAAAUUUUGCUUGCCCUAUAAUUGAAAUCAACUUGGAAAUUUUGGAAGAUUUUGGAUCAAAUCUAGUCAGAUCUUGCUUUGAGGGGUGUGGAUUUUAGUAGGUCUUAUUUGUAUACAAAGCUCCUUUUCUUUGCAUCUUGUAGAAUAGAACAGAGUCCCAGUUUCAUGUGCUAGCUAUUGUUUAUAGGAAAUUGUAUACUUUCUUAGCUAACAAACAGAGAAGAAAACCAGAGGAAAGAAUAGGAGGAUUCAUUAAUGGUUUGUUUUUUCUCUUUCCAAAUUUAGUCAUGUUUUUAAUGGAUUCUGAUUGAUGGUUAUUUUUUCUUUGUUUUAUGGCAGUGACUACAAUUGAUUCUGGUAGCAAGGCUCUUGAAUUUCUGAGGCUUGAAAAUGACCCAAACACAAUGAUUGUUUCUCCAAACAGUCAUUAGGUAUGGUUUACAUGAGUGAAGGUUUGUGAAGUUUUUAUGUUGUUAUGGAUUCACGGAUGAAAAGCUGCUUUAUAAGAUAUCCAUGGUUUGGUUGCUGAAAAACUGAGGAAAAGGGAAAGUAAAUUUUGAAUUAUUUUUAUUUUUAUUUUUCCGGGUUUUUGUUCCUUAUCCAUGGAUUUCCAUAUCAAUUUUUUUUUAUGAUUAUAUUUUUUUUCUUUGAUUUCUAUAAUAAAAAGACAUGUCCUUUAAUUUUUUAUGUAGAUAAAUACAUUGUGGCAGCAACGUAAGUUCGUAUACUUUGUUCUUCUGGCUGGGUAGUUCUCCUUUAAGUUUCAAAAAGACAAUCAAAUUUUUUGUUUAGUUCUUUGUUUUGAUUUGUCUGUAGUCAAUCUAUAUAUGCAUCCUGCUUGUGCAGAUUUUUUUGGAGGUGCAACUUGAUGGAUAUUGGCCCGCAAAAUUUGGCAUGGAUUCAACCAGAAAUGAACUGGCUUUGGUAUCAAUGGAGCAUCCAAGAUCCUCUGCAUCAAUUACAGGAGGCCCAACCCUGUUAAAUGGUUAUUCAACAGUUCAUACCUCCAAUUUUUUUUGUUGUGACACAGUGGCUUAUUAAUCACCCCAAGUUUCAGAAAAAUCCACUUUACAUCAGUGGUGACUCAUAUUCAGGCAUAAUCAUCCCCAUGGUGGUUCAAGAAAUAUAUAUCCAAUGGUAUGUUAAUCAUGACUUCUCUAUAUGGCUGAGGAAAGGAGAAUAGUUUCAUGAGUUAUAUAAAAACACUAUUUAACCUAAGAUUUUGCAUUUCUUAAGUUCAAUUUUCCUUUUGUUUUGAAUACCCAAACAGUGUUUUAAGAUUGACUAAUCAAUUCAACUCUUAGAGGAACUAAUAAUGCAUGUAAAUGGAGAUGUAAAGAAGGACAUGAUGGUUCAGGAUUAGGCUCCAUCUGAGCCCAUGCUUUCAUUUUUCCUUUGGGAUUCCAAAAAGACUACAUAUAUUUCUAAUAAGGUGCCUAAUCGUCCAGUUGAAAUUUCCUUUCUUCUUAUUUUUUGGCUGCAGGUAAUGAUGCAGGGAAAGAGCCAAAAAAUGAAUAUUCAAGUAUGUAAUCUAAUUAUAUGAUUUCAGUGACUUGCGCCUUAUGGUUUUAACUUUUGUACAUCAUAUUUGAAUCCAUUUGAUCUUCUUUUAAUUGGACUCAGAGAUACACCAUUGGAAACCCAAUAACAAAUCACUUUAGUGACUUCAAUUCAAGAAUUGCAUACACUCAUCAAGUAGGAAUUCUAUCAUAUGAGCUUUAUGAGGUGAUUAUUCCCCCUACUCACUCGGGUUUAAUUCUUAAUCGAAUAUGAUUCCAAAAUUUGCAUUGAUUUGUUAUGCAUUUCUAGGCAACUAAAGCAGUAUCCUUGUGAAUACUAUUAAAUUGUACAAGGGAUGGUUCAGGGGUUGCCACCUAAGAAGCAUUCAGAGAAUGUCAUUCAGGUUUUAGACACAUGCUUGUACCAUUCUACAUAUUGAGUUGAAUUUUUGGUUUUGACUGAAUUGGAAGAUGGAUUUUUUUUUGUACUUAUUUUGCAAAAAUUGUAAAAAAUAAUCUGAAAAAAAAAAAAAAAUGCAAAGAUUCAGGUGGUUGAAGAUACCCCAAGUGGCAAUUGACUGAAUUAGAUAAAAUGAAGAUCAAUUCAACUAUGUGUUUAUAGAAUGUUUUAAGAGGCAAUUGAGUUUUAUGUUUUCUUUAAAUCUAAAUGGCAUCAUGUCUCUUUCUUUUGACUAGUCUUUUCCUUUCCUUACUUUUACCAAAUACCAAAUAGAGUUUGAGCAUGCAGUUUUACUCAACUUCUGCUACUAAUUAGAGUAUUUGUUGGUGAUAUUUUCUUUUUCAGGCCAAUAUCUAAAAGCUAAGGUUGAUGGAGGAUUUGGCAGGGACAUGCUGGAGUUUUUGUUGAAAGGACAUGUGGUUGCUUAUAGAACCAUGGUUACAAGAGUUUCUUGAAAUAGCCUGAAGAUUAUUUGAUUGAUAGAGUUGUCGACUUGUGAUGCAGUUGCGUUUGCUGAAAGAUUAUCUAAAUGGCAGUGUCGAUAUGAUUAUGGUUUGCUGAUGUUUAUAUUGACAUUCAGUUUGGUAUCUGUAACGGGCUAUCCUCAACCAUCCUCAUUAGUAGCACCACAGCUGUGUUUGUAUCCAUAGGCAUCUGCCCAAUGUGGGCUGGUGAUGAUCUUCACAAGUUGGUUGCUGGCAAUGUUGAAAAGCUUGGGAACUUCUUAGAAGGUACGCCUAAAAUAAAAAGGUGGCAUUACACCCCAAAUGAAUGUGUGGAUUGCUCGAAAUAAACCCAAAGAGCACCAUACCUUUUACAUUUUUUUAAUCUCAUUUUGAUGACUUAUAAGUAAGUGAAUUUGCAGGAUUUUCAGGGGAAUAUUUUAGAGUCUUAGGAGAUGGAGAAUCCAAGGAUAGCAAAACAUUUCUUCAAGGAUACAAAAGUAUUUUGACUUCAAAAAUCAUUGAAGAUUCCUUGGUGAGUUGAAAGAUUGAUCUAUUUCACUGUCAAAAUUUUCUAAAUUCAUAGACUACAUCAAGUUACAACUUGUUUAAAUUUCUCAAUUUGCAGACAAAUUUUGUAAGAUAGGAGCCUAGACAUGGUCGUUUCAGGUUUUGUCAUCCUUAGAAACAAUACCAAAAGAUUGGAUCCCUAGCUGGCCAAUGCACCUAUCUCAUUGAUGCUCUUAACAGCUACCUUCACUCUCAUAUCCCGGUAGUAAACUCAACUCAAACUAAAAUUCAUUGCCUUUAGAUUACUUGAUUUAACUUGGGUAAGAAAAAGCUAUGGCAUAAUCUGCUUUCUCAACUCACUUCACUCUGAUGUGGUAUCCUCACAGGCCUCCAUAGAGAUCCAAAGCAAAAUUCAAGAGUAUGACUAAACCAUGCUCUGUUGAUCCCUAUAUCGUAAACUUAAAAACUGCUGCUAAAACCCUCAAAUCGUUGCUCGAAACUCAUUCUUGUGAAGACGUUGACCUUCUUGAGCUAAUGUCAACUGCUGUAGUAGGUUUAUGUUUAAUGGCAUUAUCCAUCAAAAUUAGUCUAAAAAUGUUUAUGUUUUAUUUUGCAAAAUGUAGCAAAUUCCUCUAUUUUGAAUGCUAGGUGAGUAUUAUUAUUGUGGGAGGAGUUCAUAGAAUUUUAAUUUAAAAAAAAAAAUCAAAUUAAAUGAAAACCUAUAUGUAGAAUGAGGACAAAUUUAUAUUCCAAUAUACUAGGCUGAUUUAUAUUUCUUUCUUCAUUGAGCAAAACAGUGUAAAGAAAAUUUGGAUUGGCCAAUCGUGUUAAUUUUAGUGAAUUGAUAAUUAUGUGGUCCAAAUUGGAAACUAGGAUAUCUUAAUGUUGCUUUUAUAUAUGAUUCAUGUAUGCAAUAUGCCUAUAAUUUUCUACACAGGAGUAUUAUUGUUAAUGGGUGUGUAACUAUAGCCUGAGCUUAGGAUAGUGGAUGAAAAGAACAUGGAAGAGGAACACAAAGUUGUCUUAUCUGGUAAAGCUGGAGAAGUUGACUAUUUACACUCUCUACAUGGCCAAAUUGGGAAACCAAAGGCAAAUAUGUAUUUACCCGGUUCACUAGAUAGAUGUUUAUUGAAUCGAAGAAGGCAAAAUAGUUGGAUUCCCAGGACAAAGGUCUUAACUAGACAAAUAUUUAUCAAAUUGAUUUAGCAUUAUGCUUUGUAAUGAUUGAAAAUUGAAAGAGUAAGCUAUUUUAAGUUUAAAUUCAUUCAUUUCUCCAAUUUUAAUGUGUUCAUAUUAAAAUGUCCCACUAAUCCAUGUUGAAUGUUCUUGCAGUGCUAAACACAAGGUAGAAUUGGAGCUUUGUGCAAAAAAAAUGCCAAACACUUCCAUGAUCUUAGACUUCUUCAAAGGUUGGGAAAAAUGCAAGCUCUGGAAUGCAUUUCGUGAACAUAUGGGGACAUUGAACAGGUAAAUAUUUACAAGAUGAUCAACACUAUAAUAGAUGCUCAACAAACAUGAUAGACUUGAGAGAGAAUUUGAGUAACCAGCAUAGCAUUCUUGCGAAAACCAUGUUAGGCUUGAUAGUGCUUUUAUCUAAUGCUAUACAUAUAUUGAUUGAAAUAGUACAGACAUAGAGCUACCUUUCUAUCAUUAUUUGGUUCUUAAUUUUGUUAACUGAGUCUAAAAUAUAUUAGAUGUGUUAAAUUUUGUGAUUCAUCAUUAUGAAAAGCAUCAUAUAUGAGUGCACACCCAUUGAAGCUGAUAUUGUCUCCAGUUGGAAAAUAAAUAUUUCAUUGAGGGUGUCUUAUGGUUUAGGGAAUGAAGUAAAGAAUUAUGUCAUUCUGCAUAACCUCUAAUUUUAUACACUAGUUUAGACACAUAUAUUCUUCUUAUAUCAGAUACUUAGAUUUUGGUUUUUUCAUUAUAUAUGAAAUCCAUAUGCAUCAAAACUUAAAGAAAGAGGAAAUAUAAUAUAAAGUGGGAAGCAAAUCACUUCAUCCCCAGGGCCAAUAGAGCUGCAGAAAUAUCCUGAGCUUCAUAAUCCUCUUCUACAAAGGCAAUGUGAGGGCUAUCUUGUGGGAUCGUGUUUUCCCUUUUGAAAUUGUCUUUCAUUGCAAAGAAGUUUCUCCCCACCAUACCUCACCAAACCUCUUAGAAUAAUGGCCUUGUGGAGGCCAACAACUAGGUCUUCAUAAUUUGUAUCCCAUCUUUUCUAAACAAACACCACCAUUUUAAAGAGGUCAAUUCCCCACCUGACUGAGACAUACCUGCAGAAGACAUAAAUGUAAAAGAGUUGGUAGUGUUUUUUAUGUGUGCUAUAUGCAUAGGGAAGAGAUCUUACCUUGAUGCUUACACCCUUGACGCAGAUAAGGGUACCACAUUCAACCUUAAUGCAAUUUGCAUAUGGACAAGGCAACAAUGGAGGCCUCUGAUCUGCAUCCUUUUGUUACAGGCCAUCAAUUCUCUAAGUUUAUCAUUUAUUUGUUUAAAUUCUUGUUGGAAAUAUAGUACUAGAAAAUCAAUCAGUUAAUAUCCAAGGUACUAGUCUCUACAACCUUUUUGCCAAAGGGUGGUUAGUAACAAUCUUACCUUAACUUUUGGUUUCACCUACAACCACCCACAUCACAUACUCCACAAUGUCAACCAUUGAUCUAACAUUCUCAGCAGGUCAUCAAUACUCAACAUGGGCCUACUAGAUCUUUUACAUAAAAAUAAGGGUAAAGAAGAAAUUUUAUCCAUCUAUGAAUGUGCACCCAAUGGAUUAUUUGAUCCAUAUUGAUGCAAUGCAGUCGAAUGCACUAGUAAAUAUGUUCCUCCUCAUGUCAACAUAUUUUAUUGUCUAGGAGGAAUUACACUUGUUUUUUAGUACAAGUAUUUGUACUACAAAUCAACUACAAAAUCCCUCUAUGGAUAUUAAAUUUCCCUCCUGCAAUUAUAAACCAAUGCAUCAAAUUCUUUUAAGUUCACUUGAUAACAUCUUAAAUUUUCUACUAUUCUCCUGUAAACUCAAACCAAUCAACAAUUCCAAUCUUAUUCAACUUAAGCUAGAGUUGAUAACUUUCAUCACAUUUUUUAUAAUUGUCAGUAAUCUCUUAGUGCAAUCUCUAUUGCUAUCAUAACAAUCUAUUACAUACAACUCUUGUUUUUUUUUACGAUUGUGGCUAACACUAUAAUUACAAUUAGAGGAAGCCAUGUGGGUUAGAGUUUCAAUGAGUUCCUUCUGUUAGUUUCUGCAUUAAGUGCUCAAUUAAUCUUAAAGUAUCCAUAAAGAGAAACCUUUAAAAGAAGGUCUUCUACAUCCCUUAGAGAGUCACUCAUGGGUUUUUCAAUAGUUGGCAUGAUCCCAAGAUGGGUGUUGUGGUGGCGGUUCCAGUGGUGCUCAACAUGGGUAAGUAGUUACAGUAUGCUCUAGCCAUGAAAACUAAUGGAUGUUCUUUAGCCCAUUUUUAUGGAACUGAAGUCAUAAGUUAUUGUCAGUAAGGAGGUUUAGGAGGGCAUUUGCUAUGCCUUUUUGGUCAUGUCUAAUGAGGAGUUGACUGUUAUGUGCCUUGUUAGAUAAAACAAGUAGGUCUAUAGAAAAUAACUAUUGAAAGUUCAAUAUAUAAACUCUUAUGACGAUGGGCUAGGAUCUAAAUAAGCAGAAUCCACCAGGCUUGCUAGUCUAACACCUAAUUGUAUUGAUCUAAAAUUUACCUUGAUAAUAUCCACAUGCCCCGCUAUUUUUUGUAGCAACAAUAGAUAAACCAUAUUCUAACCCAAAAAAAGGGGUGUAAACCAUAAGUACCUACUUAUAAGGCAAUAAAUGGAUUAGAUUGGGACCAAAUGGCUCCACAAGAGCUGGGUUGAUAAAAACCCAUUUCAAGAGGCAAAUCCACCACAAAAGUGGUAACAUUAGAUGUUUGUAUGUCACAAUGAAAAGAACAAAAAGGUUUAGGUAUUGAAAACAUAAGCAGGGACCCAGGCUGAUUAAUUGUGGGUCUUGCUAUCAACAUGAAGUAGUCUAAUUUGGCCAUUGAUACUUAGAGAUGAUGGGACUUAUGUUUUCUGUUAGCUAUUUCAUCAAUACUAAAAAUUUUGGCAGACCAUGAUCAAUAUGAAUUCUUAGAACUUGCUACAGCUUUGUUAAGGGCCCACUAAUCUUUGAUGGGGGAUCAUAAUGUAUGUGUUGAAUAUUCUGCAAGGAUUAUGAAAUUCACUUUAGUUUUUGUAGCCAAUGUAUGUGUUCCUGGAACUUUGGACUAUGAUGCUUUGGAUAAGGCACUUGACCACACAAGUCACACUUCUCUAUGAACUUAAGCACUGUUGUAAGGGAAACCGAGCUACUCUUAGACAUUUCUUCUAUGUCGUCUUUGUUUCCUAAAAUCAAUGUCUACAAAAACAAAACCAAAUCAACAAGAAACAUAGCUUAGAGUCAAUGUUAAAAUUGUAUUUGUUUUCUAUUUGGAUCAUGGGAAAGCACUUUGAAAUGAAACUUUUUUACUAGUCUGGCUAUCUCUCCAAAAGCCUUGAUCAGACUAGUGACAUUAUUUUUAGGAUCAAGACAAGACAAUACAAGUGUCAUUGUCACCUUCUGAAUGUUGCAUUGUAACAUAGCUAAAGUAAAGCAAUACCAUGGAAAUUUAGUACUACUUGGUUUAGUUAAGGUAUGGUUUUGAUAUUGCUGGAGUCAAUUCCUCUACCAUCUGUGGCUGGUCAUAAAUGAUUCUAGUCUAGGUAAGUGAGUUGUACUUGGCCACAGUGAAUACUUCAUUUUCUUUUCAAGUUCAAGAAUUGAUCUUGUGGUUGUUUUUACUCACUCCAUUAGGUUAUUGUGGUUCUUUCGUUUUCUUUAUCUUGCUCCUAUGGUAAUGAAAUACUUCUUAUCUACAAGUGUGUUGCCAAAUGCAUAUCUAAAUGGUGGUUUAUUCUUGCCAACAGAUGCCUUGUCCCCAGAAGUCUCCAAGUGAGUAAUGAAAGGAUAUAAAACUGAUUUCCAUGAAGGAUGAAAGUCUCUCUACUGUAUCAGCAAUCGAUGAACCAGUGCAUGCAAUCAUCGUGUUUUCUUCUACAAAUCUGUGUAAAAAUUGGUGGUCCAAAAUUGAUUGGCCACGUAAGCAAAGUUAGUUGAUUAACUAACUGAAAGUGUGAGCUGGCACACCUGUUUGCUUAGCAAUUUUUUUUUUUUCAUGUACUCAUGUAUAAAAGUGUGAAGAAAAAAAAAGAGUUUUUUGAAUUGUAGAAAAGAAGUGAGAGGACUUUAGAGUGUGAGUCUUCUUCAUUGUACUGUAGCGAGAGCUUGAUGAUUCUCAGAGAUUCUUAAGGGUGUAAAAUGGUUCAAUCUUAGUGGAUUUUUGGAGGUGAUCUUGAUCCGUGGAUGUAGGAUUCAAUUUUGGAUCCGAA